AUUAAUUGUAUAGUGUUGUUGAUCCACUCAAUUAGAGCAUGAAAGGGAUCUCUCGUGAUGUCAUUUUUUAUAUAUGAGCUAACCAAUCCAGCGUUGCCACAUUCCUCGAUCAUCUUAUCAGCUUCAACACCGCCGAUCACUGCCACCCUAUCCCAUAUAUACAGUGUUAGCGAAACAUAAGAGAGAUACUAUGAAGAGUCUUUCCUUGUCUGCUCUAAAAUUGUCGUUGUUGUUGAUGAUGAUGCUGCUCAACACAAAAAGUUGCGGUGCUAGUAUUUCACUGCCGGAAAUGGACGGUGACGUCCCCUCGUACUCCAUAGCUGAUUCCAUCUUAGAUUUGGAGUUCAUGAUGGAUUCUGAAAUUAACAGGAUUCUUAAUGCUGGCUCUCGCGCUGCCGGCACAACCGGAGGUACUCAAAAUCCUUAUAAAGCAUUGUUUGGUUGCGGCCGAGGCAAACGAUAUUGCGUGCCUCAUGGUCGUUUUAAUAAGAACUGCAUGUCGGUGUACAAACGCACCUGCUAGUUUCAUUAAUCUACUAGCAGUUAUUCCAUGCCCAGGCGUGAUGGAGGGAGGUCUCUCUCUAAUAUGUACUCUUUUUUAGGGAGUUUGUUAAAUUCCCUCACUACUACUGUUUCUAUUAUCUGUAGGUUCGAGUGGGUGUUGAAUUGAAUCAUACAACUCUCAUGGUAGAAUAAAUUUCCGUUAAACUUUAAAUUACGUUGCUUGUGGUUGAAAAUUAUAUAUAUAUAUAUAUAUAUAUAUAUAGAGAGAGAGAGAGAGAGAAGUAUUGUCAUAGAGAAGAGAUAAUCACACACAAGGCUAUGCAGAUUCUAGGGAGACAGGGGGCCAUGGCCACUAAAGGAGCACUUGUUUUCUAAUUUGUCCAAUUUAAUCCCCAAUUAAACAUUAAACUUUGAUUCUUUUCAAUCUCGUCCCCAGAUAUGUUUGGUACAACCCCUAAUUUUACGUGUCUUUUGCGGACAAGUUCUUGGUUUUAAAUUUUUUCAAUUUCACCUUUAAUUGACCCCUAAAUUUUGAUUUACUUGCAAUUUCACUCUUGAUUUCAUCCAAUUAAUCUUGUAAAAAUUAAGUCUAGUCCUUUAAAAUUCCAAUCUUUUCAAUUAAGCUUUCAAGCUUAGUUUUUCACCAAUUAAGUCCUUAGUAAAAUUAAGUUGACCCAUUAAAAAUCUAAUUAAGUCCUUGCACUUAAUUAAUUCUUUUAAUUUCGGUCUAAAUUAAUUUAUAAACUUAGUUCAACCUUUAAUUAGAACUAUGAUUAAAUCAAAUCAACUUAUUAAAAAUUCAAUUAGGUCAUUAGAAUUAAUUUUUAUGCAAAUUUAUCCAAUAUUCAUUUAAGUUAGCCUUGAAUUUGCAUUACUUUUCAUAUUUAGGUCUUUAAAAGGUGCAAUUGAGUUUCUAAAAAAAUUCAAAGAUCCAAUUUGGUCUCUCCAUCUCUUAUGUAUACAUGUAGAUCCCUCUUUUUUAUAUUUAUAUAAAAUAAAAGAUAAUUUUUAAGGUACCUAAAAUUGGGUUGUGACACAAACCAUUCAAAAAUCUUGUCAUUAUAUACUUUUUAUCCUCCAGAACAUUAUCUCUAAUAAGACAAUGUUCAUCUUCUUGUGGUUAUCCUUUAUACUUUUAUACCCUUGAGUUAAUCUCUAGAAUCUCAAAAUAAUUAUUUAUAAUAAUAUCCAAGAACAAACAUUUUUUUCAUGAUUGCUUUUAUCUCAUACCAAGUAUAUACAGGUCUCUCUCAACUCCUUCUUCCACCUAAAACAAUUUGAUCCAUUAACAUAAUAGCAUAGUCAAUAAACUCAAUAACAAUAAGUUUUACCUUCAUUUUCUUAUAAUAAUGGCAACAAUAAAAAAAUUAACUAUGUUUUUUUCUCCUAUUUCAAAUGUGUUUCAUCAUCAUUUUUGCCCUAAAAAUUCAAAAUCUUCAUUUUAAUUCAAAUCAUCAUGAAAACCAUCCUCCUUAUCUGCUUUUCUAUAGUUGGAAUAAUCAUCUGGUCGAACUACCCCAUGUUUGUCAGUCUUAUAUUGCCAAAACCUAGAACAUGCCUAUUAUCAAAAUCCUCAACCUCCUCAUCUAUAUUUUUUUGUUAUUGACUCCUUUGAUGGUGAAAUAGCUCAUCUCGCCGACAUUCUACCCUCAAUACCUCUAUAAACUGUCCCAUUUUGAAGGCUAACUACCUUAAUUCUUAAUCCAACCAUCAUAUUCAUAACCUCUCCAAACCUAAUUUUUAUUAUCUAUAUUUCUUGUUACAUAGCUAAAUAAUCUCAUUCUAAAUUAUUCUUAUCCUUUGACUGUGAUUGUCAUACCCGGACAUUGUGGCGACUGAUUAAAAAAUCAUCAUGAAAAAAAAUUGAUAUUUGGCAUCUUGUUCUUUUGAAAAAAAAGAUCUAGUUCAAGGAGUCACCACCUAGUAUUAUAGUCACUAAGAACCCUAACUGGUUAACAGAGAUUUUAUGGUAUGAGACUAGUUACAUAAAAAGAAAGAUACGAUCACUCCUUAAACGUUCUACCUGAGGCAGGCUGCAUUACUGGUUUUGUUUAAAAUUGUUAAGAAUUUGUUUUCCUCUUUUUUGUUUUUUGGUCUUCCUACAAUGUUCAUAACUCUGGCAUCCGUGGAAAUUUACUUACAAAUAUUUCCAACUCUUGUAUUGGUAAAUAUUGCACAACUCAAAAAGUGUGGUACUCCUUACUCUGACGCUAGUAAAUAAAUCCGUAAAAUUUGAAUUUAAAUGAAGAAGAAAUAAUUUUUCUAUGCCUUUUUUUUUACUUUUUUUCUAUUUUAUUUAUUGUUGCUCUUUUUUAGACAAGAAGAAAAAAGUGCAUUGCAUAACAAGUUUCUGUUAGCAGUUAAGGUCCAUAGAUUGAACAUGCAAUGAAAAACAAAAUAUGAAAAGAAAAAGAAUAAAAUAAAGCGUGAGGGGAUCAAAAAUAAAUCAAUGAAAAUCCCUAAAUUUUUCUAGAAUUUUUUACUAUAAAAAAGAGGCUCGUUUGACCAGAUAUCAAAACAAACAAGGAAUAAAAUACAUGGAAAAAACACAAGGAUGUGUUUUGCCAAUCACACCCUUAACCAAAAGUAGCUUGGGCUGGAUGGGCCUGACACCAAGACCUGGUCCACUCAUUUUUUUUUACUGGGCCAGAUCUAGCCUAGUUGUACAAGCUGGGCAAGACCCAGCAACCUAGCCAGGUCACUUGACCCGGCUGGUUUAGGCAGCAGCACGCAUGACGCGUGUAGCACAACAAAGAGUAAAUUAUAAUUCACAGCAACAGUGCUAGUGAUUUAUAAUGCAAAGUGAGAAGAGAAUGACUUACUUGGUGCAGAGGGAGAAGUCGAAGACGGUGGCUUGCUUUGGUCCCUCUCCUCUGUGUUUGCUCGUUAUAUUUGUGUCCUCUUUUUUUCCCUUGUGUUCGCUUCCUGUCUGUCCCUAUUCUCUCUUGGUCUCCCUGUCUUCUUUUUUUCUCCAUCUGGAGGUUCAUUGAUUUUUAUCCAUCCCUUUAUCGUUCUUUCCUUUGCCUUUUAUAGGGUAGCCUGCUGCUUAUCUCCCCCAAGACCAUGAUGAGGCUUGGGGACAUUGUGUUUCAGUCGGAUUGGGGCAGCAACAGUCCCGCCCAUGCCUGACUGUUGGUGGCAAUUUCCUCGGCGUUUUAAUGGAGUCGUGUGGGACAAAAGAAAACCGGAAACACUGAGUAAGCUUGGGUGUGUUUUCUGGUAAGAUGGGGACACCCUCAUUUCUCCCUUCUUUCCUUUUUUUUUUUUUUUUUUUGUUGCAGACAGGCUUCCAGUUCCAGAGGAAAAAGAAGAAACACAUGUGGAAACGACAUCGAUUUAGACUAGGAAUGACCAUUUUCAAUUUGAUCCUUGGAGUUUUGAAAAUUUCUAAACAAGUCCCUAAUCUUUUAACCCCCUAAAAUUAAAUUAAAAGUAAAUGAUUUAAAAAUUAGAUUAUGACAGUGAUAGUCAUCUUUUGGUUGACAUUGACAAGAUGUUGAAAUAAUAUUAAUAUUAAUAGAAAAUAUAUCCUCACACACUUUCUCACCAGUUUACACGUAAUAAAUAUCAAUCCUCUCAUAUUUCAUAAAAAAAAAUUUGUUGUUUAUUAUAACAAGCUUAUAUUUCACCUUUUACCAUUUAAUCUCAGAAAUUUUAGUUAUUUAAGAAAUUAAUUCACAGCAAAUCAAAAAAAUUAAUGACUUAGUAAAACAAUUCAAAAUAAUAUAUAGUCCCUAAAAGCAAAGAAAAAAAAGACUAUCAAUACAAAACUAUAAAUACAAAAUCAUGAAUAGAAAAACAAAUUCUUGUGUAAUAUAAAUGAUAUUAAGAAAAAAAAAAAUUAAAAAAUUAUGAAAACUAAUGAAAUAAAAUUUAAAUAAUUCAAACUAAGAAAAUACACUAUUUUUAGAUUGAUUUUUAUGUAUUAAACCUAAAUCAAUAAUAUAUUUUUUUAUGCAAAGCUACCUGUUAUGUUUUUGUUUUAAGAAAUAAUCCAAUAAAUUAUGUCUAAAUAAUUCCAAAAUAAAGACAUGUCACAAAGAUAUCCCGAAACUUAACAAUUCUCAUAUUUGAGUUGUCGAAUUCCAACAUUUGAUGAAAACUUUAAUUUGCUGCCUAAAACCUACUUUUUUUUUUCCCUUAUGCGGUUUCAAUCUUUUAUCUUUUUCUUUUUCCUUAAUUGUAUUCAACUAUAUCACAAAUAAUCUUCCUUUUUUUUUUUUUAAAUUUUUUCUACAACUAGGUUCUAGAUGUGAGCGAUAACAAUGAAAUAACACGGAAACUAAAAGAUAAAGAGAUAUAAUAUGAUUUUAGCACCUUACUCUGUUAACAAUUUAUUUGAACUCCAUAGAUAUAAAGAUCCAAAAACUCAUAGUCAAAUCAAUAUUUUUUUAAAAAAAUAAAUUUAGGCUUGUAAUUGAGCACAAUGAUAUUCUAUGUUAAAACACCAAUACUAAAUCUAAGCUAAAUAAUCUAAUUUAUAAUUCUUAUUUAUUUCUUCUCUCUUCUCUUAAUCACUCAUCUAUUAUCACUAUUGCUUUCUUGAUUUUUCUUUGGUCAACAUAAAUAUUAGCUCUCCUAUCAAUAUAUUUACGGCAGUAUCUCACAAAUAAAAGCGCUCGUAUUAUUUGUGCAAUAAUUAGUGGGGUACAAUUCCUCUGUAUAUGAAGGCGAACCCCUAAAGCAUUAGAGGUCAUCUACGACACUUGAAUGGAAUUUUUGUUGAAGUUUUAUUAAGGAUUUCCAUUUAAGAAAGUAAAUUUAUCUUCUUUUUUUUUUAAUUUGAAAAUAAUUUUAAAAUGUUAAUUUUUUAUUGUAUAUUUUUGUAGUAUAUGUAUUUUGUUUACAUGUUUACUUGUUUUAUUGUUUUGUUUUUCAAACAAACUUGUUGUAUGGAUUUAUGAUUUUGUACAUGUUCUAGUUUGUUUUAGAUUUUGUAAAAUUAUAUUUGUUUAUAAAUUGUUAAAACUUAUGUUGAAUUACUGACUUAGAUCUGUUGUAAUGAAAUAAAUAAUAGCUUGUUUAACGAGUUCGUUUUAUAUUUUGCUAAUUUUAUUGUCGAGUUGUAAUAUUCGUAAAAGUGUACAAAUUUGUAUCUACAUAGAUAAUUGAUAAUGAAUUAAGAGAAGUAUUAAAAUAAGUUAAAUAAUCUUGAGCUAAACCAAUAUUUUUGCAAACUUAUUUAGUUUUACAUAGUUAAUUAGUACAUGUUGUCAUCAUUAUUUGACAUAGGUUUGAUAAAAGUGAUGGAUGAUCGUUCAUGAAUAUAUCAAGAUUUACCCCAAGGACUGUGGAGGAUGAAUUAUUGUAAUGAAGUUUAGAGUUUUAUUAAUCACGCAAUAUCUAAUCUAAGAAAUAUUAAUGGAGCCGAUAUUACGUGUCUAUGCAAGAGGUGUAAAAAUAAAAAGUUUCUCGUUUCAGAUGUUGUAACGAUGCAUCUUGUAUACACAUGGUUCAUAGAGAAAUAAUUGUGUCGGUAUGCACACGGAAAACCAAUUGUUCCUCACGAGACUGUGACAGAAAGGAUUGUUGAGUCAAUUCCUCACGAGACGUGUAUGGAAUUGUAGAUGACAACAAUAAUCCUUAAAGGACAAUGGUUAUGGAUGCGAUGAGAAUGAAUCAUGACCAUGUCGAUCAAUGUCACGCACGCACCAGCAAUUGGGAGGCAUUCACGUUCUUUAGGUGGUGCGUGUGGCACCUUCUGGUGGUCAAAUGUUGUCGUCCAUUAUAGCGUCUGAAGUAGAUCAUUUUUGCAAUGAUGGGGCACAUGUUCACGAUGGAUGUGAGGUUGGGCUCUGAUGAAUCUUUUUCUCUUCUCCUCUUUUUUCUCUUUCGUGACCUCAAAAUUUGCACCAACAGGUUAUAUUUUUAUAAUUUUUGUUAUUAUUUUUAUUUAUUUCUAUAUGUUUUUGCUUUUAAUGCUUUUUGAACUUUAUUUUUUCAAUUUAUUCCUUAAUAAUUUUAUUUCAUUUAAUUUUUAUAUCCAAUUUUGGUCCUCAUUAUGUGAUUGCUAUUUUUUUUUAUUUUCUUAAUUUAUUUUAAUUUUCAAUUUAGUCCCUCAUUGUUUUCUUUCAUUUAAUUUUUAUGUCAGAUUUGGUUCUUAUUUUUUUAUUGCUAUUUUUUUUUUUGUUUUUCUAAUUUUGGAUGAUUAGGAUUUUGCUUGGUAUUUUUUAGAGUUUCCAUUUUAAGGUUUAAUCCCGGUCUCAUGAAUCAGGUCACUAGUUUUGAGGAUUAGCCUGAUUUAAUUUUGAUAUUUUUAUGCUCUUUUCUUAAAACUGAUUAUUUUUCAAUUUUAUCAUUUAACUUUAGGUUAUUGGGCUUUAAGUUUCAUGGUUGUUGUCGCACGUCCACCGAUGAUGAUUUUUCGUUUGUUUUGCUUGAUUGGUUCUUUGGAGUCGCCACCUAAUAUUUUGGUCACUAUAAACCCUAACUGGUCUUUCAGAGAUUCUAAGGCAAGGGACUGGUUGCGUAAAGGGAAGGUAUUAACACUUCUAGUACGCCCUACCUAAGGUAAGCAUCUUGGUGUUUGGUUUGCCUUAUAAUUGUUAUGGUGUUGGUGUUUUCUAAUCCCAUCAGUUUUUUCUAGGUUUGAUUUAAAUUAAAUUUAUUUAGAAAUCCAAGGAGAUUCCAUGUGCUCUAAAAGCUCAUUUUUCCCUUAGUAUUUCAAGAGUUUGCGACUCAUAAAUCGCAAGGAAGAUGGAUAAAAAUUUAGAAAUUUAAGGAAAUUCAGGGCGCUUUAAAAGCUUAUUUUUACCUUAGUGUUUCAUACUCUCACGGCUCGUAAACCGUGGAGUGAAAAAUUGAAGUGUCCUUGAUUAUAAUCAUGGCUUCUCUCAAGGAUGAGUGAUGGCUUAUUAUUCCUAGAAAAUUAUUUUGGAUAUUUAUCACUGAAGGCUUUUUUAUCCAAAUAUUAACAGCGAAUAAUAACAAGUUAUUCCCAAUAAUAUUUUGGAUAUUCAUCCAUUUAGGAUUUCUUUAUCCAAACAUUAAUGGUGAAUACUAGAUGUUUUCUCCCCAAAAUAAGAUUUUUAUAUUUUUUGGAAUAUUGGCCAACACCCUUUGGAGUUUUACAAACAUGUUGUGAAAUCCAGAAAUACAAGAAAAUAAUUUUUGUAUUUAAGAAAUCCAUGCGAAAACAUAUUUUUCAAAACUUUCAAUAUUUUUUAUAUAAAAAAAACAUUCAAAACAUGUUAGGGUAUUAGCCAUAUGCAACAUACAAAAAACAUUUUUUAUAUAUUUGUUUUGUCAAAAAACACAAGCAUCACAAUUAAUCACAAUUAAUUAUGGGCUUGAUGGGAUUCAACAAGGCUCAACCCGGUUACUGGCUCACACCAGUAAUCGAUUCUGCCACUGUUGCAUGCAUAUGGCAGAAUCGAUGCCUUUGCUCGUUGUUCUUAGUGGAGACAGGUUUGCUGGCUGAAAGAUGAUUGUCUCAAUGGUGGCCCUUUAAUGUUGCUAUGACCAGUGCAAUUUCUGCAGGGAAGAGAAGGAUGCUGCUGGAGGAGUAACCUAUGGCUGAAGAAAAAUAAAUUCCCUCUGCUGCUAUUGGCCUGCGUGUUCAAAGUGGCUGAGGAAUUGCAAUGACUGGUGAUGACCGCGCACCCCUGCGACUUCUUACUCCCGGUGCAGAGGACAAAACACAGCUACUGCUGGGGUGAUGGGGAAGAGAUAUGGCAAGGAAGGCGAUUGGGACCAGCUACUGGUGUAGAGGUGAGACUGGUCACAACACCGUUGUUGAAGGUUACAGUGUAGAGGCUGAAGCUGCUAAAGCUUGCAGUGUUGUCAUGUUAAUUUUUGGUGUUGCUGUUGCAGCACUGUUGCUGAGGAAAUAGCUAGUCAGGAGGAAGAUUGUGGGAGAGCCAUUUCUAGGGGUUAUGUUGACAACGAGGGAAGGUCGGUUGGCUGAAGGGGAAAAUGGUGGGCUGUUGAUGAGAGGGAAAGGUCGGUUGGUUGGGGGGAAAAUGGUGGGCUGUUGAUGAGAGGGAGAGGGGACAGUGUGUGGCCAGAGAGAUAUCCUUAGUUUCUUCAAUGGGACGGGCUGCUUCGUUUUUUUAUUUUUAAAAGAUGAGCAGGAGCUACGGCUUCUUUGCUAAAGAAAUGGGGUUAGGGUUUUUUUUUUCCCCUCAUUUUUGUUUGUCUCUCUCCCCUCCUUUACAUAUGGAUGGAGGUUUAUUUAUAUAGAAAAUCUCUACACGUGCUAUUCAAGGAAAUAAUGCAAUAAUUAUUGCAGAGAUUGUCUACUAUAACAAACACCAACAAAUAAUUUAUAUAUGGUAUUUUAUUUUGCAGUGAUUAUUUUUUAUAACCAGCACGAAUCAAAUCAUAUAUCUAUGAUAUUUUAUAUUGCAGUAAUUAUAUAUAAUUCAAUAAUUAUCUCCUUGAUAUAUUGCUUUCUUGAUAUUAGCUAGACAUUAUUAUGACAUUUUCUGAUCCAGUUCCUAUUUUUUCAAUUCCUUCAAUGAAACCAAUUACUUUCCAAAGUUUAAAAUUGGUCUUUAAUUAAACCGAUAAAUUCUUGAAACAUUAAAUCGAGUCUCUCGAAUCAGACCGGCAAACUCAGGUCAGGAUCCUUCUCAUGGUAGGAUUCUCUACUUUCAUGCUAGAUAUUCAAACAAGAAUAUCUUGAGCUUCUGGUAUCGAAAUUAGGCAUUUCAAGUACCCAAAUUCAUCUACACGUCCAGGGCUACAAAUUUGAUGAAGGACUAGAAGUGAGAUAAAAUUGUUUUAAAUAACAAAAUUGCAACCAAACUCGGCUGGAAACCUUCUCGCAGCACGAUUCUAUGCGUUCACGCUAGAUUUCAAACAAGAAUAUCUUGAGCUUCUGAUAUCGAAAUCAAGCGAUUCAAAAGCCCAAAUUUAUCUACGCGUCCAAGACUAUAACUUUGAUGAAGGAUUGAAAGUGAGAUAAAAUUGUUUUAGAGAACAGAAUCUGGCGGCAACCUGGUUAGUCAAAAGGAUUUCCUGAUCUAAUUCAGGAAACUAACAAUGUCGUCUCCAGCACGUGAGGUCCAAAAUUGAGUAACAAAAGUUUUUUUUUUUUAUGGAGUUAUCUCGGUAUCUUAUCCUAGGUCAUAGGUUUCCUAGGUGAACCCAGGUUUAUUCGAGUUUUUUUCUUAUUUAUUUAUUUUAUGUUAUCCUUUGACAUUAAGUUAUUAAGUCUUGAGCUUCGUGAUAUUUUUCACAUUCCUUUAUGUGGGUUUCUCUCGAUCUCAUAACAUAGUUCUUAGACUUUUUUAUGGUUUUUUUAUUCUUUUUCAUCAUUUGAAAUUAUAUUAUUAGACCUUGAGCUUUAUGAUUUUUAUUUUAUUUUUCUUUCUAUAGGGUUAUCUUGGGUCGCAGGUUUGUCAAGUUAACCCGAGUUGACUUCGGGUAUUUUUUUAUAUUCCUUUUAUUUUACUUGGGUCUUUAUUUUUUUAUCCCGAUCACAUUUUGCGGGUUGCGAGUUAGUUAAGUGAACCUCGACUGACUUAAUGUUUUUUUUUUACAUUUGUUUUUUUCUAAUGAUUUCAAUUUAAUUCUUUGACAUUAGAUUGUUGGGCUAUGAUCUUAGUGAUUUUUCCACUUUUCUUUAUAUGUGGUUGACCCGAGUCACGAGUUUGUCAAGUUAACUCGAGUGGACUUAAUUGGUUUCUUGACAUUUUAUUUAUUGAUUUAACUUCGGUCCUUUUUCAAGUUUUUUUUUAAUUAUUUUUUUCAUUUUGAUAUUAUAUCAAGGUUAGCGGGUAUUUGGGUGAACCCAGGUUGACUCGUGUUUUUUCUUCAAUAUUUUUGAGUUUUAUUAUUUAUUUUCGUUUUCUUUUCUGUAGCAUUGUCCUAAACUUUUAUCCUGGAUCAUGGGUUAGUCAAGUUAACCUAACUUGACUUAGAUUAUCAUUGCCUGAAUGUUUUUUUAUAUGUGACGUAGCGUGGGUCACCAUAAUAGUAAAAUAAAAGAGAGAAAUGAGUACCUAGUUCUUUUAUUUGUCAUAUAUAUAUAUAUAUAUAUAUAUAUAUAUUGGAGUCCAAAAUUAAGUUUGACAUAUUCAUGAUUAAUAAAAGUACAAAAUUAGAUUAAUUUAAAUAUUAUUAUUUUAGUUAUAUAAAUAUUACAUAAAUUUUGAUGUCAUUCAUCCACUCUAAAAAUAAAUAAAAAAAGCUAAAAUCUUGGAAGAUAUUAGAAAUCCCUUUUUUUUUUUAACAGCACAAACUCUUUUUUUGUUCCUAGAAGUGGUAAAAGAGAGAUAUUGAGAGGAGAGGAGAUUAAUCAAAUACUUUUAACAUGAAGAGAGUAAUUCAAAUGAUUGAUGUAGUCGAAUUUAUAAUAACUAAAAGUUAUGAGCAUUCGAGUGAAUAUAAUAUAUAAUUAAAUUAGAAUUUUAUAUAACUAGAUAGAAAUUUGAACUAAAUAUAUUAUUUGGAUGGUCUAACAUAUGCUUUUUAUAAACCAGUGAGACACGUCUAGAUUUAGAAGGAGGUCUUAUCAUGUUAAAUUAACUGAAUGUAUUAAAACUGCAUCUCUUAUCAGACUGUUGGAUCUCCUGGAAUUAGAAAUCAAGCUUGGAUGCUUCUAUUUGGUAAUUUUGUUAUUUUUCCUAGGUUUUUUUUUGGAUUUAUUAUUUAAUUUGGUUUUUAAUUUUAAUUUUUUUUGUGCUUUUGGAUUUCUAGUUUUUUUCUAGUAGAUAUAGUAUUUAUAAGUCUUGUAAACAUCUAAAAAAACAGACUUUAUUAGUUUUAUUUUCAGAUAAAUAAAUUAUAAAUUUAUACUUCAUAUGUUGAUUCUUUUUCCAAGCUUAAAUUUAUUCUUAUAGUUCUUGCCAGCGUCAACCAUGCUUCGAGUUGGCUAAUUAUUAUUAUUUUUAUUUCAUAUUAAGUAUAAACAGGCAGUGAAAGGGAAAUUAAGAAUUAUGCAGAAUUGAACAAAAAAUAAAAGGUCAAUUUUUAAAAUAGGAUGCCCACUCCGGUGUGGAAAAUGGAAUAUUAAAGGCAAAUACAUGUUGCUGGCAAAGUUCCAAGCCUUUGAAAUGUCUAAUGCACGUUAUGAGGCAACAAAUAGAGUGGACCAAUGGGAAAUGGAAGAAGACCUUUGACAGGUCGUCUCGUCUGUGCUGUGUAGCAGUGACCUUUGAAAGGGCAUCAAAGACUUCCAAGUCGUUGGCGUUAUGCAAUCAAUAAUUCAACAUUAAAAAAAUCCCAAGUCCAACGCACUUUCGAAGAAAAUUAACUUUUAAGACAUCAUAAUCAGACUUCUGUAUAUUUCCUUGGAAUUGUUUUUUUUUUUUUUAAAUUUAUGGAAAUAUAUUGGUAACGUUCUGCAGGAAUUAUGGAAAUGAAACGUCAGAUUUUUCAUCCUUAACAUGUGGCCUUUCUUUAUUGAUUUUUCAUAAAUUUAGAUAUAACUAGUAAAUUCACGCUGUUUUAUCUUAUUAAUUUAUACAAUCAUUUUAACUCUUAUUUAAUAUUUUUUUCCUUAUUUUCUCUACAAUAUCACAUGAUAAUUUUUAAUUCAAUCAAUAUUUUUACUCUUUAAUAUUUUUUUUAAUAAUUCAUAACAUAGUAUUACAAGCAGAAAUCUUUAAGUAUCAAUCUCAUGAGUAUCAAUAAUAAGAAGAAUUGUUUUUAUAAUUAGUAAUUAAUUAUAACAUUACUAGAAUUUUUAGAUUUACUGAUAAAACUUUUUGUUGUGCAUUUACAAUUAACGAUGAAAGUCCUCUUUUAGAAAAAUAAUAUUGUUUGCAGUUCUUAUAACGUUAGUAAUGCAGAUAUAUGCAUCUGAGUAUGCAUGUCAAAUAAGGAUUUUGAAAAUAGAGCAACUUUUUGUAAAGUUGAUUGCAUAGAGAGAAUCUUCUGAGUCUCAUGAUUUCCUUUCAACCAAGUCAUAUUGUAUUCAUAUUUUGAAUUUUGAAUAUUUUGAAUAGAGAAUCUUCUCUCGAUGCAAUCAAUCCGAAUUUUGAAUCAGAUAGCAUGCAAUUGUUCAUAUUGUGAGCUUGAAAGAGUGGUGAUGUUGCGGCUGAGUGGCCACAUAACAUGAACAAUUGGUUCCAAUUAAUGCUGAAUAUGCAGAGUACUGCAAUAAAAUCAUUCUAUCAGACACUCUAAUUAUCACUACCAAAAUUAUUCAAACAAGCAAUGCAUCGAUAGGUAUUUCAGCUAUAAACCUUUGUCUUGAGGCCUAUACUAACUUAACAUGCUAACUAGCUUGCUUCUCAUCGCCCCUCUGGGUUCAUGAUCUCAGAGAACACAGCACCAGACAUCAUUUUCUCCGACUCGUUGCUUAGAAAACUUUGUCCGUCGCUGCUGCUUGUUGUUGCCAUUUCCAAAAUGCGGGAAUUCACGACUAGUUCACUGCCAGUACUAAACAAAUUACUGCUGUCAUCGAUUGAGGAGCCUUUCAGAGGAGUCACCAUGUCAACUUCUUUCUCAGUUUGAGCUCCUAUGACAUACUCUUCUACACUCUCUUGCAGUUGCAAUGCAAACUCAAGGCCCCAAACCACAUCGGUCAUCGAUGGCCUUUCGAUUCCAUUCUCGAGCAAGCAUCUCACUGCAACAUCAACAAAGUUUUUCAGACAAUCUGGUGAGAUCUUUCCAUCCAGAUACGGAUCAAUGAUUUCAUUAAUCGUUCCGUUGCUGUGGCUUUGUCUAGCCAACUCUGCUAGACUUGCUGGCACUGCUGAUCGGUUUAUUGCUGGUCUAGCACACAAUACCUCGAACAACACAACCCCAAAUGAGUAGACAUCAGAUUUUUCUGUCAAUUGCUGGCGUUGACAAUAUUCGGGAUCCAAGUACCCUAUGCUACCUUUCACAACGGUGCUCACGUGGCCCUUCGAUGUGCUCGUAGGACCUGUUUUGGACAAUCCGAAAUCCGAAACUUUGGCCACCCAUUUCUCAUCCAGCAAGAUAUUUGUUGUCUUCACAUCACGAUGAAUGACAGUGUGCUUGGCACCUGUGUGAAGGUAAUCCAACCCACGGGCAGCACCUAUAUGCAAAUCUCUAGGCGCUGAGUCCAUGAAAGUGGAGGAUUAUCAGUUCUGUAGAGAUGAUCACGAAGCGUCCCCCGAGCCAUAUAAUCAUACACCAGGAUCAUCUCAUUAUUAUCAUUACAGUAACCAAUUAGAGAAACCAAAUGGCGGAAUCUAAGCUGGGAGAGCAUCUCAAUCUCUGUCCUGAACUCGGUUGCACCCUGCCGCGAACUUGGAUUCAAUCGCUUGAUCGCAGCACGAUUGACUCCACCAUCAAAUAAUCCUUUGUACACGUUACCAAAGCCACCAACACCAAUAAUGAAGGAAUCGUCGAAGUUGUUUGUAGCUGCUAUGAUCUCAACUAGCGAGAAACGGUAGCAUAGAUCAGAAGGGAGAGAUGGCCUAUGGGUCUUUGUUGAGUUUCUUGAAGAGGAAACAAGAGGGCUUAUGUGUUUGAAGCUGCAUCACCAGAAACCAAGUCCUUGAAUUUUCGGACUCUUCUCCGGAAAAUCAAGAGAAAUAGAACUGAGACGACAACAAUGCCCGAAACAGCAGCACCAAUAAUGGCGACUGUUCUUCUUCGACUAUGCUUUGGCUUUGUUGAGGUCGCGCUAGGAGUAUUACUAGCGGGGCUGUCCGGAAACGCGUCAGGAUUUGGUCCGGCAAGAUUGUCUGAUUUGCUCAAUUUGAAGAUUUCAGCUCCAUUCAACAUUGCAUCAAAGGCUUUAGCAGACUCAAUAGGGUGCAAUGCAAUCGACAAAUUCUGUAUCCCUUCGUUUCCUCCGGCAUCCAUCAUCACGACGUAAUCUUUGUAUAUGGGAACCCCAUAUCCAUCAGCCCAAGAUAUUAUAUCUGCGUUACGCUCUGCCGUUUGAUUAGCGAUAUAUAUUUGAAAGAUCAUAUCGUUUUUUUGCGAUAGAAUCGGCAUAAACUGACAGAAAUGAAGCCUAACAAGAUAGGUGAAUGUGGAGUGGACCGGAAACUCCCAAGUCAUAUUGUAUUUCUCAUUUACAGUAGAAUCGUUCCCCAUGGUCCUAGCAGUUCGAUAGAGGACGUCAGGUGCAGCAUAGCGAGUGUGGUUAUACUGAAGUUGAAUAGUGUCAUUAUAUAACACAGCGCUUGGUCGAGCAUCCGUCAAGUAAUCAACAUCGCGUAACCAACUUCGAAACAUGCCAUUGUCGUCGGGCGGUGGGAUAUCUUUCCAACCCACGUUUACUCGGUACAUGAUCUCUAAAGCAGUUUCAUUUUGAAGGGGAAGAUAGACCCCCUGGUCAAAAUUAUACAGCUCUGGGUUAUCUCCUGCAGUGUAAUAAAGAUUGGUGGGCAUGGAUACGAUUUCAAUCCCGUUGAUGAAAGCAUAUGCAUCAGCUACAUGAGGGCUUGGCGUGAACGUUAUGCUCAGAUUUUUCUGCUCAUCUUCAACAUUUAAGAUGAAUUCUCUGGCGUAACCUCGUUCACCAAGAGGGUCAGUGUAAUGGAAGCCACUGAAGUUGCUAAGAAAGGUAUAGCGACGGGUUGUGACAGAAAAAGAUGCUUUAGACCUAUUGAGACCAGUGUAGGAAGCUGGAUUGAAAUAGAGGCGAACAAACUUAGGUCCCGUUGUAUUGACACGAAACGUGUAGGUGAAUUUGGAGAGAGAGACGCGAGCAGUAUAAUAAGGUACAGAGCUAGUGGAGGCUCCAUUUGCUGUGGAAUUUGUUGAGGGGCCGUCUUGAUCUAGAAGGGCCACUCUUGAGUUGAUGUCUGCAGUCCAGUUUCUAGCGUUUCCAAUACUAUCGGAGGAUGAACCACAAUCAAGCGCUAUGCUAUCGAGGGGGACGUAAGGUGGUGGUGGAUCCCCGGUUACAAGGAUGGUGAGAUGGAGGAACAGGAAGGAGAGGUGCAGAGGAGUGAAGAGAGAUAAGCUUGUGAGAGAGAGAGAUUUGCUGCUGCUGCUACUCAUUUUGUUUUUGGCCAGAGGAGGAGAGAUGAAGAAAUCAAGAGGAGAAGCUCCUUUUAAUUAAAUGCUGAGAGGAGUUCAAGUCAUGCUAUAGUUGACUGAUUCUUUUUUUUAUUUAUUUCUUAUGUAAAAUCGUUUUCAAGUAUCAGUAAUUAUAAAAGUCUCAUGGAGUAGUAUCAAUGUAGCAUUUGGCAAAGGGACAAUAUAUGAAAACCUUUGAAAGGUCUUUGAUAGUACAAGUGGGGUAUGAAGGACUUCCAAGUCGUUGGUUGUAUUCUAUCAACUUUAGAGAUUUCCGUGUUUUUAGAUUUUUCCAUUUGAUUAGAUUGAAUAAAAAUCCAUCAAUUUCUUAUUUGAUAUAUAUUUUUCUUUAUUUUUCUUUUAGGAAUAUAUAAUCUUUAAAGAUGUUGCUUAAUUGAAGCAAUUUGGUAUUCCUUUAUAUUAAAAGCAAUCUUGGAUAAUUUCAUGAUCAAAAUAAUAUAUUUGUAUAAACAUUUUAGAAUUAUUAAAGAUUUACAUAAUGAUUAACUUUAAAAUUCGUGUUAAUUAAAAAAAUAAUCCAAAUAAUCUAAAUAUAAUCCAAUGUAUAAUAGAACUAAAACUAAAAUAAACUAAUAAUAGAACAAAAAAAAGAAAUAAAUUGACAACUAAAUAUUUGAAAAUAAAAUAAAAUAGUGAUAAGUUUUAACAAUGUAUAUUUAAUAAUAAAAACACUGUUGAAGACUAGUAAAACACCUAACUUGAUAAAAUAUGAUUGAUCAUUGGUUACCACAGUUUAUCAAUAUUGUCAAAUAUAUUUUGACAAAUCUUUUUUUUAGGGUUGAGUAAAAAAUUAAUUAAAUCGAGAAAAAUAAUAAUAAUAAUUAAAACAACCGAACCGUGAAAAAAAAAUCAAUUAAACCACUUAGAAUAGUUAAAAAACUAACAUGUUCGAUUCGGUUUCAGUUUUAUAAGCCUGAAAAAUAAAAGCCAAACCGAACUGAAAAUAAUAACCGACCCAAACAGAAAAAAAUCGAGCCAAACCAAAACCACACCCAUUAGAAAUUACCAAAAAAAAAUAUAGUUUUUUAUUUUUAAUAUAAAAUAACCAAACCAAACCUGAACCCAAACCGAACUGAAACCAAUCGAUUGAGUUUUGAUUUUUUUUCUAAAAUAACCGAACUUAAUCGAAACCGGUCGGUUUGAACUGAUUUUCGGUUUGUUUUUUUUUAAUUUGAUUUAAUUAUUUUUUUUAUUUGAUCUUUGAAAUUUGUUAGCACAUUCAAAUAUUUCCAGCUUGAAAGAAAAGGGAAGUUGAUUCGAAAAAUAUAAAAAAGGAAGAAGAAAUAAUAGGGAAUAGGAUGUCGCCGUCGAGUGGCCAAAUAAAAAGAAAAAUCGGUUCAGAUCAAUGUUGAUUGUGCUACUGACGCCCUGGUGGUGCAGUGAAUCCUCAAAACUUAUGGUGGAGACUUUCUUUCUGGAGUUCAUGCUGUUGUACUUAAUUAUCAAACAAGUAGAUAGAUUGCCGUUGGGGAAAAGUUCAUUAUGCAAAAAUACGAUUGGUUGAACAAAAAAAAAUAUAAAGGGUCAAUUUUUAAAAUAGGAUGCCCACUCCACCAUAUACAAGUCGUUGGCAAAGUUUCAUGUAAAUAUCCAAUGCACGUUAUAAGGCAGCAAACAGAGUGGACCUAUUGGCCAUGGAAGAAGACCUUUGAAAGGUCCUCUGUAUUGUGUAGUCGUUAUCUGGACACCAAAAACAGUUGAUAUUUAGAUUUUUUUUUUUUGCCGUGAGUUAGAUAUUUUCUUUUAACAAAACAUUUUAUAUAUAGAUUUUUUUCAACUUUUUAUAUUUAAAAAAUUCUAAGUGAAAAUCAAAAAAUUUAUACAUACAUAAAAUUAAAUAAAUUGAGAAUUAUGUGUGUUAUUAAGUGAAAAAAAAACUAUAAACAAUAAAUAAAAAUAAAACUGGAAAAAUCAAGAAAGAGAAGUAGAUUAAGAUAUUUAAUUUUAUAAGAAGAGAUAUUUAUAUGAUUGUGUUUGCUAAAUUUAUUGAUUAAAAUAAAUUUUUUAUUCAAUUAAACGAUAAUAGAAAUAAAUACACACACUUUAAAAAUAGUUAUUGUAUCUUUAGCUUCAUGGUAUUUUCCGCAUUCCUUUAUAUGGGUUUCUCUCGAUCUCAUAUCACAGGUCUUAGAUUUUUUAUGGUAUUUUUUAAUUUUUUUUAUUUCUUCAUUUGAAAUUACAUUAUUUGGUCUUGAACUUUUUUAUUUUUUUUAUUUUUCUUUAUAUAGGGUUAUCUUAGAUCACAAGUUUGUCAAGUUAACAUAGAUUAACUUUUGUUUUUUUUAUAUAUAUUCCUUUUAUUUUACUUUGAUCUUUUUGUCUAUGUGCUUUUAAUUUAAAAUAAUUUUUUUUUAUCUCGAUCACAUUCUGUGGAUUGCGAGUUAGUUAAAUAAACCUCAACUGACUCAAUUUUUUUUUAUAUUUGUUUUUUUUAAAUGAAUUUUUAUUUCAAUUUAAUUCUUUGACAUUAGAUUGUUAGGCUAUGAUUUUAUGAUUUUAUGAUUUUUCUCACUUUUCUUUAUGUGAGGUUGACCCGAGUCAUAAGUUAGUCAAGUUAACCGGGUGAACUCAAUUGUUUUCUUGGCAUUUUAUUUAUUGAUUUAACUUCAGUUUUUUUUUAAUUAUUAUUUUUUAUUUUAAUCUCAUAUCAAGGGUAGUUGACUCGUGUUUUUUCUUUGACUUUUCUAGUUUUGAAUUUUAAUUUUCCAGUUUUAUCUUUUGACAUUAGAUUAUUGAGCCUUAAGUUUUAUUAUUUGUUUUUUGUUUUCUUUUCUCUAGUGUUCCUAAUUUUUUAUUAUUCUGGAUAAUGGGUUAGUUAAGCUAACCAAACUUAACUUAGGCUAUCAUUGCCUGGAUAUUUGUUUUGACGUAACGUGGAUCGUUGUAUUAGUAAAAUAAAAGAGAGAAAUGAAUACCAAAUUCUUUUAUUUGACAUGCAUAUAUAUAUAUAUAUAUAUAUAUUGGAGACCAAAAGUAAGUUUGACAUAUUCAUGAUGAAUAAAAAUACAAAAUUAGAUUAAUUAAAAUAUUAUUAGUUUAGUUAUAUAAACAUUACGUAAAAUUUGAUGUCAUUCAUCAACACAAAAGAAGAAGAAGAAGAAGAAGAAGAAGCUAAAAUGUUGGUAGAGAUUAGAAAUGCUAUUUUUCUUGACAACACAAACUAUUUUUUUAAUAAAAAAAUUCAUAUGAAUUUAUGAUUCACAUAUGUAAUUUUUUUUGCUCAUUAAAUUCUGCUGUGUUUCCUAUAAUAUUGUUACUGUCCUUACAGUUCUCUCCCGCAUCAACAAUGCUUUGAGUUGGCUAAUUAUUAUUUUUUAUUUCAUAUUAAGUAUAAACAGGCAGGUAUUGAAAGGGAAAUUAAGAAUUAUGCAGAAUAUAACAAAAAAUAAAAGGUCAAUUUUUAAAAUAGGAUGCCCACUCCGGCAUGGAAACUGGAAUAUGAAAGGCAAAUACAUGUUGUUGGCAAAGUUCCAAGCCUUCGAAAUGUCGAAUGCACGUUAUGAGGCAACAAAUAGAGUGGACCAAUUGGAAAUGGAAUAAGUGACCUUGAAAGGUCUUCUGUGUUGUGUAGUAAGUGACCUUUGAAAAGCAUCAAAGACUUCCAAGUCGUUGGCGUUAUGCAAUUAAUAAUUCAACAUUAAAAAAAAUCCGCACUUUCCAAGAAAAUUAACUUUUAAGACAUCAUAAUCAGACUUCUGUAUAUUUACUUGGAAUUGUUUUUUUUUUUUUUUAAAAAAAAACAAAUUAUGGAAAUAUAUUGGUAACGUUCUAGAAAUGAAACGGCAGAAUUUUCGUCCUUAACAUGUGGACUUUUCUUUAUUGAUUUUCAUAAAUUUAGAUAUAACUAGCAAAUUCACGUUGUUUUAUCUUAUUAAUAUAUACAAUCAUUUUAAUUCUUAUUUAAUAUUUUUUUUCUUAUUUUCUCUACAAUAUCACAUGAUAAUUUUUAAUUCAAUCAAUAUUUUUACUCUUUAAUAAUUUUUCUAUAAUUCAUAAGAUGAUAGUAUUAUAAGCUGAAAUCUUCAAGUAUCAAUCUCAUGAGUAUCAAUAAUAAGAAGAAUUGUUUUUAUAAUUAGUAAUUAAUUAUAAAACUACUAGAAUUUUUAGAUUUAAUGAUGAAAUUUUAUGUUAAUAUUUAUACUCACAAUCUAUCGACACAAAUUUUCUCGACGCAAUUAGAAAUAAUCCGUCAGAAAAACUCUGGUCGUUGAUUUGUGAUCUGUCAGUAAUAAUUUUACCGAGGGAUUUAUUGACGGAAAAAACAUGUAAAAAAAAAAUUAACUAUUUUAUUCCAUCAACAUUUUCAUCGAUGAAUAUAAUAUAUCAUCGACAGAAAAACCAUAAAUCAUUCCAUUGGUGAUUUUUAUUUUUUCGUUAGUAUUUUCUUUGGUGAAUUUAACAUAUAACCAUCAAACAGACUAUUUGUUAUUCAGUCGAUGAGUAAAUAGUGGUAGUGAUACUUGUAGUAAUUCUUUUCCAGCUCUCUAGAAUAUAUCGACGACCUAAGUUCGUUGGUAAUUACCCUGUCAAUAAUAAUUUAGAAUCUUUUUAAAAAAACAUUAAAAAAAUUGAAAAUCAGUGGCAUUUGCAGUAAUUAAUCAUUUUACAAAUCUUCAUUACAAUCUUCUAUGUUGAUUUCAUCGCAAUCAUCAUCUUCAUCGAUUUAUGUAUGUUUAUUUUUCUUAAAACAUCAUUUAACUCCUUAAUGUUAAUAUCAAUCAAAAUAUUCUCGGCAACAUGAAAAUUUGAGUUUUCUUCUAAGUCAUUAGAUGAAGUAGCUCAAUAUGGAACAAUUAACUCAUCAAGUUAAAAGACAUCAUCUUUGUUGUUAUCUUGAACAACUUAGACACGACCCUGAGUUUGAUUUUCAUUACAGAUAAUCAAUCAACUCUUAACGAUUAUUUCUAGAAAAAAAAGGAGUGUAUGUAUCAUAAUUUUAUUGGCAUUGCUUGGUGAAAACAUGUUAUUGAGUCUAACCUUUGUAUUAAUUUGAUCAAUUAUAAAUUUGAACAAUUAUUUGUGUAUAAAUAAUAAUUAGUAAUAAAUUAAUUUCUGAAUGUAUUUUGCAUUUUCUUUUCUCAUGUAUUUACAAUUAACGAUAGAAAUCCUCUUUUAGAAAAAUAAUAUUGUUUGCAGUUCUUAUAACGUUAGUAAUAAUAUCUAAGAUUUUUAUUAAUUGACUUUAUUAUUUUUUCACAGGUGAAAUAUUCUUUAUAGAUUAUUUUAAAGUUAAGAAAAAAAUAGACCAACGUCUUGUAUUUUAUUUGAAUCUGAGUAUGCACGUCAAAUACAGAUUUUGAAAAUCGAAUCUUGUUCUUAUAUGAACAAUAAAAUUUGGUUUUAACAUAUUGAGGAUUUUUGGGGAAAAAGUCAGCUUUUGUAUUUUGUAGAGUUGAUUGCAUAGACACAACAAGAAUUCACAGUUUUACCGAUGAAAAUAUUCUGUCGGUCUGUGAUUGAUAGUACAUCGGUAAAAUAUUUACCGACGGAAUACGUCCAUCGGCUUACCGUUCGUCGAUGAUUCCCUAUUCCAUCGCUAUAUCGGUCGGCAAAACAAAAAAAUAAUUUACCGACGGUUUUACAGACGGAAUUUGCGCGCCAAAAAAAAAAAAAAUUCCCGCUUCAAUAAUACCGACGGAUUGUUAUUCCGUCGGUGAUACCGACGGUUAAUGUCCGUCGGUAACUUAGUCGGUGAAUUGUUGACAUACCGACAGAAUAUAUUGUCUGUGAAUUCGUCGGUAAUAUAUAAUACCGACGGAAUUAAUCUGUCGGUAAAUCUGUUGGUAAGACAUGAAAACACCGACCGGAUUUAUCCGUCUGGAAAUUUGUCGGUGAUGGUCGCGGCUACUGUCUAAUGCCGACGGAUUUAUUCCGUUGGUAAAUCCCUUUGUAAUUGUUUUUUAUUUUAUUUUUUUAUAAUUAUUUAGAAUACAUAAUAUAAAAUGAUAUAAAUUAAUGGUAAUAAAAACUAAUUAUGCAAAUAAAAUUUAUAUUAAGCAUCAAAAACAAAAAAUGUAAGAUAAAUAAUAUUCAUUACAAAAUGAAAUUGUUCAAAAAAACAUUAAAUGAAAUUUUAAAUGUAAAUAAUGUUUAUCAAAAAUUAAUAUAAAGGAGGUUGAGGAGGAUCAGGAGGAGGAGAAGGCUGGCUGUUAUGCGGCCAACUUGGAUUGGGUGCACAUGUUCCACCUUGUGACAUGUUUAUGACCAUUUGACGAAGCUCUUCAUAGGCCGCUCUUUGUUGUGCAGAUUCUGCUGUGUAUUGUUCUUUGAGUUGUGUGUACGCCUCUGAUAUUGGUCGCACCUUUGCUGCAAGGCCACGAACUCCUUAGAUUGGGAGCUCGAUACUGAUUGGAGCUCCGACGGUUGAAGCAGUACGGGUCGUCCGCAAGUUGUCGGCCCUAGUGUUGGAGAGCCCGUAAACCCAUUCUUAUCGGGUCCACCUGACGAUCCAGCCUCCAUCCAUAAAUCCGGAUCAAUUCCGGAUGGGUCGAAGGAUCGUCCCCGUAUGUCUCCCUCAACAUUAUUAUAGGUCUCCUGAAAAUAAAAAAAAGUAAUAAUCAUAUUCAAUUCAAUAAACAUAAUAAUAACUUACAAAAUAAAAAUGGAUGAAUGAAUAAACAUACCACAAAAGUGGCGCGACUGUCAACGAACUGUUGCACCCCUUUGGCGGUCUUGACUCCGCACGUGCGUCUCCACAAACAACCCAUAGGGCUCGGCUCACGUCCAAGAGACGUAGCCUAUAAUGAAAAAAAUUUUAUUAACAACAAAUUAAUUGAACGAUAUAUUUCAUUUAAAAAAUCUUACCAUCCGUUUGCAUGUGCAGCAAACGGAACGGAGCCGCCGGUGUGCGUUGUCACCGAGCCAUGAAUUGGCCGAUUUCAGUUGCCAGCACCGACUGUGAGUGUCCUGCAAAGAUAGUGCGGCCAUAUAUCCUCCGGGAUGUAUUCGGUUUGAAAUCCCUCCAAACUGCAACAUCGUUCCAGCCUUGAACCCCCUAUCCCUCGCAGUUUUUUGCCUUUUUUGGGCUUCGUACCAAAAUCACGCAACCUACUUAAACGCAAUAAAAAAUUACAUUUCGAAACAUAAAUUUUUUGUAAAAAAAAGUUGUAUUGUUUUCGAUGUUACCUAGUUGCCGCGUGAUUUUCCCACACCCUCCUCACAACAUUGUUAUGUUCGUCGUCCCAGCAGAAUCGAUUCUGUGUAUAACAAAUAAUUUUUAAAAAUGUUAAUAAUUUAUUUACAAUUAUAUUAAGAAUUUAUUAGAAAUAAGCUGAAAAUUAUAUAUUAACACGAACCUCAAAUCUGGAAAACCAUGCAUUGAUUUGAGGCAUUCAUUCAGGAUGUCUGGAUAUCUGACUCCAUUGAAACAAUGGAAUCUUCAUCGACGCUUUAAACGCCGAUGAUAUUACUCGGGCGGCCUCAAUGUUUGCGAACCUGAAAAGAAUUGAAAUUAAUUAAAUAGUGAGUUCAUAAAUUUUAUUUUUUUUUUAAAAAAAAUUAAAACCUUAACAAACUUACAUUGAAAGAUCGUCCUUCCAUUGUGCCUCAUACUUGCGGCUAAAUCGAUUCCGUUGCGAAGGCAGGCCGCUUCUGCGAUGUGAAGCAGUGCUGGAAGAGGCAGCAUCAGCUGACGGCGCAAGUGGUGUAGGUGCCUCUUCUUGAGAGGCACCUAAGGAAAUGUCUUCGUCGCUGCUAGACGAACUUGAUGCGACCGGACGUGAAGCUCUGGAUUUCAUUCUCUGCAUCUAACCAAUUUUAUAUAAAUAAAUAUAUAAUUCAAUUGAAAUGUUAAAAAAAAUUCGGCAGCACCUCCCCCAUACUUGGAUACUACCCAAAUCCACAAAUCAAUUGACAACAAAACUAUAAAUUCAAAAUAAAUAUAAACAAUUAAACACAAAUCAUCAGGUUAGAGUAAAAUUAAUAAUUCUUCCAACAUAUUCAAUUACUAAAUCUAAGAUAAAUUCAACAUUAACAAUAUUAAUUCAACAAAUUAUUAAAUAUUCAUUAUGGCAAUACAACAAUAAAAUUAUUCUAAAGUAAAUUCAACAUUAACAAUAUUAAUUCAACAAAUUAAUCAAUAAUUAUAUAUGGCAAUACAACAAUAAAUUAUAUUCAAUAAAUUAAAAAAAAUAUAAACUAACAAUUAAAAUCAAUGGAAAUAAUUAAAUACAUAUCAUGCAAUAAUAGAGUAAAAUUACUAAUUAUUCUAACAUAGUCAAUUACUAAUUCUAAGUUAGAUUCAACUUUAACAACAAACAUCCAAUAAAUUAACUAAUACCAAUUAUAACAACACAACUCAAAAAAAUAUUCAAAAAAAAAACCUACAUCAAUAAAAGGAACGAAAUAUACAUACCUUAAUAAUAUGUCCAAUUCAAAACUUUAUCUACAUUACAAAAAAAUACACCAAAACAAAAAAAUAACAAAAAUAAAAACAACUACAACUAAAAUAAAAGAAAAUAGAAAAAACCACAUACCUUUAUUCAAAUCUUGCAAGAGAUUCAAGGUGAAAGCCUUGAAGGAUUGAGAGUAAAAAGCUGAAAAUUUGCUUGUCCGGAGGAGCAGAAAAACAGAGGAGAAGAAAAAAUGAGGGGAAGCGGCGGGCGUUGGAAGUUAUAUGUUAUAUGGCAGAUUUACUGACGGAUAUUAAAAAAAUAUUAUGAAUUUCACACCGAAUUUUUUAAUUGCCCUCCAAAAUUUUCGCGGUCCGUCGGUGAUUCCGUCGGUAAUCUGACACGGUCAGAGGUGCAUUCAAUUCACACCCUUUGGAAUUCACGCAGUCCGUUGGUAUUUUGGUCGGUAAAAUUUGCCCACCGACAACUUACCGACGGACAAAUUUCGUCGGUAUAGACGUCGAUAUAUUCGUCGGUAUGGACGUCGGUGAUUGUGGCAUUUCGGCGUAAUUAUUUUCGAACUCUCUGUGAGAUGCCGACGGACCUCAGUCCGUCGGUAUGGACGUCGGUGAUUGUGGCAUUUCGGUGUAAUUAUUUUUGAACUCUCUGUGAGAUGCCGACGGACCUCAGUCCGUCAGUAUCGACGUCGGUGAUUGUUCAAUGUACAAGAGUUAUUGUGUUUGUAUUUUCUAUUUACCUUCCUGCAAAAAAUUCAAUGAUAAAUUGUCCAUCGCACAAAACAAUAGCAACAGUGCUCAAACAAUAAAUAUAUAUUUCAUGUUACAAAAUAUAUCAUCCAUAAUGUAAAUUACAUGAAGAAAAAGGUUUUACACAGGGCUUCGUUUUGAUAGUUAGUCAGAAUUAUCUUCUUCUUCGUCAUCAAUUGAAUUGUCAUCACCUUCAUCGCAAUCUUCAAUAUAGAUAUCAUCUUUUUCAUCGACAUUUGCUUGUCCGCUAGAGCUCAAAACAACGUUCAACUCCUCUACGUCAACAUCAACAAGACUAUCAUUGGAAACAUGAAAAUUUGAAUUUUCUUCCAAUUCAAUCGAAGGAGCAACUCGAUAUGGUUCAACCAACUCACUAACUUGAAAGACUUCAUCCCGCACACUUGUUUCCUCGUUCUCAUCCUGAACAACCUCGACACGACCCCAUGGUUUCGUUUUUAAAACGGACAACCAAUCAACUCUUGAUCGAUCCUUUCUAAAUGAAGGGGUGUAUGUGUAAUAAACUUGUUGACAUUGCUUUGCGAAAACAAAGACAUCGUUUAUGUUGCGAAGUCUAGCUUUUGAGUUGAUUUCGACCAGACCAUGGUGCUUAUCAACUCUGAUUCCACUGUCCGUCGUGUCAUACCAAUAGCAUUUGAAUAAAAACACUGUAUUCUGCUCGCUAUGAUAUUGUAGUUCGACGACCUCUUCUAAUCUACCAUAGUAGUCAACUUCUAACUCACUACUUGUGGAUCCUUUAACACAAACACCGUAGUUGUAUGUCUUUCUUCCUUCAUAACCAUGUUUCUGUAAGGAUUAGUGUUGUCAUUUGCCGCUUCAUGCACGUUGCUAGCACUAGAAGUUGACCCAACCACCGUUUCUCUCAUUCUCCUAUUACUAACAAAUACCUCUCUAUGUGCAUACCAACACUGUUAAUCCUCCAGAAACCCUUUAUGUAGAAGAUGCAUCAUUACAACAUCUGGAUGCAGAUACUUUUUAUUUUGACACUUCCUGCAUGGACACUGUUGCUACCCAUUUUUUUGACCCAUGUUUUUGAUAUAUUUUCAAAAAAAUCCAAAAAUAGAGAAAAACAAAGAAAAUCCAAAAAAAUAUAUUUUUUAAUAUAUUUUCGUCAUUUUAGCAUUUCCAACGUCGUUUAAAAAAAAUAAUUUUAAGUGUCUUUCAAACGCAUUCGACUUUUCACGCGUCAUUUUUAAAAUCGUUGAUUUUUCUCAUCGAGUCGACGUUGAUAUUGCUCGUUUUAAAAAAAAAUACAAAAAAAUAAGAAAAAGUCAAAAUUUACAAAAAAGAAAGAAGUUGAGGGACCAAGUUUGAAAACUUGGCAACAUUUUUGCCUAUAAAUACUGGUUUCCAACACUUGCAAGAAAGGGGGGGGCUAAUUUUGGAAACACCAAAAAUACAAAAAGAAAACCCUAAGUCUAUCUCUAACAAGAGAGCCGCCGGCCACCCCUCUGGGUUUUUUGAUCUUCUCCUCACAGCUACCUCUGAGCCGGCUAAACAAAAAAAAAAACCAAGCUCUCUUUUUCCCCAAAACCGAACAGCCCCCCUUUUCACGGCAGUUCCCCCCAUUUUCUUCUCCUUUUUCAGCCGGAUCCCAGCCUCUCUCCGACAGACACCCAUCUCCCCUCAACCCAAAAAUGCAGCCGGCCCCUCCACCGGUUUUGAAUUUUUUCUCCACCCCUCCGGAGCCGAUUCCUUUUCUUCCCAUUCUUCUCCCUCACCGGACCCAAACCAGUUGGCCAAGACAGCUCCCUCAUCCCCCUCUCAGCCGUUCCUUUUCUUCUUCUCCAUCAGCGACCAAACCAGGCUCUCCGACGCUUCCCCCGUCAGCAGCCUCUUCUUCGGCGGUUCCUUCAACAACAACGGCGAAGCAGCACCGAGAACUAGCCGUCCUCACCGAAGGCCCAGCGACCACCUGAUCCCUGUCAUCUCCUCCUCUCAACAGCAGCAACCUCUUCAUCUCCUUCAACCAGCAGAGUUGCGCCUCUACCAUCGGAGAGCCACACCCGUCUCCACCGCGGCUUCAGCGGCCACAGGCGAUCUACCCGAUCCAGCGGGUAACCGACCGCACGAGCCGCCCGGUGAGCCACCCAACACCCACAACAGAUCUGCUACCCGAAGAAGAAAGAGAGAGAAGCAGAUCUAAACAGAUCUAAGGAGGGAGUCAAUUGUGUUGUCUGUUGUUGUUGCGUUUUUUUUUGCAGGUCACAACCUCGUCGCCAGCGAAAAGAGGAAGAAGAGAGGAAGACGUGACUGACCCCCCCUAUUUUUCGGUGUUCGGUGGCGCGUGGGGAGACGCGCCGCCACUUUCCUGCUGCCCAUGAUUCUUCACAGCACCGUUUCCAGCAAUUCUAGGAGGCUUUGAGGGGCUAUUUUGUAAAAUUUAAAAUUGUUGAUGUAUUUUUUUAUUUAGCAUUUGAUUUUUUUUUUUUUUUUGUACUUUGUAAAUAUGGAUGUAAAAGAAAAGGAAAAGAAAAGAAAAGAAACAAAAAUAGUGAAAGUGUAUGAAUGUGAUUGUAUUUUGUUUUAUUUAUUUGUAUAUAUUUUUUUAAUGAUAAAAUUGCAAAUAUAUUAAAGAAGAAUUUAAUAUUUUGAUCGGAUCACGGUUAAGAAUUAUUAACUUAUACGUAAGUGAUAUUUCUAAUUUCCGAUGAAAAGACAAUUAUUAAAACUUCUUUAACACAUCAAAUUCACGAAGCAGCUUACCUCAGGUAGGGUGCGUUAGGGGUGCUAAUACCUUCCCUAACCACAACCAGUCCCUUACCCGCGAAUCUUUGACAAGACCAGUACAUCCGGUUUCCUAGUAGCCCGCAAUCAAUUACUAGGUGGCGACUCCAACGAACCAAAUUCAAGCAAACGCAACAACGAGACUUAAAUCGCCAGCCGAUGCCGGCGCCAGAUUUUUUUGGGGUGCGACAGACACCUAAUACCGCCUCCAGUAAAAUUUCAGGGAAUAGAUGUUGCGAAAUUAAUAAAACCCUGAACCCCGUUACAAUAAUCCAUCCUCCGCAAUCCUUGGGGUGAAUCUAAAUACAUCCAUGAACGAUCAUCCAUGACUUCUAUCGAACCUCUAUAAAAUUAUGAUGACAUCAUGUAUAUAUUAAUUAACUAAGUUAGGUAAAUAAACUUGUAAAUAUAUUACUUUACCUCGAGAUUAUCUAACAAACCAAUCACAACUUCUCAUAAAUAUUAAAUAUUCAUUAUCAUUUAUCAACGUCCAUACAAAUUUAUAUAUAUAUAUAUAUAUAUAUAUAUAUAUAUUAAUAGAAAUUACCACUCUGCAAUACCAUCGAUAAAACUUAAAAAGGACCCAUUAAGCAAGCUAUUAAUUAUUUCAAAACAUAACAUGUAAUUCGGUAAUUCCAUAAAGUUUUAACAGUUUACAAACAAAUACAAUCUUACAAAAUCUAAAACAAACCAUAACAGGUAUAAAAUUAUAUACAUUCAUAAACUACAAGUUUGUUUGAGAAAUAACAAUAAAACAUGUACAUCUACUAAUAAAAAUACAUAUACUAAAAAAACAAUAAAAUUGACAUUUAAAUGUUAAAAUUUAAACAGAUAGAAUUACUUACAAAAAUUGAUAAAAUCCGUCGGUAAAUCAGAACACGGAUACUAUGACCACAAAACUUCAAGAAAUACAACUACUGAGAUGAGAAAGAUUUUUGUUUGGGGGCGAGGGGGGGCUGGUUAUUUGCAGAUGGGGAGACUUAGGAUUAGGAAGAAGAAGGAGAAAUAGGGGAGGAGAGUGUCGGCAGGGCGGCCAUAUAUUCACUUUUUCCGAUGGACUCACCGACGGAAUAACUCCGUUGCUAAUUGUGACGGGGAAUCGACACGUCACCGCACGAACCUGUUUUUUCAAAUCCCUCGGUAAUUCCAUCGGUAUUUUUUAACGGUGCACCUGUCACGUCACCCGUACGAAUCUGGCAUUUAAAUCCGUCCGGAGUCCGUCGGUAUUUUUGCCGGUGAACCGGUCACGUCACCCGUACGGGUCCCAGGUUUUGAAUUCGUCGGUGAUUCUAUCGGAAAAAUCACCCGCGAAAACCUCCGCCUCAGGUACCCGCCCUUUUUUCAGUAAUUCUGACUUUCCGUCCGUAAUUCGGUCGGUAAUUACCGACAUAAUAAAAUCGUCGGUAAUUACCAACCGAAUUACGGAUGUAAAUAUUCUGUCGGUAAUUUUGACCGAUAAAUACCGAUAGAAAUAUUCCGUCGGGGAUUCCGUUGGUAUUUAGCGAGUUUCUGGUAGUGAGAAAGAAUCUUUUCAGUCUAUUGAUUUCCUUUCAUCCAAGUGAGCUGAAUUUUGAAUCAGAUAGCUUGAGCAUCCCUAACUUCUUAAUUUCUAAGCAUGCACUUGUUCAUAUUGUUAGCUUGAAAUUGUGGUGAUCUUACGGCUGAGUGGCCAAAUAACAUGAAAAAUUGGUUCCAAUUAAUGCUGAAUAUGCAGAGUACUGCGAUGAAAUCAUUCUAAAGUCUUAUGACAACCUCAAAACAUUUUUUUUAAGACAUGAAUGGCAUUAAACAACUAUAAUAAACCAAACAAGUCACCCUAAAGUCUCGACAAAUCAAAUUCAAGUUUAAACCCCCACACAACAUCAAACUCAAGAUUACUAAAAAUGAUUACUUUAAACUUGCUUACAUAUGGUAAUGCCAGAUUAAUAUACAUCAUCAUUAUUCAAAAUGACACUUGAAGUGAAAGGUAGUGAUAAAGAUUAUACCUAAAUGGUUUGAAUCAAUGGAUUCCUAAUGGUUUUAAAGACAUUAAUGUCUAAUUGAUGAAAAAUUAAGUUUGGGAGCCCAAUUUGAGCUUAAUUGAGAAUAUUGAAAUUUAAGAGACCAAAUUUAAUUUUUACCAAGUUAAUUGAUUGAAAUCAGGAGCAAAAUUGCAAGAAAAAUAAAAUUUUAAGAUCAAUUAGGGGUCAAAUUGAAAAAUUUUGCAGCCAAUAAUCAUUUUGCAAAAGACGUGGAACUAUAGGGGCUUAAUUGACAAAAACCGAGGGUGAAAUUGAAGAAAAUUAAAAAUUUCAUGGUUAAUUGAGGGUCAAAUUGCAUAAAUCUAAGACCAAGGAUUAAAGUGCAAAAGCCAUUAAAACUGAGGUUCAAAUUGAAGUUCGGCAGGAAUUAAAUUGUACUAAUUUAGAAAUUUAGGGUCAAUCAGGGGUGCAAUUAAACUAAAUUAAACUUUGGCAAAAAAUGAAUCAGCAGGUGCACUGUUUAUUAUCUUAUUCUUUUUUACAUAGAAAAGUUACUCAAGUUAUCUACUUUCCAGGUGCAUAUAAUGCUUCUAACAUUCACAAAUUUGACAAAACAUGUAUGCAAAUAAUCACUCGACAUUUCCCUUCAACCCAGAAUGGUCUGUUCAAGCUGAUUGACACCAUAACGGUUGUGGGGCUGGCCUAAAGUGUCCAACCUAGAAUGGUUCGUUCAAACUGAUUGACACCAAAACUGCUCAGGUUACCUCCUUUGUAGGUGCAUUUAAUGCCUCUAACAUUCACCAAAUUUGACAAAACAUGCAUGCAAAUAAUCACUUGACAUUUCCCUUCAACCCGGAAUGGUCCAUUCAAACUGAUUGACACCACAACUGCUCAGGUUACCUAUUUUACAGGUGCAUUGAAUACCUCUAACAUUCACCAAAUUUGACAAAACAUGCAUGCAAAUAAUCACCUGACAUUUCCCUUCAACCCGGAAUGGUUCGUUCAAGCUGAUUGACACCAUAACGGUUAUGGCGUCGGCCUUAAGUGUCCAACCUAGAAUGGUCCGUUCAAAUUGAUUGACACCGCAACUGCUCAGAUUACUGACACGGCCAAAAGAUUGAUGUCUUCUCCCAAGUGCAGGAGUGUCGAAGUAAUAAAUAACCCAACAAAACCAGGGUCGAACCACAUGGAGAUUAAUUGUAUAAAUUAUAAAUAACAAUAAUACAACAACAAUAAUAAUAACAAUAACAACAAUAAUAACAAUAACAGUAAUAGUAAUAGUAAUAAUAAUAAUAAUAGUAGUAGUAAUAAUAAUAGUAAUAGUAAUAGUAAUAGUAAUAAUAAUAAUAAUAAUAGUAAUAAUAAUAGUAAUAGUAAUAUAAUAAUAAUAAUAAUAAUAAUAAUAAUAAUAAUAAAGAAGAAGAAGAAGUUGAUGAGAAUUUUAAGAUGAAAGAUUAAUGUAAGGAUUAAGCAAUGAUAAAAACAAAUGUCAAGGUUAGACAAUCCACUAAUGAUAUUUCAAACAAAUAUAGUAUAAACUCCUAUUAUUUAACUAGAAACCACACACAAAGGAGGUUCCAAUCAGAUGAUUUGUCAUUAAUAGCUCAUUAUAAAUUGUUAACAUGAUCAUAUUAAUUAUCUUAUUUAAGUAACACCAAACUUUUAAAUAUUAUCAAGAAUUCAUGAUGCUAACUUAUGUUAACAACAAAUCAAGUUCCUUUCAUAACACAGGUAUAGGUAAUACCAUACGGUUGGGCUAUGAGAGUGCCAAGCAUUUGUUGUACCAAGUGUUAUAUAACACAAAUCUAGAUUAACCAUUUAACAGGCAAGGUAUUAAGAAUUAGUAAGAUAAAAAGAUAAGACAUGUUAAUUUUAAACAUUAAAGUCCAUGUUGAGUUUACACUAUACUUAUUCUUAUACCAUUAGUAUAACCUUUUCACCUUAACAUAAUAAACUUAGCUAAACAUAAUGAAGAAGAGAAACAUAAAUAAACAAAAUAAGAAAAUAAAUAAGAUACAGGUUAACUAAGUAAAGGAAAUGAAAUGAAAAGCAUAAACAAGAUAUUAAUGAAAGCAAAACUUAAGAAUUAUAAAAAAUAUAAAAAGAGAGAGCAAGAGCAAGUUCUUGAUCUAAACAAGUAAGAGGCCUAAAUGCAUGGCAAAUUUCUCCUUUUAUAGGCCAAAAUUUGGAAGUAUUGAUUUGAUGACUAAUUGUUGAGUGGGUAACCAACUCUUGACUUGGUGAAAAUCAUUAUCUUCUUGUUUGAAUAAAACGUCAUUGCUAAAAUCAGAACUAGAACCAACUGUACUCAUAAAAGUUAUAUGAAAUUGUGUUAUCUUUCCAGAAAAAAAAAUUGAGGUCAUUUGGACUUCUAGAACUCGAGAUAUGGGCUGAACACUGAAUAGUGUCUGGGCUGCAGGACAGAUUCAGACUUCUCUGUUGUUGCUAUAAUUUGGACUUGAAAACGGCCUUUUUAAAUCUUGAACUCCACAUGAAAGUUGUAGGCCUAUGUCUUAUCGAAACUAUCCAAAAAAUUAAGAUUAUUUGGACAUCUAGAACUCAAGAUAUGACCCAAUUACCGAACAUUGUUCCAGUUUGGACUGCACCAACAUCUCUUUUCUAAGUUUGGCCCUCUCUUUGUCCUUUCAAUUUCAAUCUUUCAUUUAUGUGAUAGGCCUGCAUUUAUGAUGAAUAUUUACCAUAAAUUAAAGUUAUCUUAUAUUAUUAUGUAUGUUAUUAUAAAACAUGCUUUGGUUAAUGAGUUAUUGAUACUUCAAGUGCAAAAUGAUCAUAUAAAACCUUAUAAAAAUGCACUUUUAAAUACUAAUCAAUUAUCUCAUUUGCAGGUGCAUUUAAUGCCUUUAACAUUCACCAAAUUUAACAAAACAUGCAUGCAAAUAAUAUUGUUGUUGGCAACUGGAAUAUCAAAGGCAUAAACAAAAAAAUAAAAAGUCAAUUUUUAAAAUAGGAUGCCCCCUCAGGAGUGGAAACUGGAAUAUCAAAGGCAAAUACAUGUUGGCAAAGUUAUCAGCCUUUGAAAUGUCUAAUGCACGUUCUGAGGCAACAAAUAGAGUGGACCAAUUGGAAAUGGAAGAAGUGACCUUUGACAGGUCGUCUCGUCUGUGCUGUGUAGCAGUGACCUUUUAAAGGCAUCAAAGACUUCCAAGUCGUUGGCGUUAUGCAAUCAAUAAUUCAACAUUAAAAAAAAUCCGCACUUUCCAAGAAAAUUAACUUUUAAGACAUCAUCAUCAAACUCCUGUAUAUUUCCUUAGAUAUUUUUUUUUUUUUUUUAAAAAAAAACAAAUUAUGGAAAUAUAUUGGUAACGUUCUGAAAAUGGUACGUCAGAUUUUUCGUCCUUAACAUGUGGACCUUUCUUUAUUGAUUUUAAUAGAUUUAGACAUAACUAGUAAAUUCUCGUAGUUUUAUCUUAUAUUGUGAGCUUGAAAGAGUGGUGAUGUUGCGGCCCUAACUUCUUAAUUAACUGCAGAGAUCGUAGCAUCCCUAACUUCUUAAUUUCUAAGCAUGCACUUGUUCAUAUUAUUAGCUUGAAAUUGUGGUGAUCUUGCGGCUGAGUGGCCAAAUAACAUGAAAAUUGGUUCCAAUUAAUGCUGAAUAUGCAGAGUACUGCGAUAAAAUCAUUCUAUCAGGCACACUAAUUACCACUACCAAAAUUAUUCAAACAAGUAAUGCAUAUAUAUGCAUCGAUAGGUAUUUCAGCUAGAAACCUUUGUCUUGAGGCCUAUACUAACUUAACAUGCUAACUAGCUUGCUUCUCAUCGCCCCUUUGGGUUCACGAUCUCGGAGAACACAGCACCAGACAUCAUUUUCUCCGACUCGUUGCUUAGAAAACUCUGUUCGUCGCUGCUGCUUGUUGUUCCCAUUUCCAAAAUGCGGGAAUUCACAACUAGUUCACUGCCAGUACUAAACAAAUGACUGCUGUCAUCGAUUGAGGAGCCUUUCAGAGUAGUCACCAUGUCUACACUCUUUCCCUACACGACGCUCUUCCGAUCUCACAUGACAUUCUCUUCCGCGCUCUCUUGCAAUUGCAAUGCAAACUCAAGGCCCCAACCACAUCGGUCAUCGAUGGCCUUUCGAUUCCAUUCCCGAGCAAGCAUCUCACUGCAACAUCAACAAAGUUUUUCAGACAAUCUGGUGAGAUCUUUCCAUCCAGAAACGGAUCAAUGAUUUCAUUAAUCGUUCCGUUGCUGUGGUUUUGUCUAGCCAACUCUGCUAGACUUGCUGGCACUGCUGAUCGGUUUAUUGCUGGUCUAGCACACAAUACCUCGAACAACACAACCCCAAAUGAAUAGACAUCAGAUUUUUCUGUCAAUUGCUGGCGUUGACAAUAUUCGGGAUCCAAGUGUUGGUGGGAGGAACCACUGGUGGUGGCUUUGAAACACUCAGAGGGGAUAAAACACACUGGUUUUAUUACAAAAUCCGAAGCUUACAAUUAAUUAAAACAAAAGCUUAAACACACCCUCUUUCUCUCUUUCUCUUUCAAGUGUUUAUCUCUAUACUUUCCACACAUAUAACAUAAGCUGGGCACUCUAUUUAUACACGAAAUCAAAACAAGAAAAUUCAACCUUCAAGUGUGAAGGCGGCUGGCGGUUGUGGCAGCUGUGGGGGCGGCUGGCGGCUGCGGCUGGUGGCUGGCGGCUGGUCGGUUGGUGGCUGGUCGGUGGCAGCUGGUGGUUGCCUUCCUUGACCAUCUAGAGGUUGAGUUUAAUUCAACAAAUCUCCCCUUUAAACUCAAUCGAGAGAUAUCAUGCCAAGCAUGAACACUUCUCUCUUCAAUGCCUUCUCUCUGCUUGUAGACCCUUUUGACACCUAUUGCUUUCUUCUUUUCUGGUGGGUCCUUAUCUGCAUGGAAACAAAACAGAGUUGUAUCUUCCAUGACCUGAGUGGUAUCGUACAACUCUUCAAGAUUCCGCAUCUUUCUUGGUCCUUCUGACGAGGAUGCUGAUGGUGGUGUUGAUGAUGAUGCUCCUGGUGUGUUCCUCCUGUUGAAUACAGGGAAUCUGUGUACCGGACUUUGUGGUUCAGCUGCUGGUAUAAACACUGGACUUUGUGGUUCAGCUGCUGGCACAAUCGGUUCUUCUAUAAGUACUGUUGGUACUUCUUCACCUUCAAGGAUCAAAUCAGUGUUGAUCCAUCUGACUGCUUCUUGAUCAUCAUUCCAUGCCCAAGAUUUAUCUUCUUCAAAGAUAACAUCUCUACUCGUAAUCACCUUCUUCGUGAUGGGAUUAUACAGCCUGUAUCCCAUCCUUCUUUCACCAUAUCCGACAAAGAUGCAUUUCUCGCUCUUAUCAUCGAGCUUUCUCCUUCUUGCAUCUGGGAUCUUUGCAUAUGCCACACAACCAAAGACUCGUAGAUGAGUAACACUUGGUUUGUGACCACUCCAUGCUUCUUCUGGAGUAACUCCUUGCAAACUUCUGGUUGGGCAGCGAUUCAACAGAUACACUGCACAUGAUACAGCUUCAGCCCAGUAUUGCUUGGGCAGCUUCUUUGCUUUGAGCAAACUUCUGGCCAUGUCAAGAAUCGUGCGAUUCUUCCUUUCUGCUACACCGUUCAGCUGUGGUGUAUAAGCUGGCGUCGUCUGAUGUCUGAUGCCUUGUUGUGUACAAUAGGCUUCAAAGUCAUUGCUGUAUAUUCUCCACCUUGAUCAGAUCUUACGGUUCUGAUCGUGUAACCAGUUUGCUUCUCCACAAUUGCUUUAAAAUCUUUAAAACAAUUGAAUACUUCUGACUUCCUCUUCAGAAAGUAUAUCCACGUCUUUCUACUAAAAUCAUCAGUAAAAGUGAGGAAGUACCUAUUUUGUCCAGUCGACAUAGGCGUAAUUGGGCCACACACAUCUGUGUGUACUAACUCCAGUGGCCUCUUUGCUCUCCAGUUGACUUCUUUGGCAAAACUGGAUCUGUGUGUUUGCUGAGGACACAACUCUCACAGACUUCAUCUGGAUGAUCAAUGUGAGGCAAACCUUUGACCAUCUUCUUGCUUGCUAGCAUCUUCAUACUCGUGAAAUUCAGAUGUCCAAGCCUCAGGUGCCAAAGCCAUUCUUCACUGUUGGUGAUGGCACUCAAACACCUUGUUGCAUCAUACUGGAUGUUCAAAGGAAACAUCCUAUUCUUGGACAUUUUCACGUAGGCCAUUAAUCUCCCAUUGUUGUCUCUAAUUGUCAGAUGACAAUUCUUCGAGUAAAAACUAUAUCCUCUCUCCAAAAGUUGGCCUAAGCUGAUCAGGUUCUGCUUUAUGGCUGGGACAUAAUACACAUCGGCGAUGUAGCUGGAAUCGCCAUUCUUCAACUUGACUGGGAUGUUGCCUUUACCUUUGAAUGGAACCUUUGUGGUAUCUCCAAAAGUAACUAGACCUUGCUUGGUCUCAUCUAGAUCACCAAAUAACUCUCGGUAGCCGCACAUGUGAUUGCUGGCUCCAGUAUCUAGAUACCAUAUCUCCUUUGUUUCUCGCCAUGUCCUUGUUGGACAAGAAAUGCAGAUGCUUCUCCAUCAUGCUUCUCUACAUAGUUGGCUUGCUCACGUGUCUCCAACGGAGCUUUCCAUCGCAUUCAGUGCUAUAGUGCCCAAAUUGAUUGCAGCUAUAACAUUUGAUAUUUCUCUUCACGGUUAUUGUAACCGCCUCCUCUUCCUCUAGGAGUGAAUGCUUGUUGGCCUCGGCCUCCUCUGGUGGUGUUUCUGCCACCUCUUCCUCUAAAGCUUGUAUUCCAAGAACCUCUUCCUUGGAAUCUCUGGAAUCCUCCUCUGGAUUGUUGACUUCCUCCUUGAGUGGUGUAGCCACUUGAUGAAGUCUCCCCUUGCUCAUAUCUGUCCUUGAAAGACAGCUUUGCUUGUAAGGCAUGCUCAAUGGCCUUAUCUUCAUUUCGCAUUACAAUCUUCUGCUCAUGAGCUUGCAAAGAACUCAUAAGCUCAUCCACUGUCAACUUGUCCACUUCCUUGGACUCUUCAAUUGCGACAACAACAUGAUCAAAUUUUGGAUCUAUGGAUCUCAAAAUUUUCUCAAUAAUUCGAGUAUCGAUGAGGGCUUCUCCAUUUCUUCUCAUCUGGUUGACUAUCACCAUAAUCCUUGUGUGAUAAUCAGAAAUAGACUCCGAGGACUUCAUUCGUAAUAAUUCGAAUUCUCCUCUCAAAGAUUGAAGACGAAUCUUCUUGAUUCUGUCAGCACCUUUGUAUUUCUGUUGGAGAGCCUCCCAUAUAUCAUGUGACGUUUCAGCGGAAGCUAUUAUCUCGAAUGUAUCUUCAUCAAGACCUUGAUAGAUGAUGGUCUUUGCUUUGUUGUCCUUCUUUCUGUUGACUUUAAGGACUUGCUUCUGUGCCUCUUGUAAAGCAUCUUCUCUUUCUUUGGACUCUGGUUCAUCAUAACCAGUUUGUACAAUAUCAAAACACUCUUGUGACCCAAGAAAUGCCUUCAAUCUGAUGCACCAACUAUCAUAGUUGUCUUUGGUCAGCUUCGGGAUGAGUGUAUGUGUACCUUCUGUAGUCAUUUUGCUCUUUUAAUGACUAUAUCGCCUUCUGGGAGCCGAAUUUGACCAAACGGACACUGUAGAUCGAUCCGGAAUGGUCCAAAUAGUCGGGAACCGGUCUGACUUUGUUGAAAUCGGGUCAGAAAAUGGGUGAACCGGUCAAAAAACCAAUUCUGUACGGCGGGCGGUUCGCUGGGUUGAACCGGGAAUAUUCUGGGGAAUAUUCUUGGGAAUAUGCUGGGGAAUAUUCGUGGAAUAUUCUGGGGAAUAUUCCUUCGGCUCGGCUCGGCUCGGGGUACGGCUCGGCUUGUGGCUCGGCUGGACUCGGCUUAGGCGGCUUACACGGCUCGAAUAUGGCGCGCGUGUGGCUCAGUCGUCUUCAACCUCGGGGCGCGUGGGAUGCGCGUGGGCGAUCUGGCUGAAUAUUCAGGAGGCGCGUGUGGGCUACCCCGAACUCCGAUUUGGCUGAUUUUUGCGGCAGUGAGUUCGUCUUGAUGAGCUCUACACUGUGGAAUGAUCAAAACUUGUUUUGGACAACUUUGAAAAUUCGGAUAUACCCCAAAACUCUUCUGUUUUCCGACGAACGGGGCUCUGAUACCAAUUGUUGGUGGGAGGAACCACUGGUGGUGGCUUUGAAACACUCAGAGGGGAUAAAACACACUGGUUUUAUUACAAAAUCCGAAGCUUACAAUUAAUUAAAACAAAAGCUUAAACACACCCUCUUUCUCUCUUUCUCUUUCAAGUGUUUCUCUCUAUACUUUCCACACAUAUAACAUAAGCUGGGCACUCUAUUUAUACACGAAAUCAAAACAAGAAAAUUCAACCUUCAAGUGUGAAGGCGGCUGGCGGUUGUGGCAGCUGUGGGGGCGGCUGGCGGCUGCGGCUGGCGGCUGGCGGCUGGUCGGUUGGUGGCUGGUCGGUGGCAGCUGGUGGUUGCCUUCCUUGACCAUCUAGAGGUUGAGUUUAAUUCAACACCAAGUACCCUAGGCUACCUUUCACAACGGUGCUCACGUGGCCCUUCGAUGUGUUCGUAGGGCCUGUUUUGGACAAUCCGAAAUCCGAAACUUUGGCCACCCAUUUCUCAUCCAGCAAGAUAUUUGUUGUCUUCACAUCACGAUGAAUGACAGUGUGCUUGGCACCUGUGUGAAGGUAAUGCAACCCACGGGCAGCACCGAUGCAAAUCUCUAGGCACUGAGUCCAUGAAAGUGGAGGAUUCUCAGUUCUGUAGAGAUGAUCACGAAGCGUCCCCCGAGCCAUAUAAUCAUACACCAGGAUCAUCUCAUUAUUAUCAUUACAGUAACCAAUUAGAGAAACCAAAUGGCGGAAUCUAAGCUGGGAGAGCAUCUCAAUCUCUGUCCUGAACUCGGUUGCACCCUGCCGUGAACUUGGAUUCAAUCGCUUGAUCGCAGCACGAUUGACUCCACCAUCAAAUAAUCCUUUGUACACGUUACCAAAGCCACCAACACCAAUAAUGAAUGAAUCGUCGAAGUUGUUUGUUGCUGCCAUUAUCUCAACUAGCGAGAAACGGUAGCAUAGAUCAGAAGGUAGAGAUGGCCUAUGGGUCUUUGUUGAGUUUUUCUUGAAGAGGAAACAAGAGGGCUUAAGUUUGAAGCUGCAUCACCAGAAACCAAGUCCUUGAAUUUUUGGACUCUUCUCCGGAAAAUCAUGAAAAAUAGAACAGACACGACAACAAUGCCCGAAACAGCAGCACCAAUAAUGGCGACUGUUCUUCGAUUAUGCUUGGUUGAGGUCGCGCUAGGAGGAGUAUUACUAACGGGGCUGUCCGGAUACGCGUCAGGAUUUGGUCCGGCAAGAUUUUCUGAGUUGCUCAGUUUUAAGAUUUCAGCGCCAUUCAACAUUGCAUCAAAGACAUAAUUAGUAGAAUGAAUAGGGUGCAAUGCAAUCGACAAAUUCUGUAUCUCUUCGUUUCCUCUGGCAUCCAUCAUCACUACGUAAUCUCUGUAUAUGGGAACCCCAUUUCCACCAGCCCAAGAAAUUAUAUCUGCGUAAUGCUCUGCCGUUUGAUUAGCGAUGUAUAUUUUAAAGACUAGAUCGCCAUUUUGCAAAAAAAUCGCUAUAAACUGACAGAAAUGAAGCCUAACAAGAUAGGUGAAUCUGGAGUGGACCGGAAACUCCCACGUCAUAUUGUAUUUCUCACUACUUACAGUGGAAUUGGGCCCCAUGGUCCUAGCAGUUCGAUAGAGUUCGUCAGGUGCAGAAUAGCGAGUGUGGUUAUUUUACUGAAGUUGAAUAGUGUCAUUAAUAAAUUGAAAAGCGCUUGGUCGAGCAUCCGUCAAGUAAUCAACAUCGCUUAACCAACUUCGAUACAUGCCACAUUUACUCGGUACAUGAUCUCUAAAGCAGUUUCAUUUUGAAGGGGAAGAUAGACCCCCUGGUCAAAAUUAUACAGCUCUGGGUUAUCUCCUGCAGUGUAAUAAAGAUUGGUGGGCAUGGAUACGAUUUCAAUCCCGUUGAUGAAAGCAUAUGCAUCAGCUACAUGAGGGCUUGGCGUGAACGUUAUGCUCAGAUUUUUCUGCUCAUCUUCAACAUUUAAGAUGAAUUCUCUGGCGCAACCUCGUUCACCAAGAGGGUCAGUGUAAUGGAAGCCACUGAAGUUGCUAAGAAAGGUAUAGCGACGGGUUGUGACAGAAAAAGAUGCUUUAGACCUGUUGAAACCAGUGUAGGAAGCUGGAUUGAAAUGGAGGCGAACAAACUUAGGUCCUGUUGUUUUGACAGGAAAUGUGUAGGUGAAUUUGGAGAGAGAGACACGAGCAGUAUAAUAAGGUACAGAGCUAGGGGAGGCUUCAUUUGCUGUGGGAUUUGUUGAGGGGCCGUCUUGAUCUAGAAGGGCCACUCUUGAGUUGAUGUCUGCAGUCCAGUUUCUAGCGUUUCCAAUACUAUCGGAGGAUGAACCACAAUCAAGCGCUCUGCUAUCGAGGGGGACGUAAGGUGCUUGAUCCCCGGUUACAAGGAUGGUGAGUUGGAGGAACAGGAAGGAGAGGUGCAGAGGAGUGAAGAGAGAUAAGUUUGUGAGAGAGAGAGAUUUGCUGCUGCUGCUGCUGCUGCUCAUUUUGUUUUUGGCCAGAGGAGGAGAGAUGAAGAAAUCAAGAGGAGAAGCUCCUUUUAAUUAUAUGCUGAGAGGAGUUCAAGUCAUGCUAUAGUUUUCUGAUUCUAAUUUUUAUUCUUUUUUUGAUUUCUUAUGUAAAAUCGUUUUCAAGUAUUAGUAAUUAUAAAAGUCUCAUGGAGUAGUAUCAAUGUAUCAUUUGGCAAAGGGACAAUAUAUGGAAGACCUUUGAAAGGUUUUAUUUAUUUAUUUAUUUACAUGGGUGUUCAGGCCAGCUUAUGCGUAUCACGACUAAUUUCAUGGUCCACUAAAUAUUCUACAAACCUAGUGAGCAUGUAAGGUACCGCGAGGAUGACAGACAUGCAUGAGAUUUGAAUCUAGUGCAGGAAAAAAAAAAAAAAAAACUCUUUUCACUAAUAGGCCAAAACGUCAAGUGUACUUUGAAAGUUCUUUGAUAGUACGAGCGGAGCAUGAAAGACUUCCAGGUCGUUGGCUGUAUUCUAUCAACUUUAGAGAUUUCCGUGUCUAGGGGGGCAUGAAGGUCUAUCAUGACUCUCAUCUAAACUGUUAGGGUCUCAUCUAAACUGUUAGGGUCUGGUAUAUAGGGUGAGAUAAUUGAAGUGAUAAUCUUAACGUAUAAAAUUUAUUAACUCCAAACGAGUGAUAGGGUAAAUAUUUUUUAAUGUUUUCUCUCAAAGCAAAUUAAAGAAAACUUGAAUGAUUUUGGGUGAUUGGGUGCCUACAAGGAUACAGGCGAGAGGAGCGACAUGACCAUUUGCUUCCCAUUAUACUUGAUGCCAUGACACUAAUAAUUAAAUAUUUCGCUUCUGGUUUGUAUUUGGACUAACCAAAUUCAGAGGACUCUCCAUGUUAAAAUAAUUUGUAUGCUAAUUAGAUAUAUGUGAUUUGAUUCUUUAAGCCGCGCUAAUCCCUCCUUUUGUAGUCGAGCAAAUUUAACGUUACUUUUGACUUAAAAAGAAAGGAUGUAUAUCAUAUUUAUAUUUGUUCUAGUUUCAAACACAUUUAAAUAUUGAUUAAAAUUUAAAACUAAAAAACUUUUUAAAUUAAAUUUGUAUUUUUCAUUUAUUUACGGUUGAAAUUUCUUUAUUUUAUUUUUUAUGUGGUCAAUUUUUUUUUAUGUUUUAAUUUAAGAGGUCAAAAAAGUUUGAUUAAAAAUCUCUUUUGUAGAUUUUUACUUUUUAUUUUUAACUCUCAUUAAUAACGGGUCAUCAUUUGGAUCUUAAAUGAAUAAAAAGAUAGUUUAAUAAAAUUUCCAGUGAAGGAUAAGAUGAAAGAAGUGCAGACGAAACAUACUUGAUGGUGUUAAAUGUGUAAAUUUUCAUAGACAUGAUUUUCUAAUUUAUUUUUUCAUGAUUGUUUUUAUUUACUCGAGCUUUUUUAUUUUUAAAAUAAAAUUUAUUUUUUCCUAUUGUUUUUCUUUGCAUCUAUAAAAAAAACAAAACGUAUCUAUAAAAAAUAAGAAACAAUAAGACAUAAGAAGAAUUUUAGAAUAAAUAAUAAUAAAAAGAUCCAACAUUAAUUCAAUAUUUUAUUUUAUUUUUAUUGAAACUAGCACUAAUAAAAAUCUUACACGUAUCCUUAUAUGUUUUUGAAAUUUAAAAUUAAUAAAAAAAAAUUGACUUGAUCAUUGAUAGAGAAACUCAUAUUGUCCAAUGAACUGUAAACAAUAUUGAAUUAUGCAAUGUGAAAUCACUACAAUGUAUAUAUAUAUAUAUAUAUAUAUAUAUAUAUAUAUAUAUAUAUAUAUAUAUAUAUAAAAUGAUACUAAUGGAGCCUCUAGUCUAAUCAAACCGGCUAAAUUCCAUGUAAAAUCGUUUUCAAGUAUCAGUAUAUGAAAGUUUCCUAGAGGUUUAAAGUCAUUGGCAUACUCUUUUAAAUGAUGCUUCUCUUUUAAAUGAUGCAAUGAAAUAUUAGAAAGAGGUUCGUUGAAACCAAAUAAUAUUGAUAUCUAUACUCUUUUAAAAGAUGCUUCUCUGUAUGAAAUGAUGUUAUGCUAAAGAGCAAAAAACAAGUUAUUAAGAGGAACUUAUUUAGUUGGUUAUUUGAAUGAGAUAGUUAAGGACAGUUCAAUAAUUGCCUUGGAUUUUGAUGAAGAGUUUGAGGAAGAUCAACAUUAGCUAAUUUCAAUCGCAUAACUUAAGAAUGGAUGAUUGUUCGAGGAUGUUAUAGAAAGAAAUCAUGAAGAGGCUAGCAAACAUGUUAUUAAAGAAACAAAAGCUAUCAAUAUGGUCAAUAAGGGAAAGAACACUCUUUUGAUAUCAAAAGAGUUGAAGAAAUUUUUAACCAAUUAAUAUGUGAAAGGAAAAUCAAGCUCUUUGGUAUUCACAUGAACUCCAUUGCUGAACAGAUCAAGAGGAAAUUAUAUUACAUGUGGCAUAACUAAUAGAGACAUGGCAUCAAUAGUUGUGCUGUCUUUAUAAAUCAGAUCUAAAAAGCACUUGAGCCUGAUCAUAUUUGCUUCCAGAGAAAGAAAAUUAUGAUAGAUAACAAUCAUUUUAGCAAUUACGCUAACGCUAGAAAAACUCAAUGGUAAAAUAGAUUUAUAGAACACAAUGCCUUGUCGACCACGAAAAAAGCUAGAAUUAGUCAUGAAUACUACUACUAGAAAAAGCUAUUUCAAAUAUGACAAGGCUAAGGAGUUGGCAUUAGAAGAUUAGUAAAUACCUUCAUAUGAGGUGGGUGGGUAUGCAUGUAUCAUAUUGUUAUAGAACUCUAGAUAUGGGGAAAAUACCAUUAAGAGGUCAAGUUGUUAGUAACAAGACAAUUUGGUGAUCAGAAUUAAAACUAUUGAUGGACAUAGAAGAUAGCUGUAACAUUUCAUAUAAAAGUUGUAGAGGAAUGAGUUAGCUAACAUUUGGCACUAGCAUUACCUUAAUUGGACUUAUAAAACUCCAGAUAUAGGAAAAAUACCAUUAAGUGGAUAAGCUUUUGUAACAUGACAUAUUUCACCACCUGACUUCUAAAUAGUUUUAAAAUAGAUGAAUAAUAGAAUUUUGGGCAAUCUUAUACAUGAAAGUUGUAUUUAAAGAUGUUAAAUUUCAUUAGGAUUUGGCAUCACCUGAAUUGAAGCUCUAGAAUUCCAUUUGGGGACUAGAAAUUAUAGACUGAACAUGUUGUGAAUUGAUGGAGAGAUUUACAUAUAUAUAUGUGUAAAAGACGAGUGAUUUUAGGCAUGCUAAUGAUUCAUGUUGAAAUUAAUUCUUCUAAAUCAUGAUAUAUAUAUAUAUAUAUAUAUAUAUAUAUAUAUGUGUGUGUGUGUGUGUGUGUGUGUGUGUGUGUGUGUGUGUGUGUGUCAACAUUCAAAAGAAACAUAUAAAAGGGUCUAGACGAAAAUAGAUGUUGAAAUUUCAUUAAUGCAAAACCAAGUCAUAGAUAUUGAAAUCUUGUUGAUACAAAACUAAGUCAAGGACACCGAAAUUUUGUUGAUGUAAAACAAAUUUUGAGUCAUGCGGACACUAACUCUAAAAAUAUACUUGAUAUGUAUAUUGACACAACCAAAAGAUUGAUGUCUUCUCCCAAAUGUAAAAGUGUCGAAAUAAUAAAUAACCCAGCAAAAUUGGGAUCGAACCACAGGGAGGUUAACUAUACAAAUUAUAAAUAACAACAACAACAACAAUAAUAGUAAAACUACUACUAGUAGUAGUAGUAGUAGUAGUAGUAAUAGUAAUAAUAGUAAUAAUAAUAAUAAUAAUAAUAAAGAUGGAGAAGAAGAAGAAGAAGUUAAUGAGAACUUUGAGAUGAAAGAUUAACGGAAGGAUUAAACAAUGAUAACAACAAAUGUCAAGGUUAGAGGAUCUACUAAUGGUAUGUCAAACAAGUAUAAGAUAAACUUUUAUUAUCUAAUUGAAAACCACACACAAAGAAGGUUCCAAUCAGAUUAUAAAUUAUUAACAUGAUUACUGUGAAAACCCGCUAAAUUAUAAUAUGAGUAAAAUAAAUAAAGUAUUGAAUAAAUUAAAUAAAAAGAUUUUAAGUAUUGUAAUUGGAUACAAUAGAAUAAAAUAUAAGAUGUUAUGGUGUGAAUUAAGUAAAAGAAGAGUUGAGUGACAAAAAUAGAAAUAAGAAGAAAUGAGGGCCAAUGUGUAAAUUGGUAAAAGUUAGACUAUAAAUGCUUCAUCUUUUUCUCUUUUAGCCGUGAGUUUGAAACAAAGAGAGGGGGAAGAAUUGUGUGAUUUUCUACUUAAAUGCUCAUUGAUUUCACUAAUUAAAGUGAGUAAUUAGAGUGAUUAACUUAAUUAAACAUCAAAAGGGGGUUGAUUUUAAGGUGGUGAGUGCAUUGAAGGAAGGAUUUCAAGCUAGGGUUUGAAGAGGGAGAAUAAGAAAACUUGUUUUUCUUGCAUUCUUUCCUUAAAUCCUUAUCAAAGUGAGGUAAAUAACAUGUUCUAAAUGAUUAAUUCCUUUAUUUUUAUGUUUGAUGAAGGAUUAUGCAAAAUGAUGAUUAUGUGAAGUUGUGGAUUUAUGUUAUAAUUUAUAGGAAUAAUGCAAAUUAUGUUUGAACCAUGUUAGAAAGCAUGAAUUAUGAUUGGGUAAGUGUUUAAUUUUAAAUAAAUGAAACAAAAAUUAAUUUUCCCCAUUUUAAUUGAAUAUUUGGCCAAGAGAGGAAUAAUUUAGGGGAUUUGAGGUUUAAUACAAUUGUUUGGAAAAUAUGGGAAGAUGAAAGUUUAUAAGUGUUGUUAUAUGAAUGGAGUAGGAAUUUUUUUCAAGGAGAAAAGAAAAAUAUUCACUUCCCUCCCUAAGUUGUUUUUGGCUAAAUGGAGAAGAAAAUUAGAGAAUGGAGUUUAAAUGAUAUUAUUGAGGAAUCUUACUAAAUUUAAGACAAUUGAUGUUGAUAGGUUAAAUUGAAUAGAGACUUUUAUGGAAAUAAUAAUAAUAAUAAUAAUAAGAAAAUGUUUCAAAAGGGGGGGGGUUUAUCCCCCUUGAAUUAAAAGUCAAUUAAACUUAAUGAAGGGUAUUGGAUUUAACAAAGAAUAUGUCAUGGGUAUUAGAAUUUUACCGGUUCAAAUGAAUGAACAAAUGACAAAGUAAUUUUGUUGGUGCAGAGGAGGCCGCAGGACCUGAUCAGCAACAAGGGACCUCUUCACGCGCACAUACACCAGGUAGGUGUUCAACACCUUUGAGUGAUUAAUCAGUUUAUAUUUUUUAUUGUACAAGGAAUUUUAUAGAUUAUAAAUAUUAGUGCUGGUUACUAGAAAUAAUGCCCUGGUGAAUGGGCAAGCCUUGAAAAAUUAUUUCCUGGUUUCUGGAAAUAAUGCCCUGGUGAAUGGGCAAGCCUUGUAAAAAACUUAUUUCCUGGUUACUGGAAAUAAUGCCCUGGUGAAUGGGUGGUUACUGGAAAUAAUGCCCUGGUGAAUGGCAGGCCUUGAAAAAUUAUUUCCUGGUUACUGGAAAUAAUACCCUGGUGAAUGGGUAGUUACUAGAAAUAAUGUCCUGGUGAAUGGGCAAGCCUUGAAAAAUCAUUUCCUGGUUACUGGAAAUAAUGCCCUGGUGAAUGGGCGAGCCUUGAAGAUCAUUUCCUUAUUAUUGAAAUUUAUGCCUGGUAGAAUGACCAUGUUAAGAAAAUUAAUUUUUCAAAUUAAUGGGAUAAUCACUCGAUGUAAAAUAAAUCAUAAAACUUUGAAGUUAAAUAUGCUAGGUUGUGGGAGACACUCUUGAUAUUUUUAUUUUAGUAGAUUUAUCCCUGUCUAGAAGAGAAUUUAUGAAAUUAGAAAUUUCAAAAAGAAAAUAAGACAAUUAAUUCUAUGAUAUGAAAAUCACCUUAAUGUAUAUAAAUAAUUAGUUCUUAAUCAGUUACUUAUUGAAAUGUGCAAUUGUUUUAAUCAUGUUUAAUGCAAUUAUGUUUUUAGGUACAUCGCACCCUCGAUCUGGAAAGUAGAUGCUCGGAUAAAUAAUUUUGUUAUGUGAUUAAUGUACUUGGAAGAACUAAUAUUUUGUCGUAAUAUGCUUCCAUAUCUAAAAUUGUAAUGUUUAACUUAUUAUCUUGUGUAUGAUAUAAUUUGUAAGGUUAUUAUUAUUAAGUUGAAUUAUGGUUGGUUGUGUGUGUAUAUAUAUAUAUAUAAAGAGAUGAUGCAUGUUAAGAAUUUAUUAGUUUUAUUGUAGUGUUCUAUAGAAAAUAGAAUUGUGAUAUUGAAAUAUGCUUGAGUUUUUUGAUGUCCAAAUGAUGGGACGAAUAUUGUGAUUGAUGUUACAGGUUGAGAAAUGAUUGAGUCGAUAACUUGGUACCUAAAGAAUACAAAGGAAACUCUGCCGAAAUUUCGAGAAUAUAUAUAUAUAUAUAUAUAAAAAAAUGGUAACUACGAAUAUAUCUAAUAUAUUUUUGAGUUUACAAAUUGAGACUGUUACAAUUACAUUAGUUAUCUUAUUCGAAUAAUGCUAAUAAUUGUAAAUGUUGUUAGGCAUUCAUGAUUAUAACUUAUGUUAACAACAAAUCAAGUUUUUUUCAUAGCUUAGGUGUCGGUUAUACCAUACAGUAUGGGCUAUGAAAGUGCCAAGUAUUUGUUGUACCAAGUGUUAUACAACAUAAAUCUAGAUUAACCAUUUAACAAGCAAAGUAUUAAAAGUGAACAAGAUAAAAAAUAUAAAACAUGUUAGUAUCAAACAUUAAGGUCUAUGUUGAGUUUACACUAUACUUAUUCUUACACCAUUAGUGUAACCUUUUCACUUUGACAUAAUAAACAUAACUAAACAUAAUGAAAGAAAGAAAAAUAAAUAAACAAAAUAAGAACAUAAAUAAGAUAAAAGUUAACUAAGUAAAGGAAAGGAAAGGAAAGGCAUAAACUUGAUAUUAAUGAAAGCAAAACAUAAGCAAUACAAAGAAAGAAAGCAAGAGCAUGAUCUUGAUUUGGAAACCAAGAUGCCUUAAAAUUUGAAACUAUUGAUUUGAUAAAUAAUUGAUGAGUGGGUGGCCACAUCUUAACUUAGUGAUAAUCCUUAUCUUCUUGUCUGAAUAAAACAUCAUUGAUAACGUCAAAAUUGGAACCACUUGUACUCAUGAAAGUUCUAGAAAAUUGUCUCAACUUUCCAGGAAAAAAAAGGUCAUUUGGACUUUUAGAACUCCAGAUAUGGGCCAAACACUGAACAGUGUUCAGGCUGCAAGAUAGAUUCGGACUUCUUCGUUGUUGCUAUAAUUUGGACUUAAAAAUAACCUUUUUAAAUCUUGGGCUCCAUGAAAGUUGUAAGCCUAUGUCUUACCUUUCCAUCCAUAUAAAGUAGACCUAAAUUUGAGAUCUACAACUCCAGAUAUGACCCAAUUACCGAACAAUGUUCCAAUUUGGACUACACUAGCAUCUCUUUUCUAAGUUUGGCCAUCUCUUUGUCCUUCCAAUUUCAGUACUUAAACUCAUCAAUCAAUCCUUUCAUUUAUGUGAUAGGUCUGUAUUUAAUAUGAACAUUUACCACAAAUUAAAGGUACAUUAUAUUAUUAGAUAUGUUAUUAUAAAACAUACUUUAGCUGAGUUAUUGAUACUUCAAUUGCAAAAUAAUGAUAUAAAACUUUGAUAAAAAUACACUUUUAAGUACUAAUCAUAUAUAUAUGUUAUGAUAAGAAAAUGAACAUAUAUAGAAAGUAUCAUAUGUAUAAUGAAUUAAUAUGGACUGCCUAUAACAUUUGGCUUGAAGGAAUCAUGACCAAAUACUUCUUUGUGAUUCAGAAGGAGCGACCAGGGAUUGGAUGUUCUAUUAGAGAAAGUCAUGAGACAUGUGGAGCAGGUAUGUGGUUUCCCUCUUCUUCACACUUAUAGAAUUAUAAUAAUGUUAUGUUCAAUAUAAAUAAAGUCUAGUGUAUUAAUGAGAUUAGUUUCAGCUAAUGGUAUCUGUGAUAAGAUUUUUGGGAAAUGAAUUACAAUAUUAGUUUCGGCUAAUGACAUUCGUGAUAGGAUUGCAAAGAAAUGAAUUAGAAUAUUAGCUUUGGCUAAUGACAUCCAUAUUGGGAUGCUCGGGAAUGAUCGAUAAGGCUCGAUUUGUAAAGGGUAUCCGUGGUUGGAUGACCUAGAAAAUAUUAUAAGUAUAAUUGCCCAAAAAUAUCCAAGUUGGACUAUGCAAGGUUAAAGAUCUAGUAAAACCAAUUAAACAAAGUUACUAGGUUCAUGUAAGAAAAUAAUAAUAUUAAAUUAAGAAUACAUAAAUGAGGUCUAAUUGGGUUUUAAAUGAUUCUCGAGACAUUUAUAAGUUGCUUAUUAGAAUUCCUAGGAAACCAAUAGAAAACUUAUGUUUUAUUUGUAUUCAUUACAUGAUCAUUUAUAAUUUUACUGUCAAUAUAAUUUUAUAUUUAUUAAGUUGUUUUUGUAACAAAUCUAUCUAGUAGCCAGGGAGCUCAUUAGUUUUUAGGACUUUACUUUGCUAAGUUUAUGUAAAAAUUUAACUUAUGCAUAAAAGUAAUAACUAGAUUAUGCAAUAUGUUUUUUGUGUAAACUCAGAUAUAUAUUGUAUGAAUCAGAACUCCUUAGUUAUUUGGUAAUUAAUCCUUUUGAAACCUUUAAGAAUACUUAUGUUAUGUUUUAAAUUCUCUUGUUACAUGUUAGUAUAUAUAUAUGCCUUAUGAACAAGAUCAAUAUAAACAUAGCCCAUAUAUUUUUUUAUUUUCAAAAAUAAAAUUAAUAUAUACAAAAGAUUCAAAAAAAUUAUAGAUAAAUCAGAAGAACCUCCUAAAAAAUUAAAACAAUAAUUAAAAAAUAACUUUCAUUUCAAAGAGGCUCUUUAAACAACAUUAAAAAAGGUAUUGAUCUAAAUAUAAAUAAAAAAAUAUGAAAUGAAUUAAUUUUUUAAAAAUAAAAACUCAAAAAAUAAAAACACAAAAAAAGGCCAAGAAUUGUCGAACCUAGCAAGGUAGGUCAGCCUACUUAGCCCAUUUUGUUAGGGCCCAUGCGCACUGACUUUUUUUUUUUUUUUUGCAAAUUAUUUAUGAAAAAAACAAAUAAGAUUAUGUGUCACUCGUGGGCUAUAUAUUUUUCUCUCUUGCAAAAACGUUGUACAUGCAUGCUUUUUUGAUGCAUUUUUUACAUAAAAAGAUUUAAAGUUUAGAUUAAAAAGCUUAUGCAUUUAUGUAAUCAAACAAAUCGACAAUUAUGUGAAUUAAUAAUCGAAAAAAAGGUAUUGAUGAUAACUAAAAAUAAAAUUAGAAGAUUCAGGUAUGUUAAUAAAUGAAAUAUUUACUUGGUUGUGUAUUUUUGAAUUUGUUUAUUAAAAUUAAUAUUUUUAUUCAAUUAAAUGAUAUUAAAAAUAAACACACAUACUAAAUUAAUCAAAUAAAAUAAAAGUGGAAAAAAAUAUUAUGCAAAGUUAUACAUAUUAUGUUAUCUGAAAAUAAAUAUUUUUAUUUUUAAAAUAAAAUUCUUGUAUACAAAAAGAUAAAAGAAAAAAAUUGUCGAUGAAUUAGAAUGAGUUUUUCAAAAAUUAAAUACGAACAACACUAUAGAAAAAUAAUCUCUAUAAAAAAUCAACAAAAAAAACCCCACAAAUAAGAGAUAUUAAUUAAAACAUAACUUUAAAAAAUAUUUAAAAAGGACACAUAAAAAUUAUCAGUAGAAAAAAGCAAUAUCAAAAAAACAAAAUGUCUGGUUGUUGAAGCUUAACUCGUUAAACUCAUGAUCCGAACAAUAAACUCAAUCAGGUUCAAUAGUUUUUCCCCUUAAAUAUAUAUUCAACUUUUAACAUGAAAAAAUUAAACCCGUAACCCGGAUCAUGAACUCAACUAGACUUAAUAUUUGUUUCCAUUAAAUUUUUUUUUUUAAAAAAUAAACCCUUUACCUGGACCAUGAAUUCAAAUGGAUUCAAUAAAUUGUUUCCCCUUAUGUUUAUAUUCAACCUUUAAAAAAAAUUUAAAAACACACAACAUGAUAAAAAAAAAAUGAUAUAAAAAAUGUAAAAACAAAUCACAAAUAAAUGAUGUUAAUGAAACAUAAAUUUAAAUUAUUUAUAAAAAGAUACCAAUAAAAAAAAGGAAAUAUCAAAAAAAAUAUCCAAUUAUUAUGGCUUAACUUAUUAAAUUCAUGUCUCAGUCUAUAAACACAAUUAAAUUCAAUAUUUUUUCUUUCCAAUUUAUAUUUAACUUUUUUUAAAAAAAACACCACGUGAUCCGGAUCUACAUCUGAAACAGGUAAAGUAUAAUGUUGUUGAUCCACGCUAGCAUGAAAUUGAUCUCUUGUGAUAUCAUUUAAUUUCAUGUAUAGGAAAAUAUGACCUAACCAGUCAAUCAUUGCCACAUUCCUCUUCUUUCUUAGCUGCUUGCUUUUAUAUUUGAUUAGAUAGACACCAUUAAAAAGAGCUAGCUCAAAAUAAAAGAGAUGCUAUUAGAGGUCUAGGCGCGAGGACGCGCCAACAAAAGCACACUGCCUAGAAUUCGGUAGCGAUGGACAGCAGCAGAGACGAAUUCAGCAAACAGUGUGCAAUGGUCUGUGCAAGUCUUUGAGCUGGCGACUUGACAUGGACAUAGGGGCUUAGAUAAUGGACCUUCUAAGUCAGCAGCUGACGCAGCAACAACUGGUAGUUUGACUGCUAGGUGGACAGCCAGAACGUGGGUGAAGUGGCAGCUUCAUGGCCUAGAACAUGGGUAACUUGGCAGCAUCCUGUGGCCAGAACGUGGGCAUAACUGGGGUGCUCUCCAAGCUACUAGGAUCAUGGAGAUCAUGGGGGAGAAAGUGUCCCACUAUGUCUUGAAAAAUAGGAGUCAUGAGUGAGCCUUGCAGCUCACAUAUUUGUCUAUAAAUAGGCUGCAAAAGCCUUGGUUGUGUAGCAUGCAAUUUAUGUGCAAAGCUCACACACUCUUAUUGUGUAAUCCUUUGUUGAUGAGAUAAAUAAAGGUUGAGAGCUAUUCUUGUAAAGUUUGGUGUGCUUGCUUGUGUUUGUUCUUUGUUUACGACGAGGCGAUUGUAAGAACCUCUUUGAAUGAGCGAAACACAUAAUCGUAGAAAACACGAGUGAAAGGGGAGGCUAGGCUGAGUCUAGUUGGGACUAGACUGCCGCAUUGGGUUGAAUUUGAUUGCGAAAAAUUUAACCCCAUGACAGAUACCAUGAAGAGUCUUUCCUUGUCAGCUCUAACAUUAUCGUCGUUGUUGUUGAUGAUGUUGCUAGUAUAUUUCAUCAUGAACUCAACUGGACUUAAUAUUUGUUUCCAUUAAAUUUUAGAAAAAAAAAAUUUUGAAUCUUUUGCGAAAGGGACAAAACCAUCGAUGUUUACUAUCAACACUCUAAUUUUUUAGAGAAGAAAGACACCAUGAAGAAAUGGAGACCUAUAUUUCUCAGGUACGUGUACAUGCAUAUAGAUCAUAAUGCAUUGUUUUCAACUGUCGCACGUGUGCGGCGGCGCGGCGAUCGUCCACCCUCAAGGAAAAAUUGGAAGAAUAUUUAUUCCUGGAAAAUAGGGAGAGACAAGGAAUUCUUGUCUCUACAAGUGAAAAUAUGGACUGGGAGUCGCCACCUAGUAUUCUGGUUACUAGGAACCUUAACUGGUCUUUAGAGAUCGGGUACGGAGACUAGUUGCGUAAAGGGAAGGUAUUAGCACCCCAACUACGCCCUACCUAAGGUAGGCUGCAUUGUUUUAAUGUCUGAUAAAAUCUAAAAUCAUGUUAUGGUUUUUUAAUUAUUGGUUCGUUUACGGUUUAAGAAAAGUCCUCCUAUGUAAGGAGAUCCUUAUCUUUAUCGGGUAAAAACCUAACUAUUCAAAGUCGUCAAAAGAAAAUAUCUUUUUAAUAUCAGGAAUACGAUUUACGUAUAAAUUCAUAAUCCCUGAUACUAAAAUCAAACAAAAUAAAAUUUUUGUUGUUUUUGAGAUUUUGGUCAAUGUUCUCUUGACUUUAAUAAACUGGUUAUUAAAGCCAAAAUGCAUGCUAAAAUAUUGUUUUUUGACAUAUGAAAAAUAUGAUAUGAGUUUUUAGAUUUGAGACACUUGGCCGUAUGCACAAAAAUAUUUUUUUUUAGUUGUUUUUUUGUAUUUUUGGAAGUUUUUGCCGAAAAUCGGGUAUUUUAAUACCGGAUUUGUAUUUUACGACAUAAAAAUACUGGCCGAUAUUAAUCAAAAUGACAUAAAAACGACGCGGAAAAAUUAUAAAAUGUUCAAACAAAUAUUUUUGAUUUUUUAUGUUGUGUGAACAGUACCGCGGGACGAAAACUGGGUAUUUUAAUACCGGAUUUAUAUUUUUACAAUGUAAAAUACAGAUCGAUAUUAAGCAAAAUUGAUAAAAAAAAAAUGUGCUGAAAAAAAUUGUAAAAAAAAAAUAAAAAAAAUUGAAAUGGGCCGGACCCGGCCCAUUUCAGUGGGCUGGGCCCACCCGACCCAUUUCUAAAUGGGCUGGUUACUGUGCAUAGCCUAUCAUCAGUUGCAGAACGUGAAUUAAUUCACGUUCUGCAUGAAAACAAAAGAAGGCAGAAGGAGAAGGAGACGGGGCAGCGGGAGGUUACCUGCGGUGGCGUCGAGGCGGUGCUGGUGGUGGCAGCGGAGGCGAUGGUGGCGGAGGCACAGUGGUUCUGCGUUUCCCUUCUCUCUCUCUUCUGUUUUUCUUCGUUUUCUUCCCUGCUUCUUCUUCUUCUUCUUCUUCUUCUUCUCUGCCCUCUCUCUUCUCUUCUCUUCUCUCUCGGUUCGUCUCCCUCUUCUCUCUCCAUCGGUCUCCCUUCUGUUUUUCUUCUCUUUUUUUCGGUGCCCCUCCCCUGUUUUUAUAGGCAAAAACAGGGGGGUGGUGUCGUGGUGGGGCGGCCACUGUCGGUCGCCCCUCCACUAUCGACUCAAAAGGAUAAAAAGGAGGAGACAAGUGGGUGAUUGCGGGCGUCUUAUUGCGCCAAAUCCGGGUGGGAAGUCGGUGCGAAAUAGAGGAGAAAAAAAAUCUUUGUCUCCCCUGUUCUCUGUGUGCGCAGGGAAGAAGACGAUGGUGCCGUUUCAAAACGACACCAUUUUGCAUUUUCCUUUUUUAUUUUUUCAAACAGUGCACGAAACGGCGCUGUUUUGGUCAAAACGCGCUGUUUCAUUUAAAAGGAAAAGGCGCCAAAACUUGUCAGAUUCAAAUUCCGGCCCUCCAUUUGCGCGCGUUUUACAAUUUAGUCCUUGGUCUCGGAUUUCUUCAAUUAAGUCUCUAAUUGGCCAUUAAACUUCAAUAUUUAUGCAAUUAAGCCCCUGAUUUGACCAAAUUAACUUCCAAAAAUUUAAAUUUGACCCCAGAAAAUUAAUUUCUCCUAAUUAAAGCCCAAAUUAACUCCAAAAUCAAUUUUUCUUGCAAUUAAAAUCUUUAUAAAUGCAAUUAAACCUUUAAUAAAAUUUAAUUGAGUCCAUAAACUUCUGAUUUUGCAUUUUCUUCCACAAAAUGAAUUUUCUUUAUCAUCGGGGCUCUCAUCAGUCAAUGAUAUACUGUCAAAAAUUAAUUUUUGAUUUUUGAACAUCCUCAAUCAAUUUUUGAGCAUUUUUAGGGCGCUCCGGCAUUUUUUCACUGUUAUAUUUUUUGAUAAUAUAUUUUUUUGAAUUUUUUUGUAUUUUAUUAUUUUUUAUGUGGGGACCCAGAAAUGGGUUACAACAGUUGCCCCCCUCUUUACAAUGCUUACGGAGCAAAGAUUUGUGCAUAGUAAGUGUUGUAAAGAUAAAACAAAAUUGGUUUUCCAAAACGGGUCGUCUCAAACUUUGAUUGACCUAAAACUUCAACCGGACCCAAAGUCCUGUGUGUGGUUGGGCUAAACUGAGAUUCCUUUUGCCAAUCCCCUUUAACCCGAAACUUAAAUAUUAUGUGUGUGUGGUUAGGAUAGACUAAGAUUCCUUUCGGCAAUCCCCUCUAACCAGAACCAAAAUCCUCUGUGGUUGGGAUAGACUGAGAUUCCUUUCGGCAAUCACCUCUAACCUGAACCAAAAUCCUCUGUGUGGUUGGGAUAGACUGAGAUUCCUUUCGGCAAUCCCCUCUAACCAGAACCAAAAUCCUCUGUGUGGUUGGGAUAGACUGAGAUUCCUUUCGGCAAUCCCCUCUAACCAGAACCAAAAUCCUCUGUGUGGUUGGGAUAGAUUGAGAUUCCUUUCGGCAAUCCCCUCUAACCAGAACCAAAAUCCUGUGUGGUUGGGAUAGACUGAGAUUCCUUUCGGCAAUCCCCUCUAACUAGAACCCAAAAACCUGUGUGUGCUUGGGAUAGACUGAGAUUCCUUUCGGCAAUCCCCUUUAACCAGAACCAAAAUCCUGUGUGUGGUUGGGAUAGACUGAGAUUCCUUUCGGCAAUCCCCUCUAACCAGAACCAAAAUCCUGUGUGUGGUUGGGAUAGACUGAGAUUGCUUUCGGCAAUCCCCUCUAACCAGAACCAAAAUCCUGUGUGGUUGGGAUAGACUGAGAUUCCUUUCGGCAAUCCCCUCUAACAAGAACCAAAAUCCUGUGUGUGGUUGGGAUAGACUGAGAUUGCUUUCGGCAAUCCCCUCUAACCAGAACCAAAAUCCUGUGUGGUUGGGAUAGACUGAGAUUCCUUUCGGCAAUCCCCUCUAACAAGAACCAAAAUCCUGUGUGUGGUUGGGAUAGACUGAGAUUGCUUUCGGCAAUCCCCUCUAACCAGAACCAAAAUCCUGUGUGGUUGGGAUAGACUGAGAUUCCUUUCGGCAAUCCCCUCUAACCAUAACCAAAAUCCUGUGUGGUUGGGAUAGACUGAGAUUCCUUUCGGCAAUCCCCUCUAACCAGAACCAAAAUCCUGUGUGUGGUUGGGAUAGACUGAGAUUGCUUUCGGCAAUCCCCUCUAACCAGAACCAAAAUCCUGUGUGGUUGGGAUAGACUGAGAUUCCUUUCGGCAAUCCCCUCUAACCAUAACCAAAAUCCUGUGUGGUUAGGAUAGACUAAGAUUCCUUUCGGCAAUCCCCUCUAACCAGAACCAAAAAUCCUGCGUGUGUAGCUCGGUCAACCUAAAAUCCCAUAUGGAGAUUCCCUGCUACAUGAGAUCCCAUCUGGCAACCUCAUUUAACCAAAACAAAAGAAAAUGUGAAAAAAAAACGGUCUCAUUGUAAUGGGUGACCUACCUAGAUGAAAAAAAGGAAGAGUGGUCGUGUUGUAAUGGGUGACCUACCCACGUGGAGGAAUGGUCUCAUUGUAAUGGGUGGCCUACCAAAAAAAAAACAUGGAGAAAUGGAUGGCGAGGGCUCAAAGGCGCACUCGAAAAGAGGUAGGGUUAGAAAACGCACUACCAAAGGAUGAGGGCUCAAAGGCGCACUCAAAAUAGAGGUGAGGGCUCAAAGGCGCACUCAAAAGGAGGUAGGGUUAGAAAACGCACUACCAAAGGGAUGAGGGCUCAAAGGCGCACUCAAAAGGAGGUAGGGUUAGAAAACGCACUACCCAAGGGAUGAGGGCUCAAAGGCGCACUCAAAAUGGAGGUGAGGGCUCAAAGGCGCACUCAAAAGGAGGUAGGGUUAGAAAACACACUACCCAAGGGAUGAGGGCUCAAAGGCGCACUCAAAAUGGAGGUGAGGGCUCAAAGGCGCACUCAAAAGGAGGUAGGGUUAGAAAACGCACUACCUAAGGGAUGAUGUCGAAACAUUGAUUGUCAAUGUUGAAAAGCAAAUGCAUUAUGAUUGAUAUGCAUGUAUACUUACCUGAGAAAUAUAGGCCCCCAUUUCUUCAUGGUGUCUUUGUUUUCUCUCAAAAGUUGUAGUAUUGGUAGUAAACUUCGAUGGCUUUUCCACGUUUGCUUACUCGGGUUACACAUUGUGAUCUUGACCUCUGGGAAGGGUUUGAUGUCAUCAUACAUCUUUGUCCUUCACCCCUUGAUCUCAAGAGUUACCAAUUUUGCCCGACAUUUUUCUUAGAACAGGAAUCAUGGAGCCAGCCCUACCAUGUGUUUUUGAUUGCCCCCCAGCUUGAUCAUGCCCCCCAAGUGUUCAACUUAGGUUUAGUGUGGGGUGAGGAUAUGUGAAAGUAGGUUUGAGUUUUUUGUACAAUGAAAUGUUUUCAUGCAAAAUAUUUGGAACUUCCAAGUUAUUUCAAAUCACAAAAAUGAUUUUGAUAUUGGUUCAAAAUAAACUUGUUCUCAAAAAUUCAAGCGAUUCCUAUGGACAGGUUUCUUGAAGUGAUAAAAGCUUUUUGCUUUUGGUUUAAAGAUGAAGGUGACAUCUGGUUGGUCACAAAAUGUUUAAAUGUCAAUUUGAGGGUUAUUGAGAACCGAAUUGAUUCAAAACAUUUAUUUUAUUUGCAUGAAUAAUGAUUUGACUCGCACGAGAAAGCACUGCAUACCGAUCCAGAUUGCUUGCCUUUGAUCAAAAAGGGCUUGAUUAGGUACGUAAUGUAGGCUUGAGUUAUUGGUUACAAAGAAAAGGAUAUGUUGCAGGCUCAAAAGGUGUUUAAGGGAUUUCAAGACUAGGGAUCACUUGUGCUCGUUUCCUGACCUUUUGUCUUUUGGAUUUGUUUUUUUUUUUUCAAAUGAGUUCUCCUGCCCCCUAGUGUCGGGUUUGGGCUUUUCUCUUUGUUUUCUUCGUUUUUGUUUGGUUGAGCACAAUCAUAUCAGUUGUUUGUAUAAGAAGCUCAAAUCUUUUAGAUCCUUUAGAUCUUAUUCUUUAACUAAUCAAUGCUUCAUUUAGAUGAUAAUGAAAGAUUAAAAAUUACAUGAUCAAAUCCAGCACCCAUCUUCACUGCUUUGUCUAGAUGGGUAAAAACUCUAUUAUUUUUCCCCCCAGUGUGGGGUGUGAUCCUAGUCAAGGUUAUUUCCAAAAAACAUUACUAGGCUUAAAAUGGGACUGCAACGGAUAUUUUUUUAUCCUUGUGAAAGGAUUAUCAAAGAUGGCAUUUCCUCAUCUCAAACUCAUGCAUUGAGGAUCGAUAGGUCUUGCUUUUGAGUCACCUCAUAGUGUUGUUUAUCUUUGUUGUCUUUUUUUCUUUCAAGUUUUCUAGGUAUAUGUGUACCUAUUUAAGGAAUCACUUGAAAUUUCAAAAUGCAUUUGUUUUGGACAAAUAUCAACACGAUUUUUGUUUUUUUUGUACUCACUUUGGAGGUCCCAAAAAAAUAUCCUUGAAAACAUAUGAGAUUAAUGUAUGGGUUUGGAAGAAAGGAAAACCAAAGGAUUCUUCAUGCUGUAGUGUUGUGAGGAAAGUUGCGCUCAAAAUGUUAUUUACAUGUAAUAACAACAAAGAAGAGUGUAAUGUGAACACAAGAAAACACAUGAUCUUAUUUCACAAGAGAAGCAUAUUAACAGAGAAAGUCUUGUUAAAAAGCAUUAACAAAAGGCAAUAACAAGGCAGGCUUCAUUCCUCUAUUUUGGCGAAUCUGUUCAUAGGCUAACCUCCUCUUAAAAGCUCUGCAUAGAGGACUCAAAGACAAUGCGGAACAACACCAUGGUUAAAAUUUGAGUUCUACAAAAUUCAAGCUAUCAUGCUGGACCAUUGAUGCUUCCCAAAUCCCCAAAACAUUCCAUCCUAAUAUGCUUCAAGCAUGAUUAGGCAGCGGGUUUGUAUUCAUAUUAGGGGUAUCUUCCAAUUUUAUCCACCCAGCCUUAAUUAAUUGCAGAAGCUUUCUCUUGAAGGCGUUGCAGGUAUAGAUGUUAUGCCUAGUAAUACCGGCAUGGUAUUCACAAUUGAGUUCUGGCUUGUACCAAUUAGGAUAAGGUGGUUGCAGAGGUGUUAGAGGUUCUGGAGCUAUUUGCCCGAUGCUCAAUAGCUUUUGAUACAUCUCAUUCAGGGGUAACGGUAGUGGAGGUAAUUGUUCUUGAACCCUUUGGAAAUUUCCAAUUUGGCUUUUGGCUUGAAAGUUUUGGGGUUCAGGUUUUCUGAUGUUGGCAAUUUGGAAUGGAGUAUGGUAAUUUUGGGAUGUAUUUGUUUUGCCCCUGUAGCCAUCUUCAACAUGGUGAACCUCUUUUCUUUUGACGCCUCUUUUCUCGGUUGGUGCAGCAAUUCUACCACUCUUGACACCUUGCUCUAUGCGUUCACACACUAUCACAGCAUCAGUGAAUUGUUGGGCUGAACUACCCAUCAUAUGUUCGUAAUAUGGUGCUUUGAGUGUGUUGGCAAAUAAAGAGACCAUCUUUUUGUCCAGAAGUGGGGGGAUGUACUUGAGCAGCUAAUUCUCGCCAUCUUUGAGCAUAUUCCCUUAUGCUUUCUUUAUCUUUUUUCUCUAUAUUGGACAAACUGGUUCUGUCGGGCGCAAUGUCCAUGUUUUACUUGUAUUGCUUGACGAAAGCAUCCACAAGAUUUUUCCAGUUGGGAAUUUUUGUGUUAUCCAAUCUCAUGUACCAACUCAAAGUUGCCCCACUUAAACUGUCUUGGAAAAAGUGCAUUAGUAGUUUUUCAUCAUGUACUACCUCAGCCAUUUUAUUGCAGUAGGACCUGAGAUGAGUCAUGGGGCAUUGUGUUCCACUGUAUUUGAUGAAUUCAGGAACACGAAAUUUCUUUGGGACAACCACAUUUGGGACCAAACACAUCUCUGCUGCCCGAACCGGGUCAUAUAAGUCUAUCCCUUCAAUGGCUUUAAGUCUGGCUUCCAGCGCCUCUAUCUUAGCUUGAUCAAUGCUAUCAGAUGACUUAGCCUUGUGGGACUCAUUAGCAGAUGCCUUCACUACUGUUGGGGAUGGUGCAGGUGUCGUUGACUGCACAAAUGUUGGAUUUUGCUGAGGUUCUUGACCAUGUUCGCUCAUUCUUUCCUCAAGCUGAACUGUAGUAGGAGCCGGAUCAAAGGUGAUCGGUUGAUUAGAAGGACCUUCAUCAGAGGUAUUUCUUAGUGUUUGCUUGAGUAAGCUAGUGAGGUGAGCCACACUUAUUUUCAGAGACUCCAACUCGUCGUGCAAAUAGGCCUCACAUUGAGCACGCUCUUCAUCUUCCAUGUUUCUUGCUCGAAGUCGGGUGUUGUAGACUUUUUGGGGACCUAUAUUUCAAUCUGCCAUGUAUGCAUGUUAAAUGUAUGAACAUGUAAUUUAUAUGAUAAACUUGCCCUUCGAGGGAUGACAUGAUUUUUUUAUUAUUAUUAUUUUUGUAUGACAUAUUCUGUAAAGAAAGAUAGCGCAUACAAACUAAAGACAGGGUCUAUUCAUGAAUAGGUUUUCUACCUGGUCUCAAAAGGGUCUCAUAUCUGCCUAGUGACGUCCUUCGUAAAGGCAGUAUGAGGGCGUUGCAAAGAACAGUUAAGGCACGUAUGCCCACCAUUACCAAGCAGGCUCUCAGAUAUAAGUUGGGUGUUUCACGCAUCUGAACCCGACCAAUAGUCAUAGGGCAGAUCAUUAAUUCCCCACUUAACUUAAAGGCUUGUGUAUGCUUUGAAAAACAUGUACAGAAAUUAAAGCGUGUAAGAAAAAAAAAUAAAUAAAGGAAAUGCAUAUUUAAAAAUAAACACGCAAACCACAAUAAAAAACACAAUAAUCAGACAAAAACAAAGCUUAGUCCACAAGGUCCCCAGCGGAGUCGCCAUUCUGUCGCACGUGUGCAGCGGCGCGGCGAUCGUCCACCCUCAAGGAAAAAUCGGAAAUAUUUAUUUCUUGCAAAUAGGGAGAGACAAGGAAUUCUUGUCUCUACAAGUGAAAAUAUAGACUGGGAGUCGCCACCUAGUAUUCUGGUUACUAGGAACCUUAACUGGUCUUUAGAGAUCGGGUACGGAGACUGGUUGCGUAAAGGGAAGGUAUUAGCACCCCAACUACGCCCUACCUAAGGUAGGCUGCAUUGUUUUAAUGUCUGAUAAAAUCUAAAAUCAUGUUAUGGUUUUUUAAUUGUUGGUUCGUUUACGGUUUAAGAAAAGUCCUCCUAUGUAAGGAGAUCCUUAUCUUUAUCGGGUAAAAACCUAACUAUUCAAAGUCGUCAAAAGAAAAUAUCUUUUUAAUAUCAGGAAUACGAUUUACGUAUAAAUUCAUAAUCCCUGAUACUAAAAUCAAACAAAAUAAAAUUUUUGUUGUUUUUGAGAUUUUGGCCAAUGUUCUCUUGACUUUAAUAAACUGGUUAUUAAAGCCAAAAUGCAUGCUAAAAUAUUGUUUUUUUGACAUAUGAAAAAUAUGAUAUGAGUUUUUAGAUUUGAGACACUUGGCCGUAUGCACAAAAACAUUUUUUUUAAUCGAUAUUAAGCAAAAUUGAUAAAAAAAAAGGUGCUGAAAAAAAUUGUAAAAAAAAAUAAAAAAAAUUGAAAUGGGCCGGACCCGGCCCAUUUUAGUGGGCUGGGCCAACCCGGCCCAUUACGAAAACUGAGAAGGAGACGGGGCAGCGGGAGGUUACCUGUGGUGGCGUCGAGGCGGUGCUGCUGGUGGCAGCGGAGGCGAUGGUGGUUCUGCGUUUCCCUUCUCUCUCUCUUUUGUUUUUCUUCGUUUUCUUCCCUGCUUCUUCUUCUUCUUCUUCUUCUUCUCUGCCCUCUCUCUUCUCUUCUCUUCUCUUCUCUCUCGGUUCGUCUCCCUCUUCUCUCUCCCUCGGUCUCCCUUUUGUUUUUCUUUUUUUUUCGGUGCCCCUCCCCUGUUUUUAUAGGCAAUGUCGAUCUGAAGAAGGGCGAACCGAUUUGCAGAGAAACAGAUCAAAGAGAAGCAGAUCUGAAAUGAAAAGAAAAAAAUAAAAUAAAAUCGACUGUUUGUGGUGUUUGCUUGGCUUUGCAGGUGACGAUGGUCUUCACCGCCGGUGAGGAGAGGAAGAAGGAGAGAAGCCGAGCUCGACCCACCUCCUGUUUUUCGUUUGAGGCGGCGCGUGAACCCACGCGCCGCCAGUGGCGGUGGAGCGUGGGAGGACGCACCGCCACUAUUCCCGAGCACUGUUUCCGGUGCCCAGAAACCUUCCAGCACUGUUCGGGCUUCCCUACAGUUACUAUAGAUUUUUGGGUUUUUAUUUUGUAAUUUUUGAAAUGUAAUAUUUUUAUUAUAGUAUUGAAUUUUAUUUGUAUUUUGUAAAUAUGGAUGUAAAAGAAAAGAAAAGAAAAGAAAAAGAAAAAAGAAAAGAAACAAAAAUAGUGAAAGUGUAUGUGUGUGUUUGUAUUUGUUUUAUGAAUUUGUUAUUUUGUUUUAUUUAUUUUUUAGGAUAAAAUCGCAAAGGUAAAAGAAGAAUUUAAUAUUUUGAUCGGAUCACGGUUAAGAAUUAUUAACUUAUACGUAAGUGAUAUUUCUAAUUUCCGAUGAAAAGACAAGUAUUAAAACUUCUUUAACACGUCAAAAAUCAUGAAGCAACUUACCUCAGGUAGGGUGCGUUAGGGGUGCUAAUACCUUCCCUAACCACAACCAGUCCCUUACCCGCGAAUCUCUGACAAGACCAGUACAUCCGGUUUCCUAGUAGCCUUCAAUAAAUUACUAGGUGGCGACUCCAACGAACCAAUCAAAGCAACAAACACAACAACGAGAAAAAUCGCUAGCCGAUGCCGCGCGGGAUUUUUAGACGUGCGACAGAAUGGCGACUCCACUGGGGAAGGUACUGUUUCUGACAUUAUUGGACUAAGCUUUGUGUAUUUGAUGUGUUUAAAUUUUUGCAUUUUUAUCUUUUUGUUAAUAUUUUUUUUCCAUGCAUUUUAUAGAAUUGUUUCAUGCAUCACCUGUAUUUAUUUUUGAAAGCACACACAAGCUUCUAGGUUAGGUGGGGAACUAGCGAUCUGCCCUAAGACUAUUGGUCAGGGUUCAGAUGCGUGAAACACCCAACUCAUAUCUGAGUGCCUGCUUGGUAAUGGUGGGUAUACGUGCCUUAACUAUUCCUUGCAACGCCCCCAUACUGUCUUUACGAAGAACGUCACUAGGCAGAUAUGAGACCAGAUAGAAAACCUACCCAUGUUCACAUAAUAAAUAGAACUUGUCCUUAAGUUGUAUGUGCUAUCGUUAUUUGUAUCAGAGCAAACCCUUCUUGAAGCAUCUUGAACUCAAGACUUGUGGGUGACACAUUGGCCGUCACUCCAAAAAUUUUCAUUGUAGAGUUUGGGAAAAAAUCACAAUUUUUGUUCCAUCAUACAAGAGUUACGAACAUAUUGUCACCCCUUGAAGAGCGAGUUCAUCAUAUAGAUUACAUGUUCAUACAUUUAUCAUGCAUGAACCGGGUUGAAAGGUAGGUCCCCUGUACAAGUUGUGCUGCACGUGAUUGAAGAAAGAUGAGGGAAGUGAACAAAGGAGUCAGAUAGAGGCUCAUUAUCAGAUUAAGGUUGAGAGCAUCAAAUUUGAAGUAGCUGGACUCAGAUUUGCCCGAACAAGUGUUGAGCAUCAAAUGGAAAGAGAGUGUCUGCAUAGUCUUCUGUGGGAACACUGCUUGUUCACGACCAAUUGAAGCUGUAUCUCUCCUUUUCCGUCAUGAACAACAACAACAAUGCCUUUAGUCAUCAACUAAUGACAACUCUGGUUCUUGUCCAGUUGCACUGUUAAAUGUUGAUCGCCUCCACAUCAUCUAAUGGAACCAAACAACUACCGGUCUCCUGUACAUGGUGCAUUAGUCUUCUUUGAAGCUACCCCAAUUAUGAGCUCAAUUCCAUUCAGCAGCACAAGAUGUUGGUCUGAAAAACCAUGAUUAGACACUGAACUUCUACGUGGUAGAGCUCUCUCUGUAGAGAUUUAUUUGUGGAUCUGCCAAUGGAAAUGCAAAAGGGAUGUAUUAAAUAUGCUUUGAAACUUUUUCCCAUCAGUGGCACGAGCAAAACAUUAUAGUAGGCAGAGAGUCAGGCCUGAUCUGAAAAUGAGUGGUCGUCGAACUUCAACGUGGCAGAGCUCUCUCUACAAAAAUCUGUUUAUGAUGCUGCAAGUUGAGAGUGCAAGAGGGGAUUUACUAAUUACAUAUGCUACAAAUAUUUGUCUCAACAGUUUCAGCAUGAAGAAACUGUAACAGGUUGAAGAGCCAGACUUGGUUUGAAAAACAUGAGCAUACAUCAAACUUCAAUGUAGCAGAGAUCUCUUGGCAUGAAUCUAUUUGUGGAUAUACAAGUGGGAAAUCCAAGAAGGGAUGCAGUGGUUUCAGAUUGUCCAUAAUUGUUUCCUUCCAAUAUCGGCAUUAAAACGCAAAAGUGGUUAUUUGCUGCACCAUCAGUGAGGAAUCAAAGAGGAAAUAGAAGAUGUUGUAGAUUCAUCGGGUUCUCUUCCAAUUUUGACAAAAGGUGAUUCCACACGCUUUUGUUUUUGUGCGCUGCCGGGAUUACAUAUCUAUUGAGAGGUUUCCAAGAACAACAACAAUAUCAUUGGAAGAUUGACAUGAAGUUGUGUGGAUUGCCAAGAAAGAAUUGAAUAUGUUAUGAAGAGAGGAAAGAUUGAAGGUUUUGUCAUGGAUUUCAGAACAAUGAUGAGAAAUGAAUCAGAAGAUGACUCUGACGGUGGGAAACCUUAAUUAUGUGGUCUAAGCCAAGUCUCGCUGUAUCAUCGACCACUCCAAUGUCUUUGUCAAAGAUAGAAGUUCAUUUGCCAUAUGGUGUAAUCCAGACAACAUAUGCGAUGUGGUGGUGGGGUCCUCGACCAUUUCAAUGGAAUAGUUGCAAGAAUUUCAAUUGCACAGUGGCCAUGUGGGUUUAUUUACCAGAAUUUGCUAGAUUCUAGACUUUUGCUAGACGCCGACAGAUCCCAUGCAACCACCAAUUUCUAGGUGGUAUAAUCCAGAUAAAAGUUGUGAUGUCAUGGUGGGGUCCUCAACCAUUUCAAUUGAACAGUUUCAAGAAUUGAGUCCGAAAGUUGGUGAGCAAGAAACAAGUGGAGUCGGUGAAGGAGGUUGUCAUUGGCUAUAUUGUCCCCCGAACAUCUUCAAAAUGACAUGAUUGAUCGAGAGUGCUUGGCAAAACACAGAUAUAGCCAGAACAACUAAUUCAAGAAUGGUGAUGAACGGCCAAUCAUAUUGUUAUGGAAUUUUGCAUUUUUGUUUUGAGAUCACAUCUCAUCCUUCAACGAAACAUGCCUUGCUUUUGUCUCUUUGUUGUUUUGAAAUCAACAGAUGUUUAACAUUUUUUCUAACAAAAUAUUUUGAUCAAACUCCAACAUGCGAUAAAGGUUAAUCAAUCCUGAAGAUUAAAAGUGUUUUGAUUCCAAAAUGACUUGAUGCUUGUUGAAAUGACAUGAGGUGACCAAACAAAUUUUGAGCUCACAUAAAAUUGAACCACACAUCAUUAACUAAGUUUUAGCAGUAUGCAUAAUGACAUGUAGUGGAUUCGGUAGCUAUGGACUCGUGAAUCAUUGACUCUUAUAAGUCUAAAUCAUUACAAUGGAUGAGGUCAAAAUUUAUCAGUUCUAACCGACCUUGCUUGAAAUGAGAAAAGGCCAUCUUUGUUAUCCUUCCACAUUUCUCGAAAAAUUAUCCUUUGCAGUACCAUUUUGAGCCUGGUGAAAUAUUUUCUUUCAAAAAGAAACCCUGACUAGGAUCACACCCCACACUGGGGGCAAAUGAGAGAUGUUUUGAAGGCAUUGAUAUAAUUAAUGGAUAAAGGGGAAGACUUAGAACAAAAGUCCAAUGAUUGAGAGAGGGCUAAAAGAAACACCUAAACUGGGGGCAUAUAAGAAAAUUUUGAGGAAGGCUAUGAGUUGAAAUUGCCUUCACUUAAAUACAAGUCAAAGAUAAAGGAAGGAGAAUGCCUAUCAAGUCUAGGAAGAGCAAGAGAAAUUUCAAUCAAGAAAAGACACAACAACGUCAUAAUGCAUGUCGCACGUCGAAAAAUUCCGCACGACAUCGACUGGCGAUUUUUUAUUAUUUGUGUUUUGCUUGGUUUGUUGGAGUCACCACCUAGUAUUAUGGUCACUAGGAACCUAAGGUCUGCGAGAAUCUGAGUAAGGGACUGGUUGUGCAAGGGGAAGUCGCAUCACCCCUAGUGCACCCUACCUAAGGCAAGCUGCAUUAUUGUUUGAUUGUUUUUGUAGGUCGAGUUUCUAUUCGCUGGUCUUUUCUAAGGUUCAAGGCAGAUCUCCCCUCGUGAGGAAGUCUCUACCUUAUUCGGUUAAAUCCUAACCAUUCUAAAGUCUUAAUUUUAAAAUUUGCUUUUAUUUACACCUUGUAUUUUUAAUACCCGAGGAUGUACAUUAUCGCGUAAUUUUACACCCCACAAAUAUUAAAGUCUACAUCUGGAUCCUAGAAAAAAAGGUUGGAAAAAGGUUUUUGACAUUUUGGCCAAAUCCUAAUGGACAAUCAUAAUCUGGUUACGAUAUCCAUUUUAAAAAACAUGAAAAAGAUGCAAUUUUUGUUUUUACAAAAAAUAUGCUUGGAAAAAUUUUAGGAUUUGGCCGUAUGCAAUGAAAUAUUUUUUUCUUUUGAAAAUGUUUUUUUUUUUUUUUUUUUGAAAUAUUUCGGAGAAAACCAGGUAUUUUAAUACCGAUUUGUAUUUUACAAUGUAAAUAUACAACGAUAUUGUGCAAAACUUGGUGGAAAAAUAUUUAAGAAAACCACAAAUUUUUAUAUGAUUUUUUGAAUAUUUUUUGAAAUUUUUUUUUUUUUUUUUUUGGGCCGGGCUGGGCCAGAACCGGCCCGGCCCGGCAGUGGCUAAUUAAUUAGCCACUGCAUGCAGAAAUGAAUUCUGCAUGCAGCGGCUACAAGAACGAAGAAAAAAAGGUGGAGCAGGGAGGAGAGAGUUACCUGGCGUGGAGAGAGUCGGCGCCUGGCUGGGGUGCGCGGUUCUGGUGGCGGCGAGGCCGGCGGCGUGCACGGUCCCGGCUGGAAGAAGAAGGAAACGAGUCCUGCAGAGGAGAGGGAAAGCUCACGGCUGGAGCUGUUGGUGUGGCUGAGGAGGGAAAUGCUACCCGGGCUGCUGCUGAUAAGGCAAGCCGCUGGAAAGGGUGGUUGCGCUGCUGUGCUGCUGGGUUGCGGUGGUGGAGAGAAAAAAGUUUUGCAGAGAAAGAGGGGGAGAGAGAGAGGUGUUGCAGGCUUCGGUGAGGUUGCUGAGUGAUGGAUGGGAUGUGGUGUUUCAGGGGAAGGAUGAUGGCGAGAUCAGUGGUGGCAACUAGAGGCCACGGCGGAGAGGAAAAAAAAAGAGAGAGGACUGGUUGCAGGAAAACCGGGCAGGAAAAGCUGAUUUUCGGGCCAACUUUGAGUUCAGUUCUCUCCUCUCUCAGAGCAUUAAAUUGGCCCCUAUUUAUAGGGAUGGAAAGAGGGUAAUCUUGUGUUCAACGGGGAAAAAGUCUCAGCCUUUGAUUCGACUCGAGGAAUCCAAGCCGUUGGUUCAAAGUGUGCACCUCGAACUGCCAAAUUUGGCAAUCCAAGGCUGCAGACUGCCCGAGGGUGCCACUUUGGGCCAAUAAACGGAGUUGUCCCCAAGUUUUUACACCCGACCGGACCACUCUACGAGAUAAAGAUGUUUCAGGGGAACAUGUUGGUGCACGCCUUGUCGGCUUUGGGGGCCAAACGAGUGAGAAAACGCGCCUGGAAAGCAGCCACUCGGGCAGCUUUGUGAGGAAGACGAUGAACAAUACCCGGGCGACGCGUCGACGGGUCCCUUCCCUCCACAAAAACGGCGCCGUUUGGGAUAAAAAUUAGGGAUUCUUGCUGAUUUUCAAUUUAGCCCUCCAGCUUUCAAUUGCUUUCAAUUUGACCCCCGGAUUUUGUCAAUUAGACCCCUAUAGUUUGGCGCCUUUUGCAAGUUGGUCCUUGUCUUUGGAUUUUGUCAAUUUAACCCCUAAUUGACCCCAAAACUUCAAUUUGCUUGCAAUUUGACCCUUGAUUUCAAUCAAUCAACUUGGUAAAAAUUAAAUUUGGUCUCUUAAAAUUCCAAUCUUCUCAAUUAAGCCCAAAUUAAGCUCCCAAACUUAAUUUUUCACCAAUUAAGCCCCAAAUAAAAUUAAUUUGACCCAUUUAAAGUAUAAUUAAGUCCUUGCACUUAAUUAAAUCCUUCAAUUGGACCCAAAUUAAUUCUUAAACAUAAUUAAAAUUCAAUUUGGCCCAUGAUUAAAUCAAAUUGGCCUAUUAAAAAUUUAAUUAUGUCCUUGGACUUAAUUUUCAUGCGAAUUCGUCCAAUAAUCAUUUAAUAUGACCUUGAAUUUGCAUUGUAUUCUUCUAAAAAUUGCAGCUUGAUUUCCCGACCUACCUUCUCCACGUUGUCAGCCUUUAUUUUAUUUUUUGAUUUUUAUUUUGAAAAAAGAAAUUGAUUUUUGGGGAAUAACCCAGAAUUGGGUUAUGACAAUGCAAAUCCUCAUUUCCAUGAUGAAUAACCAACCUUAAUCAUUUGAUAACAUCAUAAUGGUUAUCAAAAGUAAAAAAGACUAAGCUAUAAAAGUGACUUUUGAUAACCAUUAUGAUGUUAUCAGAUGAUUAAGGUUGGUUAUUCAUCAUGGAAAUGAGGAUUUGCAUUAUGACGUUAGUUAUUCAUCAUGGAAAUGUGGAUUUGCAUUAUGACUUAUGUUAAUAGAAGUCUGAUCUUUGAGGUUAACAAGGUUCUAUGUCAUUUCCUCUAUAAAGACAACAAUAGAAAACGAGUUGAUGAAUAAUUGAUGUUGAUCCUAGGUUUUUGAAACCCUCAAACACCUUUUGAGUCUUUGAAAUUCUUUUCUUUCAUAGCCAUAAACCAUAGCCUGCAUUACAUGCUUUUUAAAAGCCCUUUUUAAUCAAGCAAGCAACUUGAACCGAUAAAUGACGCUCUCAAAACUUGAAGAGUUUUUCCAUAAGAGUCGUGGCUUCAUAAAUUAAGUUACUGGUCGUUAUGCAUGUUGAUAAAAUUAUUGCUAAAAAACAAAACAUUUUUCCUUCAUGAAUCCUCAAGUUUUGACUUGAGCCUGUUGUUUUCCUUGAAAUUAACAGAAGGUCACCUCAUCGCAGACCAUCAAAAGAUAUACCUAAAAUCAGAGUUUAAAGUGGACACAAAGAACCAUGGAAAAGACCAUUUUAAUCUUACAACGGGUCGAUUUCUAUUUUCAAAAUACAAGACAAUCGAAGGACUACAUUGAAUGAUGUGUGUUGGGUCUUUGAUCAAAGAAGCUUGAAUUUCAAAAAUACUUUUCAAAAAAAAAACUGAUAUCUCUCUGAUUUCAUCUCAACAACUAGACUUUGAAUAAACAUGAUCUUUGAAAUAUGAGAUUUGAUUCUAGAACAAGAAAGAUUUUCAAACAAGAACAUCGAUGGAGUUUGCAAAAUCCUUGACAAAAAUGACAUCAACAUUUCUCGACACUCCUUGAAACGUUGACCACUUGGGGGCAAUACAAUGGACCUUAGAAAAAAACAAACAACAUUCUGAUCAGCUGGGGGCAAAGAAAGAAUCAGAUGAUGAGUCGUCAAAGUUCAUCAAAGUUAUGUUUAGCAUCUGACAAUGACAAGGAAAAACCUUCUUGAGUAUAAACCGAUGAACGAACCUUCAGAUCAUAUUGGGGGCAAUGUUGUUCAAAGACAAUCCAUGAUCUAGUGCAUUUCAGCAGCAAUUGAUGAGCAACGCUGCACUAGAAUGAUAUUUUCAUAUCUUCAUUUUGGUUUAUCAUCUUCAACAUGGUUAUGACUUUUGAUCGAUGCUAUCACUAGUUGCAUGUGCAUGAAUGCUGGAAGGAUGCACCCACCAAGACUGACUGUGGGACCAUUUGUUUUGAAGCUCAAAUGUACACUUCAUCGCAUGAAUAUGGGUGAUAACAUGAACAUCAUUGAUGAUGCCAAUACAUUUCUUUUCAAGAUCUGAUUAGAUGGAUGAGAAGAACUUUUUGAGGAAAACAUUGAGCUUACAACAAUGAGCCUUUCCCUGCAAAGUAUGAGAUGCAUGUCGGAAUGACGUGGCAGUCCCAUGAUUAUGGAUGACCAUAUAUACUUGAAUGGUGUUUCAACUGGAGGCAGUUUCAGAUUGGUUAACAAUCUUGAUGGGUGUUGGCAUGAUGCACACAAUCAAUCAAAGGAUAAUCCUCGAAAGAAUCUAGGAGAGAAAAUCCUUCAUAAUGAAUCAAGCAGCACCACACUUGGGGGCAGGGUCAAGCUUGAUGAACGAUGCGAGCAAUAAUUGUCGAAGACAGCCCGGGAUGGGCACUGCAUUUACAGCUGAGUGGAUGGCUAGCACAUGAAUGAGCCAAUACAUCGAAAGAAUAAGGAAAGCUUUGGAAUGCAAACAAAGGCACCUUGUGACGAUGAAGCAUCAAAGAGGGGGGAGCCUAUAUUUCAAAUCAGGUAAGGAUGCAUGCAUAUCAUCUAACCUAAAAAAAAAAGAAAAAAAAACAAACCAUUUGCAUAUAUUUUUGAAUUGUUACAGGAAAAUCCUUAAUGAGGUCUAGCAAGAUGGUGGAAAGAGAAAGAAGCAUUGUGGUGAUGAUAAUAAAGAAUCGGUUUUGAUCAUGGAAUAAAAGGAUGAUGGGAUGAACCCUACCAUUAGGAAAAUCCCAAAGAAAUGAAUAGAUCAAUCUUGCAAUCGGGAAGCCUCGAGUUUUCAACCCUUGUAGUCAGGAAAUACCGAUUUUCAAACCCUAUGAUCAGGAAUUAUCAGGAAGCACCAAGUUUUCCAGCCCUUCUUCUGUCAUCCCCUCAGGACUUCGCCAGGUAAGUCCUAUUUUGCACACUUCAUAUUGUUUCUAUUUUGGGUAGGUCACCCAUUACAAUGAGACCACACUUCAUAUUUUUUUUCCAUUUUUGGGUAGGUCACCCAUUAUAAUAAGACCGCACUUCAUAUUCUUUCCAUCUGGGUAGGUCACCCAUCAUAAUGAGACCGUUUUUUUCAUAUUCUUUCCACCUGGGUAGGUCACCCAUUACAAUGAGACCAUUUUUUUUUUACACAUUCUUUUGUUUUGGUUAAAUGAGAUCACCAGAUGGGAUCUCAUGUAGCUUUGGUUAAAGGGAAUCGCAAGAUGGGAUUUCAGGUUAACCGAGUUACACAUAUUUUCGUUCCAGUUGAAUGAGGUCGCCAGAUGGGAUCUCAUGUAGCUUUGGUUAAAGGGAAUCGCCAUAUGGGAUUUCAGGUUAACCGAGUUACACAUAUUUUUGUUCCAGUUGAAUGAGGUCGCCAGAUGGGAUCUCAGGUAGCUUUGGUUAAAGGGAAUCGCUAGAUGGGAUUUCAGGUUAACCGAGUUACACACAGUUUAGUUCCAGUUGAAUGAGGUCGCCAGAUGGGAUCUCAGGUAGCUUUGGUUAAAGGGAAUCACCAGAUGAGAUUUCAGGUUAACCGAGUUACACACAGUUUAGUUCCAGUUGAAUGAGGUCGCCAGAUGGGAUCUCAUGUAGCUUUGGUUAAAGGGAGUCGCCAGAUGGGAUUUCAGGUUAACCGAGUUACGCAUAUUUUGUUCCAAUUGAAUGAGAUCGCCAGAUGGGACCUCAUGUAGCUUUGGUUAAAGGGAAUCGCUAGAUGGGAUUUCAGGUUAACCGAGUUACACAAUAUUUUCGUUCCAGUUGAAUGAGUUCGCUAGAUGGGAUCUCAUUUAGCUUUGGUUAAAGGGAAUCGCUAGAUGGGAUUUCAAUUUAACCGAGCUACACACCAACUUUUGUUCUUGUUAGAUCGCCAGAUGGGAUCUCAGGUAAACCCAAUUAAAAGGGCAGGUCGCCCGGGAAAAUAGACCAAUGUGAGAGUGUGGGCCAAUCGCCCGUGGAAAUAGAUCAGAGUGAGUAUGUGCGGGCAGGUCGCCCGUGAAAAUAGACCAGAGUGAGUAUGGGUGGGCAGGUCACCCGUGAAAAUAGACCAGUGUGAGAGUGUGGGUCGGUCGCCCGUGAAAAUAGACCAGAGUGAGUAUGGGUGGGCAGGUCGCCCGUGAAAAUAGACUAGUGUGAGUGUGUGGGUCGGUCGCCCCUGAAAAUAGACCACUUUGAGUAUGUGUGGGCAGGUCACCUGUGAAAAUAAAUCAGUGUGAGUGUGUGGGCAGGCCGUCCAAGAUAAUGAAAUCAUUUUCCUUUUGUUUUCUUUACAAAGCUUACUAUGCAAAAAAAAAGGAUUUUCGCUUCGUAAGCAUUGUAAAGAGGGGGCAUCUGUUGCUACCCAAAUUUUGACCCAUGUUUUUGAUAUGUUUUUAAAAAAAUUCAAAAAUAGAGAAAAACAAAGAAAAUCCAAAAAAAUAUGUUUUUUUAAUAUAUUUUCGUCAUUUUAGCAUUUUCAACGUCGUCUAAAAAAAGAAUUUAAAUUUUUAAAAAAAUAUUUCCAAACGUGUUCGACUUUUCACGCGUCAUUUUUAAAAUAAUUGAUUUUCCUCAUUGAGUCGGCGUUGAUAUUGCUUGUUUUCAAAAAAAUACAAAAAAAUAAGAAAAAUCAAAAUUUACAAAAAAAAAAGAAGUUGAGGGACCAAGUUGAAAAAACCUAGCAACAUUUUACCUAUAAAUACUGGUUUCCUCAACACAUUCAAAAGGAGGGGGGCAAUUUUGAAAUAUCAGAAAAAGAUACAAAAAAAAAAAAAAAAAACCCUAGGAGCCUAAUUUUUUUCUCCCCUCACGAAGGCAGCCGCCGCCCCCCCCCCCACCUUUUGAUUUUUCUCUUCCCCCUGCAGCCGCUCAACCAAGCCAGCCCCUCACCUUUUUGAAUUUUUCUUCUCCCACAACCGGCAAAACAGCAGCCCCCAGCCGGUUUGAAUUUUCUUCUUCCCCUUAGCAGCCGGAUAACUCACCCCCUCACCUCACACAAACCGGCCGCCAACCACCUCUCCUUUACCCAGAGAAACCCACUGGACACAAGCCUUCUCCAGUUCUCCCCUGGAGCCGCCUCCUCCCCCUUAGCCACGGCCUCCACCGAACUCCAAACUUCCAGCCCGUAGCUGACAGAUCUGCCAUCUUCAACCUGCCGCAGACCGUCCUCUAGUAGCAGCUCCGCCACCCACCAGACCUGCCAAGAGAAGUGAAGACAGAGACCAGCGUCGUCCCCCUUUGCUUUCCCCUCUCAUCGGCCGCCUGCUUCUCCUCCCACGAUCUCUUCAUCUCCAUCGACAACGAAGCCGCCGAACAGACGACAGCAGCAGCAACCCCAACAGCACCGCCCGAAGUAGAGGCUGACCAGGGGCAAAGUCGAUCUGAAGAAGGGCGAACCGAUCUGCAGAGAAACAGAUCAAAGAGAAGCAGAUCUGAAACGAAAAGAAAAAAAUAAAAUAAAACCGAUUGUUUGUGGUGUUUGCUUGGCUUUGCAGGUGACGGUGGUCUUCACCGCCGGUGAGGAGAGGAAGAAGGAGAGAAGCCGAGCUCGACCCACCUCCUUUUUUUUGUUUGCGGCGGCGCGUGAACCCACGCGCCGCCAGUGGUGGUGGCGCGUGGGAGGACGCGCCACCACUGUUCCCGAGCACUGUUUCCGGUGCCCAGAAACCUUCUAGCACUGUUCGGGCUUCCCUGUAGUUAUUGUAGAUUUUUGGGUUUUUAUUUUGUAAUUUUUAAAAUGUAAUAUUUUUAUUUUAGUAUUGAAUUUUAUUUGUAUUUUGUAAAUAUGGAUGUAAAAGAAAAGAAAAGAAAAGAAAAAGAAAAAAGAAAAGAAACAAAAAUAGUGAAAGUGUAUGUGUGUGUUUGUAUUUGUUUUAUGAAUUUGUUAUUUUGUUUUAUUUAUUUAUUAGGAUAAAAUCGCAAAGGUAAAAGAAGAAUUUAAUAUUUUGAUCGGAUCACGCUUAAGAAUUAUUAACUUAUACAUAAGUGAUAUUUCUAAUUUUCGAUGAAAAGACAAUUAUUAAAACUAGGUGGCGACUCCAACGACCAAUCAUAGCAACAAACACAACAACGAGAAAAAUCGCCAGCCGAUGCCGCGCGGGAUUUUCAGACGUGCGACAAACCGAGCUGCACAUAUUUUUUUAUUUUGGUUUAAUGAGGUCGCCAGAUGGGAUCUCAUGUAGCUUUGGUUAAAGGGGAUUGCCAGAUGGGAUUUCAGGUUAACCGAGCUACAUAUAUUUUUUGGUUUUGGUUUAAUGAGGUUGCUAGAUGGGAUCUAAAGUAGCUUUGGUGAAAGGGAAUCGCCAGAUGGGAUUUCAGGUUGACCGAGCUACCCAUAUUUUUUAGUUCUAGUUUAAUGAGGUCACCAGAUGGGAUCUCAGGUGGCUUUGGUUAAAGGGAAUCGCCCGAUGAGAUUUCAGGUUGAUCGAGCUCCACGUAUUUUUUUUAGUUCCAGUUGAAUGAGGUCGCUAGAUGGGAUCUCAUGUGGCUUUGGUUAAAAGGAAUUGCUAGAUGGGAUUUCAGGUUGACCGAGCUACACACAUUCUUUGGUUUUGGUAAAGGAGGUCGCCAGAUGGGAUUCAGGUUAACGGAAAAGAGAGAGAGAGAGAGAGAGAGAGAGAGAGAGAGAGAAAAGACAAGAAAAAGAAACAGGAAAAAAAAAGAGAGUAAGGUCUUUAGAUGAAUGGAUAUUGAGCAAGUUAAGCAGACGGAAAGAUAAGUUUUCUUUACAAAGCUUACUAUGCAAAACAUUGAGGAGUUUUGCUUCGUAAGCAUUGUAAAGAGGGGGCAUCUGUUGCUACCCAAUUUUUUACCCGUGUUUUGAUAAAUUUUCAGAAAAAAAAUCCAAAAAUAGCGAAAAACAUCGAAAAUCCAAAAAAAUAUGUUUUUUAAUAUAUUUUUAUUAUUUUAGCAUUUUCAACGUUGUCUAAAAUGAAUGUAAAUUUUUAAGGGUCUUUCGAACGCGUUCGACUUUUCACGCGUUAUUUUUAAAAUCAUUGAUUUUCCUCAUCAAGUCGACAUUGAUAUUGCUCUUUUUAAAAAAAUACAAAAAAAAUAAGAAAAAAUCAAAAUUUACAAAAAAAAAAGUUGAGGGACCAAGUUUGGAAACCUAGCAAUAUAUUUAUCUAUAAAUAAGAGUUUCCAACACUUGCACAUGGGUGGUAAUUUUGAAUGAAAAAUACAAAAAGAAAAAAAAGAAAACCUAUCUAACCCAAACAUUCACCCCCCACCCGGCUUUGAUUUUUUCUCUGAAACCAGCCGCCCCACUCCCAUUCACAGAUACAAACUAGCCGGCGGCGCCCCCCCUGGAUUUGGUUUCUUCUUCCUUCAGCCAGAGGUCCCCAGUUUCCUUCCCCUGCCAUCUCACCCUCAACCCACUCUCCCAAAACCGGAGCAGCCACUCCGUUCCCCCAAGCCACAUAUCUUUCCUCUCUCACCUGAACACCCACCAGAACCACAAAAGCCAGCCCUCGCCCACUUCCCCUCUCAACCGAACCGUUUCCCCCGUCUCCAUCGACCAGCCUUCCAGAGGCUGCCAUAAAGAGUCUUUCCUUGUCAACUCUAACAUUGUCGUCGUUAUUGUUGACGAUGAUGCUGCUCAACACAAAACGUUGCGGUGCUAGUAUUUCACUGCUGGAAAUGGACGAUGACGUCCCCUUGUACUCCAUAGCUGAUUCCAACUUAGAUUUGGAGUUCAUGAUGGAUUCCGAAAUUAAACAGGAUUCUCCUUGGCUCUCGUCGUGUUGGAGAUGGUGCUCUCAAUCCAGAUAAACAAGCAUUUGGUUGCAGGCGAGAUAAUCGAUAUGCGUGCCUAAAGAUUCUAAUAAUAUGUAAGCUGCGUAUAUUAGAAAUAUUAUUUAAAAAUAAAUAUUUUUAUUUUUAAAAAUAAAAUUUAUCUAUACAAAGAUUAAAAAAUAUAUAUAGAUAAAUCAGAAAAAUUAACCUCCUCAAAAAUUAAAUGUAUAAUUCAAAAAUAACUGUUAUUUCAAAGAGGCUCUCUAAAUAACAUAAAAAAAAGAGGUAUUAAUCUAAAAAUAAAUAAAAUACAUAUAAAAAAUACAUAUAAAAAAGAAUUAAUUUUUAAAAAAAAAACACAAAAAAUAAAAACAAAAACAAAAACAAAAAAAAGGCACUGUUGCACCUAGCAAGCCAGGUAAGCCUGCUUGGCUUAUUUUGUUAGGUUCCAUGCAUGUUGAAAUUUUUUUUUGUUGCAAAUUGUUUAUGAAAAAAAAUAAGAUGAUGCAUCACCUGUGGGAUAUUUUUUCUCUCUUACAAAAACAGUAUACAUGCAUGCUUUUUCGAUGCAUUUUUUACAUAAAAAAAUUAAAAUUUUAAAUUAAAAAGCUAAUGCAUACAUGUAAUCAAAUAAAUCAACAACUAAAUGAAUUAACAAUCGUAAAAAAAAGGUAUUGAUGAUACCUAAAAAUAAAAUUAGAAGAUUCAGAUGUGUUAAUAAACGAAAUAUUUACCCGGAUGUGUUUUUUGAAUUUGUUUAUUAAAAUUAAUAUUUUUAUUCAAUCAAAUAAUAUUAAAAAUAAACACAUAUAUUAAAUUUAUUAAAUAAAAUAAAAGUGAAAAAAAAAAAUUAUGCAAGGCUAUACAUAUUAUGUUAUCCUUAAAUAAAUAUUUUAUAUUUUUAAAAUAAAAUUCUUUUAUACAAAAAGAUAAAAGAAAAAAUUGUUGAUUAAUUAGAAUGAGUUUUUCAAAAAUUAAAUACGAACAACACUAUAAAAAAAUAAUCUCUAUCCAAAAAAAAAAAUCAACAAAAAAAAACCCACAAAUGAGGGAUAUUAAUUAAAACAUAAAUUCUAAAAAAUAUUUAAAAAAAGACACAUAAAAAAUACCAAUAGAAAAAAAUAAUAACAUAAAAAAAAAAUUGUUUGGUUGUUGUGCCUUAACUCGUUAGACUCAUGACCUAAACAAUAAAUUUAACUCAAUUAGGUUCAAUAGUUUUUCCCUUUAAAUAUAUAAUCAACUUGUAACAUAAAAAAAUUAAACCCGUGACCCGGAUCAUAAACUCAACCGGGCUUAAUAUUUUUUUCUAUUAAAUUUUAGAAAAAAAAUAAACCCUUUACCCAGACCAUAAACUCAAUUGGAUUUAAUAAAUUGUUUUCCUUUAAGUUUAUAUUCUACCUCUAAAAAAAAAUUAAAAACAUAAAACACGAUUAAAAAAAAAUUUAUAUCCAAAAUAAAUAAAAAAAUAAAAAAAAAUCACAGAUAAGUGAUAUUAAUUGAAACAUAAAUUUAAAUUAUUUAAAAACAUAUAUUUAUAUAUAAAAAAGACACCAAUAAAAAAAGGUAAUAUUAAAAAAAAAUCCAAUUAUUAUGGCUUAACUCAUUAAAUCCAUGUUUGAAUUUAUAAACUUGAAUUCAAUAUUUUUUCUUUUGAAUUUAUAUUUAACUUUUAAAAAAAAAAAAAUAAAUAAACACGUGAUCCGGAUCUACAUCUGAAACAGGUAAAGUAUAGUGCUGUUGAUCCACGCUAGCAUGGAAUUGAUCUCUUGUGAUGUCAUUUAAUUAAUUUCAUGUAUAGGAAAAUAUGAGCUAACCAGUCAAGCUUUGCCACAUUCCUCACCUUUCUUAGCUGCUUGCUUGUAUAUUUGAUUAGAUAGACAGCAUUAAGAAGAGCUAGCUAAAACUAAGAGGGAUCCGAUGAAGAGCCUUUCCUUUUCAGCUCUAACAUUGUCGUCGUUGUUGUUGACGAUGAUGCUGCUCAACACAAAAAGUUGCGGUGCUAGUAUUUCACUGCCGGAAAUGGAGGGUGACGUCCCCUUGUACUCCAUAGCUGAUUCCAACUUAGAUUUGGAGUUCAUGAUGGAUUCUGAAAUUAACAGGAUUCUUAUUACGAUGCUGUCAACAAAAAUUUUCACAUUUUGAUCAACAAAAAUUAACAGGACUCUUCUGUUUAUCUACAUUCAUCAUAAAAAAUAAAAAUAUCUAACCCGUACGUAGCGACGUAUAUUAAUAGCUGAUCUAGAACACUGUUUAGAACCUUUCGUUUUAGAGCACACUAGUUAAAUGACCCGCGCGAUGCCGCGGGUCAAUUAUUUUUUACAUUUAAAAAAAAAACUAAGAUUUAAAAUUGUUAGGUUUUUUUAUAAAGUUAUACUCAAGAGUUUUAUGUUUAGUUGCAACACCUAACCCAAUAGUAACAUCUAUGAUAUUAAUAAUAAUAUUAAAUUUGCAUGACCCAAAUUUAAGUGGAUUUGGCUGCAAUAUCAGACCCAAUAGUAUUGGAUGUGGGUCUGGUUGCAAGGUCGUAUGAUAAAAGUGUAAUAAUUAAAUUGAUUAAUUAAAAAUAAAAAAACAAAGAAAAAAAACCAAUAGGAAAAAAAAACUAAUGAAGAAAAAGAAAAAAAAUAUGAAUUAACUGGGUUAAACCGUCAAACCUUAGAUUCGCGUCGUAAAAGUUUGAUAACUAAACAGAAAAAAAAAAUUAAUGGGUUAACCCAGAAUUAAUUGGGCUAACUCGUCAAACCAGGUUAACCCGUCAAACCCGGAAUCCGUGUCAUGAAAGUUUGAUAACUAAAUAGUAAAAAAUUUAACAUUAACAGUUUAUUAAACAAAAAAAAUUAAUUAAAAUAAAAAAAUAAAAGACAUCAGCCUUUUCAUUGUGGACUGCACUAUGUAGUCCAUAGUUAAAGACAUAAAAAAAAAAAAAAACUAAAGGCAUCAGCCGAGAACUACAUAGAAAAAAAUUUGAUAUAAAUUAAAUAAAAUUAAUUAAAAAUAAAAAAAACCUCUAUGAAGUAAAAAAAAAAUAGAAAGAAAUUUAACAUUAACAAACUAAACGAAACGAAAAAAAAUAAUUAAAAAAAAAGCAAAAAAAAAAUUCAAGUUAACUCGUCAAACCAGGUUAACCCAUUAAACCCGGGAUCUUUGUCAUGAAUGUCUGAUAACUAAAUAAAAAAAGUGAACGUUAACAAAUUGAACUAAAUGAAAAAAAAUAAUUAAAUAGAAAAAAUCUGAGUUAACUCGUCAAAUCAUGUUAACUCGUUAAACUCAGGAUCUGUGUCAUGAAAGUAUGAUAACUAAAUAAAAAAAAUUAAUAUUAACACACUAAAUUAACUAAAAAAAAUUAUGAAAAUAAAAAAAUAAAAAAAUUGACAGGUCAACCUAGAAUUAACUGGGUUCAUUCGUGAAACCAGGUUAACCCGUUAAACUCAAAAUAUGUGUCAUGAACGCCAGAUAACUAAAUAGAAAUAAAUUUAAUAUUAACAAACUAAACUAAACAAAAUAAAGUAAUUAAAAGGAUAAAAAAAAGUAAAAAAAAUCUGAAUUAACUUGUCAAAACAGAUUAACCCGUUAAAUUCGAAAACGUUUAAUGAAAGUUUAAUAACUAAAUAAAAUAAAUUAAAUAUUAAUAAAGUAAAUUAAUCAAAAAAAAUUUAAAAAGAUAAAAAAAAAAAGCAAAAAAAAAUAAUCCCAAAAUGCAUAAAAAAAUAACACAACUUAAAAAAAAAAAAAAAAAAACUUGUUUUCUUCUACGAAACCCUCACCGCCUAUCCCUAUACUACGUUAACCUAACUGGAGUUAGCGUGGGCCGGAUCAAAGUACCAAUUCCCUCUGAACAACUUGUUUUUGACCCAAAUACCAGAGCAGGGACCAUAAUCGACUCCGGUACAGUCAUAACCCGAUUUGUCCAACCCGUUUACUUUGCCACAGUAAACGUAAGGCCUAGGGAUCAGUGUUUUACUGUGGACUGCACUGUGCAGUCCACAGUAAAACACUGAUCCCUUUUAGUAUAUGUUACAAUUACAAUUACAGUGCCUUUCGUUUUGUCAAGAGAAAUUAAUUGUAUAGUGCUGUUGAUCCACUCAAUUAGAGCAUGAAAGGGAUCUCUCGUGAUGUCAUUUUUUAUGUAUGAGCUAACCAAUCCAGCGUUGCCACAUUCCUCGAUCAUCUUAUCACCUUCAACACCGCCGAUCACUGCCACCCUAUCCCAUAUAUACAGAGUUAGCUGCUCGCUUUUAUCAUAGAUUAGCAUUGAAAGAGCUAGCGAAACAUAAGAGAGAUACUAUGAAGAGUCUUUCCUUGUCCGCUCUAACAUUGUCGUUGUUGUUGACGAUGAUACUGCUCAACACAAAAAGUUGCGGUGCUAGUAUUUCACUGCCGGAAAUGGAGGGUGACGUCCCCUCCUACUCCAUAGCUGAUUCCAUCUUAGAUUUGGAGUUCAUGAUGGAUUCUGAAAUUAACAGGAUUCUUAAUGCCGACUCUCUCAGGAAAGCAUAAGAUGCUGUCCACAAGAAGGGAGCAGUGUUUGGUGACGGCCCACAUCGAUACAGCUUGUUUCGUUGCGGCCGAGGCAACCGAUAUUGCGUUCCUCAUGGUCGUUUUAAAGAGAACUGCAUGUCGGUGUACAAACGCACCUGCUAGUUUCAUUAAUCUACUAGCAGUUAUUCCAUGCCCAUGCGUGAUGGAGGGAGGUCUCUCUCUAAUAUGUACUCUUUUUUUUAGGGAGUUUGUUAAAUUCCCUUACUACUACUGUUAUUAUUAUCUGUUGGAUCGAGUGGGUCUUGUAUUGAACCAUUUAACUCUCAUGCUAGAAUAAAUUCGCGUUAAACUUUAAAUUACGUUAAUUGUGGUCGAGAAUUCAAUCUCGUACCCCUUGUUAUAUAUAUAUAUAUAUAUAUAUGGAUAAGGUUUUGGUUUUGAAUUUCUUUAAUUUUGUCUUUAACUAACCCUUAAACUUUGAUUUGCUUGCAAUUUCACCCCUGAUUUCAUCCGAUUAAUCUUGUAAAAAUUAAGUCUGGUCUUUCAAAAUUUCAAUCUUUUCAAUUAAGCUUUCAAACUUAGUUUUUCAUUAAUUAAGUCCUCGGUAAAAUUAAGUUGACCUAUUAAAAGUUUAAUUAAGUCCUUGCACUUAAUUAAUUCUUUUAAUUUUGAUCUAACUUAAUUUAUAAACUUAAUUCAACAUUUAAUUAGACCUAUGAUUAAAUCAAAUUAACUUAAUAAAAAUCUAAUUAGGUUCUUAGACCUAAUUUUUAUGUAAAUGUUUCCAAUAUUCAUUUAAGUUAGCCUUGAAUUUGCAUUACUUUUCAUAUUUAGAUCUUUAAAGGGUGCAAUUGAGUUUCUAAAAAGUUUCAAAGAUCCAGUUUGGUCCCUCCAUCUCUUAUGUAUACAUGUAGAUCCCUCUUUUUUAUAUUUGUAUAAAAUAAAAGAUAAUUUUGUUUUUAUGCCAGAUUCAGUUCUUAUUUUUUUAUUGUUAUUUUGUUUUGUUUUUCUAAUUUUAGAUUAUUAGAGAUUUUGCUUGGUAUUUUUUAGAGUUUCCAUUCUAUGGUUUAAUCCUAGUCUCAUGACUCAGGUCACUAGUUUUGAAGAUUAGCUCGAUUUAAUUUUGAUAUUUUUUAUGUGCUUUUCUUAAAAUUAAUUAUUUUCCAAUUUUAUCAUUUAACUUUAGGAUAUUGGGCUUUGAGUUUCAUGGUUGUUUUCAUUUUAUUUUUUUAUGGAGUUAUCUUGAUCUCUUAUCCUAGGUCAUAGGUUUGUUGGGUGAACCCAGGUUCAUUCGAGUUUUUUUUCUUAUUUAUUUAUUUUUAUGUUAUCCUUUGACAUUAAGUUAUUGAGUCUUGAGCUUCGUUAUAUUUUCCACUUUCCUUUAUGUGGGUUUCUCUCUAUCUCAUAUCACAGGUCUUAGUCUUUUUAUGAUUUUUUUUAUUCUUUUUUAUUUCAUCAUUUGAAAUUAUAUUAUUGGACCUUGAGAUUUAUGAUUUUUUUUUCAUUUUUCUUUCUAUAGGGUUAUCCUAGGUCGCAGGUUUGUCAAGUUAACACAAGUUGACUUUGGUUUUUUUUUCAAUAUUCCUUUUAUUUUACUUUGGUUUUUAUUUUUCUAUCCCAAUCACAUUUUACGAGUUGCGAGUUAGCCAAGUGAACCUCGGCUGACUCAAUUUGUUUUUUUUAAAUGAUUUGUUAUUUCAAUUUAAUUCUUUGGCAUUAGAUUGUUGGGCUAUCAUCUUAGUGAUUUUUUCACUUUUCUUUAUAUAUGGUUGACCAGACUCACAAGUUUGUCAAGUUAACUCGGGUGGACUUAAUUGUUUUCUUGGCAUUUUAUUUAUUGAUUUAACUUUGGUCCCUUUUUAAGUUUUUUUAAAUUAUUUUUUUAUUAUGAUCUCAUGUCGAGGGUAGCGGGUAUUUGGGUGAGCCCAGGCUGACUCGUGGACGUUUCUAUUUUUGAAUUUUAUUUUUUGAGUUUCAUCUUUUGACAUUAGAUUACGAGGCCUUGAGUUUUAUUUUUUUUUUCGUUUCUUUUCUAUAGCAUUAUCCUAAACUUUUAUCAUGGAUCAUGGGUUAGUCAAGUUAACCAAACUUGACUUCGAUUAUCAUUGCCUGAUUUUUUUUUUUUUCAUAUGUGAUGUAACGUAGGUCACCGUACUAGUAAAAUAAAAGAAAGAAAUGAGUACCAAAUUCUUUUAUUUGUCAUGCAUAUAUAUAUAUAUAUUGGAGAACAUAUUGAUGAUUGACACGACCAAAAGAUUGAUGUCUUCUUCCAAGUGCAGGAGUAUCGAAGUAAUAAAUAACCCGACAAGACUGGGAUCGAACCACAAGGAGGUUAACAAUAUAAAUUAUAAAUAACAACAACAACAAUAACAAUAAUAAUAAGAUAAAGAGAGCUUUGGAAUGUGAUAUUGAUGUAAGGAUUAAACAAGCAUAAAAUAAUUGUCAAGGUUAGAGGAUCCACUAAUGGUACUUCAAACAAGUAUAAUAUAAAUUCUUUUUAUUACUCAACUGGAAACCACACACAAAGGAGGCUCCAAUCGGAUUGUAAAUUGUUAACAUGAUUACAUUAGUUAUCUUAUUCGAAUAAUGCUAAUACUUGUAAAUCUUGUCAAGCAUUCAUGAUUAUAACUUAUGUUAACAACAAAUCAAGUUUCUUUCAUAGCUCAAGUGCCGGUUAUACCAUACAGUAUGGGCUAUGAAAGUGCCAAGUAUUUGUUGUACCAAGUGUUAUACAACAUAAAUCUAGAUUAACCAUUUAACAAGCAAAGUAUUAAAAGUAAACAAGAUAACAAAUAUAAAACAUGUUAGUAUCCAACAUUAAGGUCCAUGUUAAGUUUAUAUUAUACUUAUUCUUACACCAUUAGUGUACCCUUUUCACCUUGACAUAAUUAACUUAGCUAAACAUAAUGAAAGAAAGAAACAUAAAUAAACAAGAUAAGAACAUAAAUGAGAAGAACAUAAAUGAGAAAGGAGUUAACUAAACAAAGGAAAGGAAAUGAAGUGCAUAAACUUCAUAUUAAUGAAAGCAAAACAUAAGCAAUACAAAGAGAGAAAGCAAGAGCAUGAUCUUGAUCUGGAAAACCAAGAUGCCUAAAUGCAUGGCAAAUGCCUCCUUUUAUAGGCCAAAAUUUGGAACUAUUGAUUUGAUGAAUAAUUGUUGAGUGGGUGGCCACAUCUUGACUUGGUGAAAAUCCUUAUCUUCUUGUCUGAAUAAAACGUCAUUGCUAACAUCAGAACUGGAACCAUAUGAAAUCAUGAAAGUUCCAGGAAAUUCUCUUAGCUUUCCAAGAAAAAAAAGAUGAGGUCAUUUGGACUUCUAGAACUCAAGAUAUAGCCUGAACACUGAACAGUGUCUGGGCUGCAGGACAGCUUCGGACUUCUCCGUUGUUGCUAUAAUUUGGACUUAAAAACGGCAUUCUUAGAUCUUGAUGUUCACAUGAAAGUUGUAGACCUAUGUCUCACCAAAUCUGUGUAAAAAUUUGAAAUCAUUUGGACAUCUAGAACUCGAGAUAUGAACCAAAUACCGAAUAGUAUUCCAGUUUGGACUGCACCAACAUCUCUUUUCUAAGCUUCACCCUUCUUUAUCUUCAAAUUUUAGUAGUUGAAUUCAUCAAUCAAUCCUUUGAUUUAUGUGAUAAGCCUGCAUUUAAGAUGAACAUUUACCAUAUAUUAAGGCAUUUUAUAGUAUCACACUUGUUAUUAUAAAACAUACUUUAGUUAAGGAGUUAUUGAUACUUCAAGUGCAAAAUGAUGAUAUAAAACCUUAAUAAACAUGCACUUUUAAGUACUAAUCAAUGAUUAAUAAAAGUAUAAAAUUAGAUUAAUUUAAGUAUUAUUAUUUUAGUUAUAUAAAUAUUACAUAAAUUUUGAUGUCAUUCAUCCACUCCAAAAAAAAAAAACCUAAAAUCUUGGAAGAGAUUAGAAAGGGAGAUAUACAGAGGAGAGGAGAUUAAUCAAAUACUUUGAAAGUGAUCCAAACGAUUGAUGUAAUCGAAUUUGUUGUAAUUAAUAAAGGUUAUGAGCAUUCAGAUCAAUAUAAUAUAUAAUUAAAUUAAAAUUUUAUAUAACUAGAUAGAGAUUUGAACUAAAUACACAAUAUCGAAGGCCUUACAUAUGCUUUUAUGAACCAGUAAGACACGUCUAGAUUUAAGAGGUUUUAUCGCGUUAAAUUGGAUUAACACAUUAAAACUGCAUCUCUUAUCAUAUUGUUGAAUCUUUUAGGAUUAGGAAUCAAGCCUGGAUGUUGUUGUUUGGGUCAAUUUUGUUAUUUUUAAUUUAUUAUUUAAUUUGAUUUUUUAUUUUAAUUUCCUUUGUGCUUUUGGAUUUCUAGUUUUUUUUAAUCUAUGUAUAAGUCUUGUAAACAUCUAAAAAAACAGACUUUAUUGGUUUUAUUUUCAUAUAAAUAAAUUAUAAAUUUAUGCUUCAUAUCUUGAUUCUUUUUCCAAGAUUAAAUUUAUUCUUAUAGUUCUUGCCUGCGUCAACCAUGCUUCGAGUUGGCUAAUUAUUAUUAUUUAUUUCAUAUUAAGUAUAAACAGGUAGUGAAAGGGAAAUUAAGAAUUAUGCAGAAUUGAACAAAAAAAUUAACAUAAGUCAAUUUUUAAAAUAGGAUGCCCACUCCGGCGUGAAAAAUGGAAUAUUAAAGGCAUAUACAUGUUGAUGUUGUUGGCAAAGUUCCAAGCCUUUGGCAAAGUUCAUGGUAUUGUACUUUAUUAUCAAACAAGUAGAUAGAUGAGGAUGAUUUUCGUUAAAAACUCAUUCUAUAAAACUGGGAAAAACAAUUACGAUGCUUAUUUCUUGCAUUGUAACAAAUAUUAUUUUAAAGGAUCCAUAUUUCAAUGUUAUGAUUUUUUACUACUGAAUGAAAAUAUUGAUCUAUUAAUACUAAAUAAACAUAAAGUGAAAACGUUAUUUAUUUUCAAUCAUCAUAAUUAAUAUUCUUUAUCCAACCAGAACCAAAUAUUAAAAAAGAGAAAAAUCAUUGUGAGGGAUAGUAACAAAAGUCAACAUGCAACCAUAAUUUCAAGAUAUUACAAAAUAAUAAUAAAAAAAAAGCUUGGUUUUUCACUAUGCAUACACUCAUAUUUCAUCAUUGUAAAACUAUUAUUUUUCUCUUAAGAGAAAAACUCAUUCUCUAGGUAUAUUAGAUUUAUUAGUUAUUAUCAUUUUGAAUGGGUGUAAGCAAGUUUUUUUACAUGUCAAAUGAAUAGUGUAAUAGCUUACAUACCCUUAAAAGUAUAUAAAAAAAAAAUCAGGAGAAGGAAUUUCUAGUCUUUUUGCACUUUGAAUGCAUAGUGAAAGAACCAUUUUGUCUUUGUAAGAGAACUCAUGUUUAGGGGCACUUAAGGCCUUUUCAACAUGGUUAUUUUAUAUAUAUAUAUAUAUAUAUAUAUAUAUAUCUUUUUGGAUGGGAGGAAAUUAAGUUUUGAGCAUAUAUAAAAUUAAUUUUAAAAAAGGUGAUUGGUGUAUGUCAUGCACGUUCCAGCAAUUAAGAGACAUUCACGUUUUUUAAACGACGCGUGUAGCACUUCCAAUAAUCAAAUGUUGUUGUCCGUUACAGUAACUGAAGCAGAGCAUCAUUCUUUUUGCAAUGGUAGGGCACAUGUUCAUGAUGGAAAUGAGGGCUCCAAUGAAUUUUAUUUUUUAUCCUCUCUCUUUUCUUUUUCCUAACCUCAAAGGUCAAAGGCAACAAAUUGAUUCGCAGAACUGGAAGGCCAGAAGUUUAAGCCCCAUGGAGGGACCAUCAAGGGCAGCUAAAUCUUCCUUGGAAUGUGGCUUUUCUUUUACUUGCAGUCGACAAACAAGUGAAUUUAUGUCUGUCACAAUGAAAAUAAAUGCAUUGCUGAUUGAAACCAGAGAGAACGAAACUUUCCCAAUUAUUCUCAAAAAAGUUGAAUUUACCCAAAUCAGUACAAACAAAAAUAUUUUGUUUCAUACAUAUGACCAAAUACUAAAAUGUUUUCCAUGCAUAUUUUCAUUAAAAUUUUUGGUUUUUUCUCAUGUUUUAAAAUGUAAAUUGGAUAUUGUAACCAGUUUAUGAUUAUCUAUUAGGAUUUAGCCAACAUGUCAAAAUUAGCCUCCUUACAAAUCAUUUUUUUUAGGGAUUUUGAUGUAGAAUUUAGUAUCUGAAAGUGUAAAACUGUACAGUAAAGUACACUCUCAAGAACUAAAGAUACAAGGUGUAAAAUAAAUGCGAUAUUAAAAUUUUAAAUUUUAAAAUGAUUAGAAUUUAAGCUCAUAAAAUAAAGAUACAAGGUGUGGAGACUAAAUUACACAUUUUUAGUAUCCUAUGUUCAUAGUGAUAAGAGUGGUGAUGUUGCGGCUGAGUGGCCAACUAACAUGAAAAAUUGGUUCCAGUUAAUGCUGAAUAUGCAGAGUACUGCAAUAAAAUCAUUCUAUCAGACACACUAAUUAUCACUACCAAAAUUAUUCAAACAAGGAACGCAUAUAUAUGCAUCGAUAGGUAUUUCAGCUAGAAACCUUUGUCUUGAGGCCUAUACUAACGCAGCAUGCUAACUAGCUUGCUUCUCAUCGCCCCUUUGGGUUCAUGAUCUCGGAGAACACAGCACCAGACAUCAUUUUCUCCGACUCGUUGCUUAGAAAACUUUGUCCGUCGCUGCUGCUUGUUGUUGCCAUUUCCAAAAUGCGGGAAUUCACAACUAGUUCACUGCCAGUACUAAACAAAUCACUGCUGUCAUCGAUUGAGGAGCCUUUCAGAGGAGUCUCCAUGUCAACUUCUUUCUCAGUUUGAGCCACUUUGACAUUCUCUUCCGCGCUCUCUUGCAGUUGUAAUGCAAACUCAAGGCCCCAAACCACAUCCGUCAUCGAUGGCCUUUCGAUUCCAUUCUCGAGCAAGCAUCUCACUGCAACAUCAACAAAGUUUUUCAGACAAUCUGGUGAGAUCUUUCCAUCCAGAUACGGAUCAAUGAUUUCAUUAAUCGUUCCGUUGCUGUGGCUUUGUCUAGCCAACUCUGCUAGACUUGCUGGCACUGCUGAUCGGUUUAUUGCUGGUCUAGCACACAAUACCUCGAACAACACAACCCCAAAUGAGUAGACAUCAGAUUUUUCUGUCAAUUGUUGGCGUUGACAAUAUUCGGGAUCCAAGUACCCUAUGCUACCUUUCACAAUGGUGCUCACGUGGCCCUUCGAUGUGCUCGUAGGGCCUGUUUUGGACAAUCCGAAAUCCGAAACUUUGGCCACCCAUUUCUCAUCCAGCAAGAUAUUUGUUGUCUUCACAUCACGAUGAAUGACAGUGUGCUUGGCACCUGUGUGAAGGUAAUCCAACCCACGGGCAGCACCGAUGCAAAUCUCUAGGCGUUGACUCCAUGAAAGUGGAGGAUUAUCAGUUCUGUAGAGAUGAUCACGAAGCGUCCCCCGAGCCAUAUAAUCAUACACCAGGAUCAUCUCAUUAUUCUCAUUACAGUAACCAAUUAGAGAAACCAAAUGGCGGAAUCUAAGCUGGGAGAGCAUCUCAAUCUCUGUCCUGAACUCGGUUGCACCCUGCCGGGAACUUGGAUUCAAUCGCUUGAUCGCAGCACGAUUGACUCCACCAUCAAAUAAUCCUUUGUACACGUUACCGAAGCCACCAACACCAAUAAUGAAUGAAUCGUCGAAGUUGUUUGUAGCUGCUAUGAUCUCAACUAGCGAGAAACGGUAGCAUAGAUCAGAAGGUAGAGAAGGCCUAUGGGUCUUUGUUGACUUUCUUGAAGAGGAAACAAGAGGGCUUAAGUUUGAAGCUGCAUCACCAGAUACCAGGUCCUUGAAUUUUUGGACUCUUCUCCGGAAAAUCAAGAGAAAUAGAACUGAGAAGACAACAAUGCCCGAAACAGCAGCACCAAUAAUGGCGACUGUUCUUCUUCGACUUUGCUUUGGCUUUGUUGAGGUCGCGCUAGGAGUAUUACUAACGGGGCUGUCCGGAUACGCGUCAGGAUUUGGUCCGGCAAGAUUGUCUGAUUUGCUCAAUUUGAAGAUUUCAGCUCCAUUCAACAUUGCAUCAAAGGCAUUAGUAGACUGAAUAGGGUGCAAUGCAAUUGAUAAAUUCUGUAUCCCUUCGUUUCCUCCGGCAUUCAUCAUCACUACGUAAUCUUUGUAUAUGGGAACCCCAUAUCCAGCAGCCCAAGAGAUUAUAUCUGCGUAACGCUCUGCCGUUUGAUUAGCGAUAUAUAUUUUAAAGACUAGAUCGCCCUUUUGCAAUAUAAUCGGUAUAAACUGACAGAAAUGAAGCCUAACAAGAUAGGUGAAUGUGGAGUGGACCGGAAACUCCCAAGUCAUAUUGUAUUUCUUAUUUAUAGUAGAAUCGGGCCCCAUGGUCCUAGCAGUUCGAUAGAGUACGUCAGGUGCAGCAUAGCGAGUGUGGUUAUUAUACUGAAGUUGAAUAGUGCCAUUAAAUUGAAAAGCGCUUGGUCGAGCAUCCGUCAAGUAAUCGACAUCGCUUAACCAACUUCGAAACAUGCCAUUGUCGUUGGGCGGUGCGAUCUCUCUCCCACCCACAUUUACCCGGUACAUGAUCUCUAAAGCAGUUUCAUUUUGAAGGGGAAGAUAGAUCUCCUGGUCAAAAUCAUACAUCCCUGGUUCUUCUCCUGCAGUGUAAUAAAGAUUGGUGGGCAUGGAUACGAUUUCAAUCCCGUUGAUGAAAGCAUAUGCAUCAGCUACAUGAGGGCUUGGCGUGAACGUUAUGCUCAGAUUUUUCUGCUCAUCUUCAACAUUUAAGAUGAAUUCCCUGGCGUAACCUCCUUGUUCACCAUGUGGGUCAGUGUAAUGGAAGCCACUAAAGUUGCUAAGAAAUGUAUAGCGACCGGUUGUGACAGAAAAAGAUGCUUUAGACCUGUUGAAACCAGUGUAGGAAGCUGGAUUGAAAUAGAGGCGAACAAACUUAGGUCCUGUUGUUUUGACAGGAAAUGUGUAGGUGAAUUUGGAGAGAGAGACGCGAGCAGUAUAAUAAGGUACAGAGCUAGUGGAGGCUCUAUUUUCUGUGGGAUUUGAUGAGGGGCCGGCUUGAUCUAGAAUGGCCACUCAUGAGUUGAUGUCUGCAGUCCAGUUUCUAUCGUUUCCAACACUAUCGGAGGAUGAACCACAAUCAAGCGCUAUGCUAUCGACGGGGACGUAAGGUGGUGGUAAAUCCCCGGUUACAAGGAUGGUGAGAUGGAGGAACAGGAAGGAGAGGUGCAGAGGUGUGAACAGAGAUAAGUUUGUGAGAGAGAGAGAUUUGCUGCUGCUGCUGCUACUCAUUUUGUUUUUGGCCAGAGGAGGAGAGAUGAAGAAAUCAAGAGGAGAAGCUCCUUUUAAUUAUAUGCUGAGAGGAGUUCAAGUCAUGCUAUAGUUGACUGAUUCUAAUUUUUAUUCUUUUUUUAUUAUUAUUAUUUCUUAUGUAAAAUCGUUUUCAAGUACUAGUAAUUAUAAAAGUCUCAUUGAGUAGUAUCAAUGUAGCAUUUGGCAAAGGGACAAUAUUGUGAAAUAUAUUUUGACAAAUCUUUUUUUUUUUUUUUGAGAUGAGUAAAAAAAUUAAAAAAUUAAUUAAAUCAAGAAAAUAAAAAAAAAAUAAUAAUUAAAACAAUCGAACCGUGAAAAAAAAAUCAAUUAAACCACUUAGAAUAGUUAAAAAACUAAAAUGUUCGAUUCGGUUUUAGUUUUAUAAACCUGAAAAGAAAAAAAAACCAAAUUGAACCGAAAAUAAUAACCGAGCCAAACAGAAAAAUAUCGAGCCAAACCAAAACCAAACCCAUUAGAAAUUACCAAAAAAAUCUAAAAAAAAAUAUAUAAUUUUUUAUUUUUAAUAUAAAAUAAUCAAACUAAACCUGAACCCAAACCAAUAGAUUGAGUUUUGGUUUUUGUUUUAAAAUAACUAAAUUUAAUCAAAAUUGAUCGAUCUGAAAUGGUUUCGGUUCGAGUUUUUUUUUAAUUUGAUUUAGUUAUUUUUUUAAUUUGAUCUUUGAAAUUAGUUAGCACAUUCAAAUAUUUCCAGCUUGAAAGAAUAGGAAAGUUGAUUCGAAAAAUAUAAAAAAGGAAGAAGAAAUAAUAGGGAAUAGGGAUGUCGCCGUCGAGUGGCCAAAUAAAAAGAAAAAUUGGUUCAGAUCAAUGUUGAUUGUGCUACUGACGCCGUGGUGGUGCGGUGAAUCCUCAAAAAUACGAUUGGUUGAACAAAAAAAAAAAUAUAAAUGCACAUUAUGAGGCAGCAAACAGAGUGGACCAAUUGGCCAUGGAAGACCUUUGAAAGGUCCUCUGUAUUGUGUAUUCGUGAUCUGGGCACCAAAAACGGUUGAUAUUUAGAUAUUUUCUUUUUCUAUGAGUUAGAUAUUUUCUUUUAACAAAACAUUUUAUAUAUAGAUUUUUUUAACUUUUUGUAUUUAAAAAAUUCUAAAUGAAAAUCAAAAAAUUUAUACAUAUAUAAAAUUAAAUAAAUUGAGAAUUAUGUGUGUUAUUAAGUGGAAAAAAAAACUAUAAACGAUAACUAAAAAUAAAACUGGAAAAAUCAAGACAGAGAAGUAGAUUAAGAUAUUUAAUUUUACAAGAAAAGAUAUUUAUAUGAUUGUGUUUGCUAAAUUUAUUGAUUAAAAUAAGUUUUUUUAUUCAAUUAAACCAUAACAGAAAUAAAUACACACACAUUAAAUUGAUUCAAUAAAAUAAAAGAAAAAAACUAAUAUGCAAGGCUGCACAUAUUAGAAAUAUUAUUUGAAAAUAAUUUUUUUUUAUUUUCAAAAAUAAAAUUAAUCUAUUCAAAAGAUUCAAAAAAAUUAUAGAUAAAUCAGAAAACCUCCUAAAAAAUUAAAAACAAAUAAUUAAAAAAUAAUUGUCAUUUCAAAGAGGCUCUUUAAACAUCAUAACAAAAGGUAUUGAUCUAAAUAUAAAUAAAAAAAUAAAAAAAGAAUUAAUUUUAAAAAAAUAAAAACUCAAAAAAUAAAAACAAAAACAAAGGCCAAGCAUUGCUGGACCUAGCAAGCCAGGUCAGCCUGCUUGACCCAUUUUGUUAGGGCCCAUGCGCAUUGACCUUUCUUUUUUUUUGCAAAUUGUUUAUGAAAAAAACAAAUAAGAUGAUGUUUCACUCGUGGGCUAUAUAUUUUUCUCUCGGCUAUAUAUUUUUCUCUCUUACAAAAACGUUGUACAUGCAUGCUUUUUCGAUGCAUUUUUUACUUAUACAUACAUGUAAUCAAAUAAAUCGACAACUAUGUGAAUUAAUAAUCGGAAAAAAAAGUAUUGAUGAUAACUAAAAAUAAAAUUAGAAGAUUUAGGUGUGUUAAUAAAUGAAAUAUUUACCCGGUUAUGUUUUUUGAAUUUAUUUGUUAAAAUUAAUAUUUUUAUUCAAUCAAAUGAUAUUAAAAAUAAACACACAUAUUAAAUUGAUUAAAUAAAAUAAAAGUGAAAAAAAAUAUUAUGCAAAGUUAUACAUAUUAUGUUAUCUAAAAAUAAAUAUUUUUAUUUUUAAAAUAAAAUUAUUGUAUACAAAAAGAUAAAAGAAAAAAUUGUUGAUGAAUUAGAAUGAGUUUUUCAAAAAUUAAAUUCGAGCAACACUAUAAAAAAAAUAAUCUCUAUAAAAAAAACCAACAAAAAAAACCCCACAAAUAAGAGAUAUUAAUUAAAACAUAAAUUUUAAAAAUAUUUAAAAAGGACACAUAAAAAUUACCAGUAGAAGAAAGCAAUAUCAAAAAAACAAAUUGUCUGGUUGUUGUGGCUUAACUCGUUAAACUCAUGACCCGAACAAUAAACUCAAUCAAGUUCAAUAGUUUUUCCCCUUAAAUAUACAUUCAACUUUUAACAUAAAAAAAUUAAACCCGUAACCCGGAUCAUGAACUCAACCAGACUUAAUAUUUGUUUCCAUUAAAUUUUAGAAAAAAAAUAAACCCUUUAUCUGGACCAUGAAUUCAAAUGGAUUCAAUAAUUGUUUUUCCUUUAUAUUUAUAUUCAACCUUUUAAAAAAAUAAUUAAAAACACACAACACUAUAAAAAAAACAAUUUAUAUAAAAAAAUAAAAAAAAAUCACAAAUAAGUAAUAUCAAUUGAAACAUAAAUUUAAAUUAUUUAAAAAAAGAUACCAAUAAAAAAAAAGCAAUAUAAAAAAAAUAUCCAAUUAUUAUAGCUUAACUUAUAAAAUUCAUGUCUCAGUCUAUAUAAACGCAAUUAAAUUUAAUAUUUUUUCUUUCAAAUUUAUAUUUAACUUUAAAAAAAUAUAUAAACACGUGAUCCAGAUCUACAUCUGAAACAGGUAAAGUAUGGUGCUGUUGAUCCACGCUUGGAUGAAAUUGAUCUCUUGUGACGUCAUUUAAUUUCAUGUACAGGAAAAUAUGAGCUAACCAGUCAACCAUUGCCACAUUCCUCACCUUUCUUAGCUGCUUGCUUUUAUAUUUGAUUAGAUAAACAGCAUUAAGAAGAGCUAGCCAAAACUAAGAGGGAGACGAUGAAGAGCCUUUCCUUGUCAGCUCUAACAUCGUCGUCGUUGUUGUUGACGAUGAUGCUGCUCAACACAAAAAGUUGCGGUGCUAGUAUUUCACUGCCGGAAAUGGAGGGUGACGUCCCCUCCUACUCCAUAGCUGAUUCCAUCUUAGAUUUGGAGUUCAUGAUGGAUUCUGAAAUUAACAGGAUUCCUUGCCAAGAGUUGGUUUCUUCUUCCCCUCAAUCGCUCUCUCUCUCUUUGUUUUUUGUGUUCCAUAAUGCUUUUCUUUUCCUCCUUUUUCCAUCAUUAUCUGUACGAUUUGAGGUUUUGCUGCAUCACUGUCUGUGUUCCAUCAUCUUUUCCCCUUCCUUUUUCCACCAUUAUCUCUUUGAAUGGGGGUGUGGUGUUGUCAAGAACACACCAUGUGUUGUGUUUUGUGUUUUAUGUUUCAUUUAAUUAAUUGUUAAUAAAUGUUUAUAUGGCGGGAGCUUCAUUCAAUUUAGUGUUAACGCGAUAUAUAUCGUGUUAGUUUAAUUUUAGUCCUUCCAGUUAAAUGAAGGGCUAAGAUUUUAACAGACAAUGUUCACCUGCUUAACUAAAUUUAUUUUCUUUUAUAUUUCAAUUAUAUAAAAAAUAUGUAUUUAAUGCAUAAUUUGUAAAGAUAAAAAGCUUCUCCCAUCUAAUGGGUUUUUUUAAAAAAACAAAUCUCUUCUUUAACCAUUCAAAUUAGUGAUGGAAACCUCUUCUUUUACCAGUGAAAAACCCAAAUCCAAUAUAUAUGUAUAGUUUUUUCAUAUUUUGUCCUGUAUAUUCCCGAAUAAUUUAUCUUUUGAGGUAAAUUUGUUAUUAGGUUGAUAUUUUGAUUAUUUAUUAGAGUGAUAAUAAAAUUCAAUAUUUAUAACAACAACAAUAAUGCAAGGUAAAUGAGCUUCUUGAAUAAAAGUCAUGGACCAUUCUUUGGUGUACUUGAGAAAUUCCCUUAUGAUGGUUUUAUCUGUUGCUUGAAAAUCUAAUGGCCUUGAUGACUUUUAGUAAGUCAGUCAUUUUUUCUAUAAAAAAGGGUAUAAUGUAAAGAAAGCAAGAAAAAAAAAGGAGGGAAAAAGGAAAUGGAUACUAUUACUACCACUAGAGAAUGAUUGUGAUAUUGAGAUAAAAAAGAAAACUUACGGUUUUUGUGUCUAAUUUCUCUAUAUCUUGGAUAAGAGAAAGCCAUUGUAUGAAUCAAUUAAUUUGGUAAAAAUUAAAUUUGGUGUUUUAAAUUCUAAUAUUCUUAAUUAAGCCCAAAUUGGGCUCCUAACCUUAAUUUUUCAUUAAUUAGGCCCUUAAUAAAAUUAAUUUGACUCAUUUAAAGUAUAAUUAAGUCAUUGCACUUAAUCAAAUCCUUCAGUUGGACCCAAAUUAAUUCUUAAACAUAAUUAAACUUUAAUUUGGCCCAUGAUUAAAUCAAAUUGACCUAUUAAAAAUUUAAUUAUGUUCUUGGACUUUAGUUUUAUGCAAAUCCAUCCAAUAAUAAUUUAAUUUGACCUUGAAUUUGCAUUGUUUUUUUAUUUUAAGGCAUAAUGAGUAACAAUCAAGCCUCAAAGUUUCUUCAAAAUUACAGCUUGAUAUUUUGUAUUAUUUUGGCAUCCUCCCCGACCUUCUUUCCCCACAUCACCAUUUUUUCUUUUAUUUUUUAGUUUUUAUUUUGAAAAAAAAUGACUUUCAAAGAAUAAUUCAAAAAUAAAUUAUGACACUGCUCAUAACAUCUUAUCACAACCUCAAACAUUUUUUUUUAAGACAUGAAUGGCAUUAAACAACUAUAAUAAACCAAACAAGUGACCCUAAAGUCUCGACAAAUCAAAUUCAAGCUUAAACCCCCACACAACAUCAGACUCAAGAUUACUAAAAAUGACUACUUUAAACUUACUUGCAUAUGGUAAUGCCAGAUUAAUAUCUUAGGUUUAUACACAACAAUGGACAUCAUCAUUAUUCAAAAUGACACUUGAAGUGAAAGGCAGUGAUAAAGAUUAUACCUAAAUGGUUUGAAUCAAUGGAUUCCUAAUGGUUUUAAAGACAUUAAUAUCUAAUUGAUGAAAAAUUAAGUUUGAGAGCCCAAUUUGGGCUUAAUUGAGAAUAUUAAAAUUUAAGAGAUCAAAUUUAAUUCUUACCAAGUUAAUUGAUUGAAAUCAGGGGCAAAAUUGCAAGAAAAAUAAAAUUUUAAGGUCAAUUAGGGGUCAAAUUGAAAAAUUUUGCAGCCAAUGAUCAUUUUGCAAAAGACGUGGAACUAUAGGGGCUUAAUUGACAAAAACCGAGGGUGAAAUUGAAGAAAAUUAAAAAUUUCAUGGUUAAUUGAGGGUCAAAUUGCAUAAAUCUAAGACCAAGGAUCAAAGUGCAAAAGUCGUUAAAACUGAGGUUCAAAUUGAAGUUUGGCAGGAGUUAAAUUUUACUAAUUUAGAAAUUUAGGGUCAAUUAGGGGUGCAAUUAAACUAAAUUAAAAGAUGGAGGACUCCAUUAAACUUUGGCAAAAAAUGAAUCAACCAGUGCACUGUUCAUUAUCUUAUUCUUUUUUACACAGAAAAGCUGCUCAAGUUAUCUACUUUACAGGUGCAUUUAAUGCUUCUAACAUUCAUCAAAUUUGACAAAACAUGUAUGCAAAUAAUCACCCGACAUUUCCCUUCAACCCAAAAUGGUCCGUUCAAGCUGAUUGAUACCAUAACGGUUGUGGCACUGGCCUAAAGUGUUAAUUAGAGAUUAAAAACCUUUUCCUCAUGAUCAGCAUGAACUUUUGAGUGAUUCAAACCAUGCUUUGAGUUGAUUAAUUAUCCUUGUUUUUUCACAUCUUAUGAAGUAUAAAUAGGCAGUGAAAGGGAAAUCAAGAAUUAUACUGGAUUGAACAAAAAAAAUAUAAAGAGUCAAUUUUUAAAAUAGGAUGCCCACUCCAGCAUAUACAAGUCGCUGGCAAAGUUUCAUGUAAAUAUUCAAUGCCCUUUAUGAGGUAGCAAACUGAGUGGACCUAUUGGCCAUGGAAGACCUUUGAAAGGUCCUCUGUAUUGUGAAGUCAUGAUCUGGGCAUCAAAAACAGUUGAUAUUUAGAUAUUUAUCUCUUGGCAGCACAGACAUUAGCAGCCUGCAUGUAUAUAAGAAUUCGGCAACACAGGAAUUGGCACCCUGCACACAAAUGUGAAUUCGGCAGCGCGAAACAGGUUGUGCAAGUAAUGGAUUUGACUUGACACGAUCUUGGAUGAAGGAGUGUCCAAGACAUACGAGAGACCAGUAGUUGACGUAGCACAAACUGGCAGUUGAGGCUGCCAGGUGGGCAUGCAGAACAUGGUUUAGUGGGAGUUAUGGGCAUCCAAGAUCAUGGGAUCAUAGGAGAUGUGCUGGAGAACAUGGGGGUAUGGUUGGAAGUGCUCUCAACCCAUUAAGACCAUGGGAGAUCAUGGGAAAAAACUACCCCCUACUUGGUAGAUAAUGCGGCCACUUUGUUCAUGGGUGAGAUAGUGACCCGCUACUUCUGAAAAUAUAGGAAUGGAAUUUGUGCCUUGUAAAUGCUUGUUUAUAAAUAGUUGUUGCAGCUAUUGGUUGUAAGGGAUGUAAAGCAUGAGAUAGAGAGAUUAGCUUGGUGCAACAUGCAAUCUUUAUGCAUAGCACUCAUACGGAAUUGUGUAUAGUUUCCUUUGUUUACGAGAUUAAUAAAGGUUGGGAAAGAGUUCUUACAAAGCUUGUUGUGCACUUUGAUUAUCUUAUUCUACUUGUGUAUUCCGCUUGUCUUUUAACUUGGAAAAGUGGGGAAACCUAUCGGGUGAGGAAAACACUUAGUUACUAGGCAAACACGAGUGAAAUUGGUGAGGGAAGGCUGAGUCUAGUGAGGGACUAGGCUGCCACACAAGUUUAUUCAUGAGGUGAAAAUUUACCCCAUGACAAUUGGUAUCAGAUCGUGGUCGCAUUCUUGGCAGAACAACAAGAUCGUUCUAUGGGCUGAUCGAAGGACUAAUUUGUUGAAGCUAUCAUUGGAAUAGUUUGUGAAAUUGUUGGCUUGAAGCUUUAUGCCAGUAGGUAUGGAGGCAAUCCGAGAAAGACUGGUUCGACUUGAAGAGUUGAUAGGGCCAAUUCCAGAUGAUGAAGAACAACGUUAUAUUAAUGAUAGGUUGAGGGAAGCUAUUAAAAGUGCUGAACGGGCAGAAAACUUGUACAUUAGUCUUACGGCAGAAACAAGUGAAAAGUUGGAAGCUGCGAAGGAAGCAAUUAUAAUCUUGAAAAAGGUUGUGGCAAACACUUCUGUUGGGACAGGUAUGUCUAAGCCCAAGAUUCCAGAACCAAAAGCAUUUAGGGGUGCUAGAAGUUUCAAGGAACUAGAAAACUUCUUGUAGGAUAUGGAACACUAUUUCAGUGAUGCAAAGGUCGAGUUGGAUGAGCAAGUGAACAUCGCAAUGAUGUAUCUCAUGGGAGAUGCAAAAUUAUGGUGGCAAAGAAGAUCCAAGAAGGACUUAAAUGUUGGGCCAAAAGUGGAGACGUGGGAGACUUUGAAAUGCAAGUUAAGAGAGCAAUUUCUGCCCAACAACACAUCUUGGAUUGCGAGGGAAGACUUGAAAAGGUUGUGGCAAGAUAGGUCGGUAAGGGAUUAUGUAAAGAAGUUUAGUUCUUUAAUUCUGGAUAUUGAUAAUAUGUCAGAGGAGGACAGAACGUUCAAUUUUCUGUCAGGACUUUAGCCGUGGGCACAGUUAGAGUUGCGUAGGAAGAAAGUUUUAGAUUUGUCUUCGGCUAUUGUUGUUGUUGCGAUGUUGCGGUCGCACAAAUUAAUUACCCUAGCUUAAAACACAACACACAAGAUAGUAUAGAGCAAGCAAGGGGUCGAUCCCACGAGGAAGAUUUAGUUCAGAUUUUUAUGUUAUACGUUAUGUAAUUGGGGGGGUCUGAUUUAUGAUGAUCUAAAAUAUAGAAGAAAUUAAACUAGCAAACAAAAUCAAUUGAAACCGAAAUUUAUCAAGAAAACAAACCUUGGUCGCAAGCACACAUCCACCAAUGGAAAUUAGAACUGAUCCUUGAAACGAAACUCCAGUUUAAUCAUGAAUUUUAUCUUUUUUUAAUGUUGGUUAAUUAAAGGAUCCACCGUAUAACUAGCCCUAACCAACAAACAAUCACAGUGUCCGCACUAAUGAUUUAAUCCAAUGGCAGCCUUAAGAUCUAGAUAAAUUCAUUAAUCUUAACAGCCAAGUUGUCUGCUUGUGUUGCUUUGAACGAAUGUUCUCCCUAAGUUUAAUAACGUAGUUCCGCUACAAUUAUCAAACUUAGUUGCUUCACAAGUUUAUAUACCACAACUCUGGUUUUGAUAUCAAACUUAGCAAUAGAUUGUUCACAAUAAUAACUUAGAGUCCGCUCUAGCAAUUAAGAUAAACAAUCAUAGGAAAUAUGCAUAGGAAAACAAACAUACUCCUUCAUAACAUAAACUGAAAAUAAAAGGAAGAAUAAAUCUCACGAUUCUUGAAAUCCGAAGGUUUGUUGUGUCCUUGCAACCAAGAAAACGAGCUUAGCCUUGCAUAUCUAUUGAACAACUACUCCUAAAGAUGGAAGAAUACAUGAUUUCUGAUUUGUAGAGGGGAGAGUUUGUGUUUCUUCACUUCUGGCUGCCACCUCCUUCUUUCUCUCCCUCUAUUUAUACAUAAAUUGUAAUUAAGAAAAAUCAAAGUUCAAGUGUGAACAUCAAUAGAUGGUGGUAGUGUGAAGGCGGCUGGCGGCUGGUUGCUGGCAGCUGUCGGCUAGCGUCUAGCUUCCUUGACCUUCUAGAAAAUUUACUAGAGGAGCUCAAUUGCUGGAAACACUUAUAUGUUGGUUUGGAUGCUUCUGAAUGAAAUUUGGAUUCGUUUCUUCACGCAACCUGCUUGCUGACAGAAUUCAGCUAUCAUCUUUGAAAAAUCCUAUCUCCCUCGUAUGACAAUUUUUUUUUGCUGAAAUUUGGAGCGUUUAUAUAUAUUUGAGUAAGGAAUCCAAAACAAUUGAGUUUGCAUCAAUUGGACUUCUGAAGCUCCAGAUAUUGAAUUUUGAAUGGGCAAAGGUCAACAUUGGUAGACUGCGAGAUUUGACUUUGAAGGAUGUGAUUUCCAUGAUCUUUCUCUUUUUAUUUUUCUUGCAUUACAUUUCCAGAAAUGUAUGGAUCUUAGCUUUUUAAUGCCAUUGGAAUCACUUCGUUUCGACCUCUAGAACUCACGCUCUGUACAAAACAUCGACUGAACGUCAAAUCUACCAAUUACCUCCAAUUUACUCCUUUUUGUAUCUUUCAUCCAAAAAUGCCUUCAAAACAUAAAACAAAGAAUAUCAAGGCAUUUUAUAUAAAUAACAUAGGCAUAACACUAGUUAAAUGCGGGUGAAACUAUUGAAUAAUAUGGUUACAUCAGUUGCUGCUGAUGGGUUGGCAGAUUUAAGAGCAGACGCUAGCGAAGGGACUGUUGGAACAUCUUCUGCUUCGUACCCACCAAUGGAUAGGUAUGAAAUGAAAAGGAAGAAGAAAGGGCUUGGUGGGGGAGAACCUAAAUAGGCUGAUGGCAAUGGGAAGUUAGAAGCCAAGGGUAAGGAAAAGGUUUCGAAAUCAAGUUCGGGCUGUUUUAUUUGCGAUGGUAAGCACUUUGCAAGGGAUUGCCCGCCAUGGAAGACCUUUGAAAGGUCCUCUAUAUUGUGUCGUCGUGAUCCGGGCAUAAAAAACAGUUGAUAUUUAGAUUAAGUGGAAUUAUAUGUGUUAUUAAGUGGAAAAAAAAACUAUAAACAAUAACUAAAAAUAAAAUUGAAAAAAAGAUAUAGAUUAAAAUAUUUAAUUUUAUAAGACGAGAUAUUUAUAUAAUUGUGUUUUCUAAAUUUAUUAAUGAUCGUAAAAAAAAAGUAUUGAUGAUAAAUAAAAAUAAAAUUAGAAGAUUCAGAUGUGUUAAUAAACGGAAUAUUUACCGGAUUGAGUUUUUUGAAUUUGUUUAUUAAAAAUAAUAUUUUUAUUCAAUCAAAUAAUAUUAAAAAUAAACACACAUAUUAAAAUAAAAGUGGAAAAAAAAUAUUAUGCAAGGUUAUAAAUAUUAUGUUAUCUGAAAAUAAAUAUUUUUUAUUUUUAAAAUAAAAUUCUUGUAUACAAAAAGAUAAAAGAAAAAAUUGUUGAUUAAUUAGAAUGAGUUUUUUAAAAAUUAAAUACGAACAACACUAUAAAAAAUAAUCUCUAUCCAAAAAAAUAAAAUCAACAAAAAAAAAACACAAAUGAGGGAUAUUAAUUAAAACUUAAAUUUAAAAAAUAUUUAAAAAAAGAUACAUAAAAAAUACCAAUAGAAAAAAGCAAUAUAAAAAAAAAAUUCACAUUUUGAUCUCCGGAUUCACUCCUCUUUAUCUACAAUCAUCAUAAAAAAUAAAAAUAUUUAACCCGUAGUAGCGACGUAUAUUAAUAGCUGAUCUAGAACAUUGUUUAGAACCUUUCGUUUUAGAACACAGUACAGUGCCUUUCGUUUUGUCAAGAGAAAUUAAUUGUAUAGUGCUGUUGAUCCACUCAAUUAAUUGUAUAGUGCUGUUGAUCCGCUGUUGAUCCACUCAACUAAUUGUAUAGUGCUGUUGAUCCACUCAAUUAGAGCAUGAAAGGGAUCUCUCGUGAUGUCAUUUUUUAUGUAUGAGCUAACCAAUCCAGCGUUGCCACAUUCCUCGAUCAUCUUAUCACCUUCAACACCGCCGAUCACUGCCACCCUAUCCCCAUAUAUACAGUGUUAGCUGCUCGCUUUUAUCAUAGAUUAGCAUUGAAAGAGCUAGCGAAACAUAAGAGAGAUACUAUGAAGAGUCUUUCCUUGUCCGCUCUAACAUUGUCGUCGUUGUUGUUGACGAUGAUGCUGCUCAACACAAAAAGUUGCGGUGCUAGUAUUACACUGCCGGAAAUGGAGGGUGACGUCCCCU
This 98538-nucleotide long non-coding RNA is filed under the name Populus tremula. Its description in RNAcentral is "long non-coding RNA (PTRE_LNC001354)". The stretch from base 31594 to 31750 matches the Rfam family "MIR2912 microRNA precursor family". Lineage: Eukaryota; Viridiplantae; Streptophyta; Magnoliopsida; Malpighiales; Salicaceae. The record is from RNAcentral.